AGAUCCUUGAUCCUUCAACAAACAAGGUGCUAGUUAGCAGGGAUAUAGUGUUUGAUGAGAAGCCAAGCUGGAAUUGGGACAAGAAUGAGCCAAAAGUAGUUUAUGAAGACCUUGUGGCUGAUCAGACUGGAGCUGAUCAAAAUGGUCCAGAAAUGGACAUUGAUGAUGAACCAGUUAGGGGUACUAGAUCAUUAGCUGAAUUUUAUGAAAGAACUCAAGUAGCAAUACUUGAACCAAGCAGUUUUGAAGAGGCUGAAGCACAUCAAGGCUAGAAACAGGCUAUGGCUGAUGAUAUUGCCAUGAUCGAGAAGAGCCAAACAUGGGAAUUAGUUGCUAGACCAGCCAACAGAAAGAUCAUUGGGGUGAAAUGGGUCUAUCGAGCCAAGCAUAAUGCUGAUGGAAGCUUAAACAAACUCAAAGAAAGGCUGGUUGUGAAGGGGUUUUGCCAAAAGUAUGGUUUGGACUAUCUGGAGACAUUUGCACCAGUGGCUAGGCUUGACACCAUCAUGCUGUUGGUUGCCUUAACAGCACAGAUGCAUUGGAAGAUCCAUCAGCUCGAUGUGAAGUCUACUUUUCUCAAUGGUUUUCUAAAAGAAGAGAUAUAUAUUGAGCAACCUCAAGGCUUUGAAGUAGCUGAGAAAGAACACAUAGUACAGCAGAAUUGAUGGCUACCUAGCUAGCAUUGGAUUUGAGAUAAGUAUCAGUGAGCCUGCUUUGUAUGUCAAGAAAGAAGGAGCUGAAACUCAGCUUAUAGUGCCCUUAUAUGUUGAUGAUCUGCUAUUGACAGGAAGAGAUCAAGCAAUGCUGGCAGAUUUCAAGGCUAAAAUGGAAUUAAAGUUUGAAAUGUCUGAUCUGGGACAAAUGUCAUAUUUUCUUGGCAUGGAGGUGUCACAAACUUAAGAGGGAUUCUUUCUAAGCCAGAAAGCAUUUGCUAUGAAGAUCUUGAACAAGUUAUCAAUGCAGAAUUGCAAAGCAACAAGUAUACCAGUUGCUGUUGGAAAGAAAUUAACAAGCCAAAGCAAUUUUGACAAGGUUUGGAGACAACCUAUAGAAGUCUAGUUGGAUGUUUGCUGCAUUUAACUACCACCAGACUAGAUAUUAUGUUUUGCUAUGAGUUUUCUCUCAAGGUUCAUACAGUGUUGUAAUGAGGACCAUUUUCGAGCAGCAAAAAGAGUGCUUAGGUACAUCAAAGGUACCCCGAGUUAUGGAAUGCUAUAUAGCAAGACUGAAAAGCUAAGAUUAGUUGGAUAUACUGAUAGUGACUAGGCUGGUUCAAAAGAUGACAUGAAGAGUACUUCAGGGUAUGCCUUUACCCUUGGUUCGGCCAUUUUCUGUUGGAGUUCUAAGAAGCAAAGUGUGGUUGCUCAGUCAACUACUAAAGCUGAAUAUGUAGCAGUUGCUGGCGCUGUGAACCAAACCAUAUGGCUAAGAAAGAUCUUAGCUGACUUGAAUCUACAUCAAGAGGAAGCUACAGAGAUCUAUUGUGACAACCAAUCUGCUGUUGCAAUUGCAAAGAAUCCAGUUUUUCAUGGUAGGACAAAACAUUUCAGCAUUAAGCUUCAUGUUAUGAGAGAAAUGGAGCAAGCACAUGAGGUGAAACUGAUUCAUUGCAGUUGUAACACCCCUAACCUGUAUCCGUCGUUGAAUUAGGGUUUUGACAACCAAUCUGCUGUUGCAAUUGCAAAGAAUCCAGUUUUUCAUGGUAGGACAAAACAUUUCAGCAUUAAGCUUCAUGUUAUGAGAGAAAUGGAGCAAGCACAUGAGGUGAAACUGAUUCAUUGCAGUUGUAACACCCCUAACCUGUAUCCGUCGCUGAAUUAGGGGUUUGAAGUAUUACCGGUCAUAUCACAGUUCAUACAAACAUUCAUUACAUUUCACAAUUCAAAAUUUCAUCUAACAUAUAUCAAAACAAAUUAUAUAAAUAUACAAAACAUAUAACAAAUCAUCUAUUUCAUUAAUUGAAAUAGUAACCGAUCAUUAUAUGGUUUUAGCAUAGGUAUAAAUUAUACAUCAAACUAGGGGUGAGCGUUCGAUCGAAUCCAAUGAAAAAAUUUCGAGUUAAUCUAAUUUGAUUUGAAAUUUUCUCGAAUCGAGUCGAGUGAGAUGGAAUUUGAGUUGAAUCGAAUCGAAUAUAUUUGUUCGAGUUAAAUUUUAAAAAAUAAUUUUAGGUCCUUGUAACCGCUGUCACCCAUCGUAAUAAAAUUUGUCCACCUUAAUUAAAAUUUUUAUUAAUUUUAUCACCUCAUAAUUUAUUUAUUAAACUUUUAUAUACGGGUUAGCUUAUUUGCUUGCUUAGUUGUUUCAAUUAUCUUUAGAUUCUUAUCACUAUGUAUUUUAGAAUUAAAAAAUAUAUUAAAUGUAAAAAUGUGAUUUUUUAAUAAAAGUUAUUUUAAAGAUAAAAUGUGAAAUUGAUACCAAUAUAAAAUUUUAACAUGAAUAUUUAAUGGCAUAAUCAAUAAUUCAAUUUUAAUAUAAAUAUUCAAUAUGACUAAACAAUUCAAUAAUAUAAAUAAUAUAAAAUGUGAAAUUUAAUUUAAUAAUAUAAAUAGUAGAUAUAAAUAAAAUUAUUUCUAUUAACCAUCAUCAUAUCACCAUUAACCAUCUAUAGACACAAAUAGCAAAUUUAUUUCAUGUUUUAAUUCACAAACUAAGAAUUAUAUCUAAACAUUAUAUUAAAUUACAUAUACAUGACCAAUUUACUUCACGUCUAUUUAACUAUCAAUUUAAUCACAUAAGAUUAUACCACACGUAAUGACACCUUAACUAAAUAUACCAUUUCAUAAUUAUUUAACCUAAAAUGUUAUACACAUUAUGCUAGCUCGAUUAACCAAUCAUUCAUUCAUAAAAUAUACUUCCAUCUUACCAUAACAAAUCAUAUCAAACUAGCCAUUACACAAUCAACCAUGUGUUCAUCAAUUUACCUCAUUACCAAGUCAUGCUCAGUUCACUAAACAAAUUAUAUUCAUACAUUUUCAUUAUAAACUGAAUAUAAAGAUUAUUGCACAUUCGAAUAUACAUAUAUAUUUAUAAAUUAUUAAACCAAUCAUAAAUAUAAAACAUAUCAUAUAAUAUAUAUACCAAAUUAAUCAACAACCAUGUUUGAAUUUAACUAAAUAUUCUUUAUCACCAAAUCACAUAAUAACAUUUUAACAAAACAUAUCAACAAAAUUCCCAUAUACCUUUAUCCAUGCAUGUACCAUAGCCGAACCUAUCAAACAUACAUAUCCACAAUCACCAACCAUUUUCAAAGCAUAUAACACAUAUAAACAUGACUAAAGUUUCAUAUAAUCACUUAACAUAUUAACCAUUUUCGCAUGGCUUAAUAUAUACACAACUUCAAACCUAACUAAACAUAACCUAGCUUAUACAUGCCAUAAAAAUAGGUUCAAACUUAUAAUGUACCAAAAACGGUCAAUAGUGUGAUAGACUUUGCUGACGAUUCCUGAGCUCGUAGCUUGACUUCAAAAUCUAUAUAACAGAGUAAACAUAACACAAAGAGUAAGCUAUCAAAGCUUAGUAAAUCAUAAGCAAAUAAACAUCUCAUUAUCAUAAUUGACUCAUAUUAACUAAACGAAUUGCAUUAACAUUAUUAACCACCUAUGUCGAAUACAUAUAUAAUCGUUUAAUGCAAUAUAAAUCAAUUUCCAAACCUAAUAGUCAUAAUAACCACACAUCCAUUUAUUCUUUUAUGCAAUUUAAAAAUCAACUAAUAUCAUCUCAUGUAUACAUAAUACUUAAGUAGUCGAAUAUACAAAUCUCAUAUAUACAUAUUAAAUAACAUUUCAAUGUUACACAAAUUAUUCCUUUACAAGCCGAAUACACAUAUCAAUAUCCAUAAUUUCUUCAUUUGCAUUGUACAUGAUUUACAGCACAUAACAAUAGUACUUUCUUACCUUAUCUUAAAUAGAUAUCAAGUUAACUCAUACCUGACCGUUUAGCUCGUAUUAUACAAUCCGUACACGACUACCUUUUCCCGAUGAACCAUUUGGAAUUAGAUAGGACACUCGGAUAAUCACAUAAAUCAUACAAUGCCAACGUCCCAGACGUGGUCUUACAUGUAACCACAUUUCGAUGUCACUGUCCCAAAUAAGGUCUUACUCGUAAACACACAUCAGAAUCAUAAAUCGAUGCCAUGGACUUACUCGUACACAUAUAUCGGAAUCCUAUGUCAUGACAUAUGUAUCCUAACUAUUCCUAAGGUUCAUACGGGGCUUUCGGACAUCGUAACUUGGUCGAAUUGAACUCGGAAGUGUAGCAGCCACAUUUAAUCAUAUUCGACCAUAGUAUAUUUACUUUCUAACAUUUCAUAACAACAUGUAAAUAUAACAUUAAAUUACCAAUAAACACAUCUAUUUACUUAUAAACUUAUCUCAGACGUCGUAAAACGGGACGGGUUUGCUAGCCAACAACUUUCGUUUUUCCCCAGUCCAAAUCCGAUUUCUUUGGUUCUUGAUCUUGAUUUUAGCUUGGAAGAUGGCCGAACCUAACUUCUCCUAUUUCUUUCCUUUUGUUUAUAUUCGGCUAUGGUGGAAAUAAUAUGAGCACUUUGUUUAAUUAUCAUAUAUUAUAACAUAUAUAUUACUUAUUAUUAUUUUACCUUUUUAACCUUAGUUAAUAAAUUAUAUUACUUAUUAUUAUUUUACCUUUUUAACCUUAGUUAAUAAAUUAUAAAAUCAUAUAUAUCAUGUUCACUCCCAUCCACUUCAUUUGAUAUUGGGCUAUUUACUUCUUAAAGGCUUCUAUUUUAAAAGCUAAGUGCAAAUUAUCCCUUUUUAGAAAUAACCACCUAAUUUUCACUUUACGCGAUUAAGUCCUUUUAUUUAAUCGGACACCUAAACAACAAAAUUAAAUCACGAAAUUUUCAAAAACAUAAAUUCACACAAAAUAAACACUAAAAAUAAUUUAAAAAUAUUUUUUUGACUCGAAUUCAUGGUCCCGAAACCACCGUUCCGAUUAAGGUCUAAAUCGGGCUGUUACAGCAGUUCAGAGGAGCAAAUUGCUGAUAUUUUUAUAAAAGCCCUUAGUGUGACUCGAUUCCUUCACUUGAGAGCUGAAAUGGGAGUAUGCAACAUGCUAACUAAGGAGGAGUGUUGAAGGUUGGUUAGCAUGCAACACCAAGUAGCUGGCCAAGCGCACCGAGCCAUGAGAAUAGCAGAACCAAGUAAAGCUGCUGUCAUUUAAUUCUUUUUGAUUCAUUUUGUUGGUGUAAUGUAAUCUUAUUCAUUUUGAACUAUGUUAGUUUAAUGAUUGAUGUAAUUAGGUAGUAAUUGAGCUGAAAAGCUUUGUUUUGUUGUACAAGUUAAUUUACCAAGUUUCAAUGAGUUAUAGUGGUGCUAGGUGAUAGUUUAGGUAAAAUUUGCUUGUAGUGUUUGACUUAUGCUUGAUAUAAGUAAUGGCACUAUGCCAAUAUUGAAUGUAUGAAUGAAAUUCAUCGAAUUCUUCCAUAUACACUCUCCAUUUUUCUUUGAUUUUAAAAUUCUGUUCAAAUUGCUGCUUGUUUCUUCUGCAAGUCACGAGCCUUGCUGCUCAAGAUUCUGCUAAACUUGCAUGGAAAUGCAGACUUCUUUUCUUUCUCUCCUGUUGAAUGCUUAGAAAAUGCAGGUCUUGAUGGUACUGGCAAUGACAUGGAAUAGCUACUAAGCAUGAGAACUAUAGAGGCCAUGGUUGGUCUGUAAGCGCUAUUGUCUUGAACACAAAGCAACCCUAAAUGGAUACAUCCCAUUAUUUCACUUCAUAAGCCAUCCCUCAGAAUUGGAUCUACAACUUCCCAAGCAGUCCGUUCAUUCCAGUUUCUUAAUGCCUGCAAAUGUUUGAGGAUAUGAACUUAAAUUGCCUUGUACCAAGUUCUAAUCUAGUAAUACCAUAAAGGUAGUAAGUUGCUUACAUAGGUUAGAAGAGAGUCUCCUAGUUCUUGGUUGGUGAAGCUAUUGAUUUUUUUUACCACUAAUGAUUUCCAAAACCAGCACUCCGAAGCUGUAAACAUCAAUUUAACCGAAUAUCGUCCAUGUAGUGCACACUCUAGAGCCAUGUAUCCACUACGGACAAAUAAAUCAUAAUGAGUGAAUUUAAAUGGUAGCUAAAACUAUCCUCUAGAAGAAAUCUAGUGCUUAGGAUCUGAGUUUAAACAACUCAAGUGUAACAAGUAACAUAUAAAAUCUAUCAUUUUUAACACUUACAAGGUCCCAACGAUUUUGCUUGUAGCAGCUCGAGUUUGAUCAGGAACAAGCAAUUUUACCAUUCCAAAAUCUAAGAUUUUAGGAUUCAUCUCUUUGUCUAACAAUAUGUUAGCUGCUUUUUAAGUCACGAUAGAUGAUCCGGUACUGAGAAUCUUGGUGAAGAUAAAGAAGUCCCCUGGUUAUUCCCUCUAUAAUUUUGUACCUCUUCUCCCAAUUUAGUAAUAAACGCUUUACUGUAUCUACAAAAAUUGCAAUAUCUACGACUUUCAUAAUUCAAAAUGUUUAUACCCAUGUAAGAUUCACCAAUAUAACAUGGCAUGAACUGUAUUCUACCAGGACUAGUAACCUAAUAAAUGAAGAAGAACUCAAUAGGUAUAGUUUAAAAGGAUCCAAACCAUACGGAAUAUUAAGUUGUCAAGGCUUGAGUUAGGCAGAAAUUCAUAGUUGAGAAUUCUUUCUUUUUGUUCCAAGCUAAAACCCAGAAGCCUAACCAAAUUCUUGUGUUGAAGCUUUGCCAAUAAAAUGACUUCAGUCCUGAAUUAUUGUUGUCCUUGUCCGGAAUUUUUUGAUAGCCUCUUUAUAGCUACUUUUCGUCCAUCUUCAAGCUGACCCUGAGAAUUUGGAACAAAUAACAAUGAUGGAAAGCAAUAACUUUUAUUUCCAUCAAACUAGAGGCUUCAAUUCUAUAUAUUCAAACAUUCUGUCUUUUUCUCCUUUUGAGAUAUUGGAAAUUUCCAUACACCAAAUCUGAAAUUAACUUAUAAACAGAACCAAAACCACCUCGUCCAAGCAUGUUUGCAUUCAAGAAGUUUCCUAUUGCAACUUUUACUGCAUUGAAGUCAAAUUGCAAGGAUUCAACAUGGCUCUUGUCAUCUGCAGGUUAACAAAGAGACAAUUUAAAGAAAGUGUAAAAGGAUGCUUAGCUAUUGGAAGAAGUAUGAAAAAAAGAAAAUCAAGGACCGACGUAUUUUGAUUCUCCUGCUUUAUUUUCUUGAUCCUCUUAAGGACAAUAGCAACUGCAAGUAUAACAAGUACUGCCACCAAAAUGACAAUUGGAACAAUUAUAAUAACAAUGGUUUUGGAUGAACUGCCUCCCCCUACUUCACAAGAAAGAACUUUGUAAGUACUUUUACAGAAUAUGCCAUCUACUUCAUAAAACCAACAUGCCAUCUAGUAGAUCCGUACUUACCUUUUGUAUUUGUGGAGUUCGCUGACUGUGGCGAAAGACUAAUAGGUGGGGGAGGAGGGCUAAAAGGUGAGGGUGGAGGUGUAGCGUUGUGUUAUGGGAAUUUAAGAAACGGUUUUGUAGUUAAAGUCUAUUAAAAGUAGUUAGGAUUAUCUGUUAGCUGUUAAAGGUGGUUAAGGGACUGCAUGUAUUAAAUACGUGGGUAUUCCUAUCUCUUAAGUAAGAAAGAAUGAAAGAAGUUGUUUUGAUUCAGUUUGUUCUAUAAUUCAACAUUGUAUCAAGAGCCAAGAAAUUUCUGGUGUAGUUUUUCUUUUCUUCUCUGCUUUCUUUGCUGUUUUUCAUGGCUACUGAUCCUGUGCCUGGGGUUGAUAAGUCCUGCCCGUCAACUGAUUCUCGAAAUGCUGCUCCUUCACCUGGUUCUGGCAGCAUUGUGUCACCCAUGAUUCACUCCUUUUCCAAGCAUGACACCAUCAAACUUACUGAGGCUAAUUUUCUUCUCUGGAAACAUCAACUUUUGUUCAUUCUUGAAGGUUAUGAUCUUGAAGGAUUUGUCCAAGGUACUCUUCCAAUUCCCUCUCCUCUUGUUGCUGGAGUCAAUGGUCAGUUAAUUGAUAACCCGUUGUUUCUUGCUCAUAAGCAACAAGACAAAUUGCUUGCUUCCUAGCUACUGUCCACAGUUUCGGAUGAGGUUCUAGUUCAUCUUACAAUAGCUAAAACUAGUUUUGAUAUUUGGUCUACUAUUGAGAAAUGGUUUGGAGUUAAAUCUAAUCUAAAGGUUUCAAGAAUGCGUCAUGAAUUGUAUUCUCUCAAGAAGGCGAAUCUCACAGCUAAGGAAUAUUUGGCAAAGGUAAAACGUUUGAGUGACAGUCUUGCUGCUGCUAAAAGUGUAAUUACUGAGCAAGAGCAAGUUAGCAUUAUCUUGGCUGGACUCUCGCUAGAGUUUGAGUCUAUUCGUGUGAUUGCUUCAGCUAGUCCUAUGUCUCUCGAUCUUCUGACUGAAAUGCUUCUUGAUUGUGAGGCACGACAGAUAGAAUUGUUAGCAGACGUACCUAUGCAGGCUAAUGUGUCUUCCUAUUCCAAGAAUCCUCAUCACUUGAAAAAUAAUGGUGAUUCAAAUGGUUGUACUCAAGAUUUUAGAUAGGGCAGUCGAGGACAUGAUAGGAGUUGGUUUCGUGGUAAGUAUCGUGGCAAUGGUAGUGGUGGUCGCGUUCCAAACCCCAGUGUCAACUAUGUGGUAAAGUUGGACAUGUGGUUCAAUCAUGCUAUCACCGGUUUGAUGAGAAUUUUUCUGGAGUGGAGUCUAACGACUCAAAAACUGUCAAUUACCAUCGUUAUGAGAAGCAGUCUUCUUCUUCUUGUUACAGCUCCCUUUCACAACCAUCUCCUUCCUCAAUUCCACAGCCUUCCCGAUCUUCUUCAGAUUCUUCAGCUCAAGUUUGGUAUCCUGAUUCUGGAGCCACAAAUCACAUCACUCCUGAUGUAACCAAUCUCUCGAUUGUCUCUCCUUACACAGGUAUGGAUCGGGUCUCUAUGGGCAAUGGUGAGCAUGUUUCUAUAGCACAUGUAGGCUUUUCUUCUAUGUUGGCUGGUUCAAGGGUUCUACAUCUUAAAAAUGUGCUUCAUGUGCCUACUGUUUGCAAGAACUUAUUGUCUGUUGGACAGUUUGCUAUGGACAAUUCAGUUUAUUUUGAAUUUCACCCCUAUAUGUGUUUUGUGAAGGAUAUUCAGACAAGGAUGAUUCUUCUCGUGGGCCACAUGCAUAAAGGCCUCUACCAGUUUGAUGUCUCCCAGGAUGGUUCUUCCAAGAUGGUGCUACCCAACUCUAUGUCUGUGUAUCAAGCUCAGCUCUCUUCUAUACCUCUGUUGUGGCAUAAUCGGUUCGGUCAUCCGUGCAAUAACACCCUUGUUCGAGUAUUAAAGAAUUGUAAUGUUUCUUUUCAGCAUAAAGGUUUGCCAAGUGUGUAUGCAGCUUGUCAACUCGGCAAAUCUCAUAGACUUCCAUUUAGUGCGUCAAAAAUAGUCUAUUCUGUUCCAUUUGAGCUUGUUGUGUCUAAUGUUUGGGGACCCACUCAUGUCAAGUCAAAUGGUUUCUACUACUAUGUGUCUUUUGUUGAUAUGCACAGUAGAUACACCUAGUUGUAUUUCAUAAAGGUUAAGUCUGAAGUGUUGAACUGCUUUCUUCAUUUUCAACAAAUGAUUCAAGCACAGUUCGGUUAUCUAUAAAAAUGCUUCAAAACGAUUGGGGGGUGAAUAUCGCUCUCUGUCCACUGAAUUAUUCAAACAUGGUAUCUAACACAGAAUUACAUGUCCCCACACCUCAAAACAAAAUGGUGUGGCUGAACAGAGACACCGACAAGUUGUUGACAUGGGCUUAACUCUUCUGGCUCAAGCAUCAAUGCCUCUAGAAUUCUGGUCUUCUUCAUUUUCUCAUACAGUCCAUGUAAUCAACAGGCUACCUAUAUUGUUCUCCAAUGCAUUAGUCCCUAUGAAAAACUGUAUAAAGAGCUGCCUGACUACUCUCGUUUGCGAGUUCUUGGUUGUGCCUGUUUUCCUUACUUGCGGCCAUAUAAUCAACACAAACUUCAGUUUAGGUCCAAGUGUUGUACGUUUCUUGGUUUUGGGCCGAAUCACAAAGGCUAUAAGUGCCUCGAUGACACUCGUCAUGUGUUUGUGUCUCGCCAUGUUGUCUUCGAUGAGACUCAGUUCCUGUUUCAGCAAGGGUGUUCUUCUCGAACUCUAGUUUGUCCCAAGGAGCAACCUCGUCAGUAGUCUCAUAUUCCUGUUGUUACAGCGCCAACUUCUAACUCUCAUUUUAGUUCUGAAGCUGGCCCAACCACCUCAUCUUCAAUCGCACCUCCUACAUCAGUUCCUUCUAACCACAGUUCUCAUGUUGAUCGUGUGUCUUCCUCUCCUCCAGCUUCUGAAUCCUCACCUUCUUCUUCUCCCAUCAGGCCAGCUGUGAAUAAUCAUCCAAUGCAGACUCAGUCUAAAUGUGGCAUUUAUAAACCGAAAGUGUUCUCAUCAGUGGUGGCUGUGAAUGAACCAGCUUCCACACAUGAAGCUUUUUAGAGUCCUGAGUGGUCAGCUGCUGCCCAAGCUGAAUAUCAAGCCUUGCUUGCGAAUCGUACAUGGGACCUUAUGCCCUUACCUGCAGGCAAAAAAUCGGUAGGGUGUAAGUGGAUAUUCAAAGUGAAGAAGAAUGCUGAUGGUUCCAUAGCACGAUACAAGGGUCGGUUAAUGGUAAAAGGCUAUCUCCAAGAAGCCGGUAUUGAUUUUCAUGAGACUUUUAGUCCGGUGGUGAAGCCUACAACAAUUCGGGUGGUUCUGUCAAUAGCAUUAUCCAUGGGAUGGUCUCUAAGGCAAGUAGAUGUGAAUAACGCGUUCCUUAAUGGUGAUUUAAAUGAGGACAUAUACAUGGUGCAACCACCAGGUUUUGAACAAGUAGGGGUUAAUGGACAGCAGCUGGUGUGCAAGUUAAAGAAAGCAUUGUAUAGGCUUAACCAAGCUCCUCGAGCUUGGUUUCACAAGCUGAGGGAGUUUCUCUUAACUAGUCAGUUUGACAUAUCAAAGGCUGAUAAUUCUUUUUUUAUCAGAAAGUCUAGGGAUCAGCUGUUGUACGUACUGGUGUAUGUAGACGACAUCAUAGUCAUAGGGUCUGAUUCAGGUGCUAUAAACCAGUUUGUCAAUGAUCUUGAUCGACAAUUUUCUUUAAAGGAUUUAGGGAAGUUGAGUUAUUUUUUAGGCAUUGAGGUUCAUUAUACCUCAGAUGGGCUGGUUCUCAAUCAGAAGAAAUAUAUUCAAGAUCUUCUUAAGAAGGCUUCUAUGGAAAAGUCUAACAGCUCUUCUACACCAAUGGUGUCUACUUGUCGACUGUCAACUCAUGAAGGAAGGUCGGUUGACGAUGAGACCCUUUUUCAAAGUUUAGUAGGGGCCCUCCAGUAUGUGGUAAUCACUUGACCGGAUAUUGCUUUUUUAGUAAACAAAGUCUGCCAGUAUAUGCACCGACCCUUAGAUACGCAUUUUAAAGCAGUGAAGAGAAUUUUGAGGUAUUUGCAAGGCACACUAGACUAUGGUCUGCAUUUUCAUCGAACAUCUAAGUUUGUUCUUGAAGGCUACUCGGAUUCAAGCUGGGGGCCUGAUUUUGAUGACCGGAGAUCCACCUCGGGUUAUUGUAUUUUUCUUGGAGGGAAUCCAAUCUCCUGGAGCUCUCACAAACAGCAAGUUGUGUCCCGUUCGACCGCCGAAGCAGAAUAUAGGAGUUUGGCGAAUGUCAUAGCCGAAUUGGUCUGGCUUCAGUCGUUGUUGGCUGAAUUAAGUGUCUCAAUAUAGAAGAAGUCAUUGGUUUGGUGUGAUAGCUCUUGUGCAGUUGCUGUAGCAGGCAAUCCAAUCCUGCAUUCAAAAUUUAAGCACGUAGAGCUGGAUGUGUUCUUUGUAAGAGAGAAGGUAGCAUCGAGUGUGCUUCAAGUUGGUCACGUGCCCAGUGAGGGUCAGAUUGCUGAUGUUUUGACAAAACCAUUGUCUGUAUUACUGUUCACCAAGUUCAAGAGGUAGCUUCAAGUUCCUUCAUAUGAAAGUUAGAAGUGCAUGGGGAAUGUUAUGGGAAUUUAAGAAACGGCUUUGUAGUUAAAGUCUGUUAAAAGUAGUUAGGAUUAUCUGUUAGCUGUUAAAGGUGGUUAAGGGACUGCAUGUAUUAAAUACGUGGGUAUUCCUAUCUCUUAAGUAAGAAAGAAUGAAAAAAGUUGUUUUGAUUCGGUUUGUUCUAUAAUUCAACACGUUGGAUGUAUAGAAGGGAUACAAUUCCCAGCGAAAAUAACAGUUAGGCCUCCGAACAUAACCUCCUUUCUUCCCAUGGCAACAUGCUUUAAAGUAACUUACGGAUAGGCUGAGGCAGGAAUCACAAUCCUUGUGUGAUAAAUCUGGAGUGCACUGCAUUCGUGUAUUUAUCUUUUGGUAUUCCCCAAAAUCUGCUUCCCCAUUUGCAAACUUAAAGAGUAGACGUGUCGUUGGAAGCCUUUUACCCAACACUGUCCAUCAAACUAUCCCAAGCUGUAUAAAAUUGUGUUAAGUUCGACGUGAUGUCGUCAUUAUUAGAGCCUGCCUCACGGGUUCUAGCUCCAGGGUUCCAUAAAACGAGCGAUCUGAAUAGUGUACAUGACAUAGACUCCUCGCAUAUGAAAGGGCUUCUUUCUGGUUGGGACAGCUAGUGACGAGAUUGUGGAUUGAGCAAUAGAUACAUUCAUAACAAGCGUAUGGACUAGAGUCUCCUCUGCACAUAGCAAGAGUGUAAACUUUGUUAGAGUUUUGGCCAAUACUAGUAGUAAGGAAACCACCUUUAGUAGAGACAUUAGAUGGGAGAGAAGCAAGAAUAAGGUCCCGGUUUUUACCAUAUUCGCUAUUCGUAGAGAAAUUACCAAUGUCAAAACUUAUUAGGAGAGCCUCAACAAGAGUAAUGCCGAUGAGGAGAUAGGAGAGAAUUAAAGAGAGAAUUAAAGAAAGAGCUGUAACUUGAACCCACAUUUUGAGGUUGUAUGAUUUGAAGGAAACGAAACCUAAAAGAAACAAGUGGGAACUUCAAAUCCAGAUUUUUCAUGGAUGAGAAGAGAUGAGAGUUUUAUUGCCUCGAGUAGAAGUCAAAAGUCAUAGGAAACUUGGUUUUUAAUUCCUCAGUCUCAUCUGUCUGAGAGAGACAGGUCUAGUUAGUAGACAAUCUCCUUUAGGAAGACAGAUGAAAGUAUCUAUAUGUUGUAACAAGUGGCGGGCUUGUUAAGGAAUCCAAAAGAAGACCGCUACUAAUUAGACAAGUGAGACUCAGGCAUGAAAGACACAGGAUUCCAGUGACUUUUGCCUUAAUGAGUGCUCUUGACAACUUAAGGCGAGGAAACAAAAACCACAAGGAAAACUCACCUCCCUGCCAAGUAAAAUGUAGAUUAAAAGUUCCCAUUUCUAUUUUUGGAUUCAUUCAGUUUCUGUUCCCAUUUCUUUACUUGCAGUAUGGGCCAAAACUCCACAAUCACAAAAGGUAAGUACGCAUGUGGUAGAUGCCGUCCUGGUUUCAGGAAGAAAUUGGGUUUGUAAUAUCCUGAAUUAGGGCUUAAUCAGAAUAGUGGUUUCGUGGCCACAAAUCCGAGAUAGAAAUAAUUAUUUUAUAAUUAUUUUGAUGAAUAUGAUAUGAUUGCAUGAUUGUGUGAAAAUUUCGUGAUGAAAUUCUAUGCCUAAAGUGUUUAAAUUGAAAGUAGGGACUAAAUCGAAUAAGUUGCAAAAUUUGCAUUCUAGAAGUUUUUAGUAUGAAAUUGCAUUGAAAUAUUAAUUAGGAGGUCUUAAAUAGCAAUUUGACCAAUUUCUAUGUCUAUGGACAAAAAUUGGACAUGGAUGGAAUUUUUGGAAAGUUUAGUAGUAAGGGCAUUUUGGUCAUUUAGUUAUUAAAAUGAAUUAAAAAUAAAAUUAAAAGCCAAUUUUUGUCCAUCUUCUUCAUUAGGCCGAAAUUUCAAGGGUUCUCCAUAGUUAGGGUUUGUUUCAAGCUUCCAAGCUCCAUAGUAAGUGAUUCCAAGCCCCGUUUUUAAUGUUCUUUACGUUUUUGGAAUCUCGGUAGCUUGAUUAAGCUUAUGUUAGCAAUAAUUCAACCUAGGGUUUAUAUUUGGAAAAAUACCCAUAGGUGAAAUUUGUGUAUUUCGAUGUUUUAUGAUAGAAUAUGUGGUUUUAAAUUAUGUUAGACAACUUUUUCUACUCGAUUUUGAGUGAAAACGAGUAAAAGGGCUUAAUCGGCAAAAAUACCUAAUAGUCACAAGUAUAUGUUAGAGUAAGAAUUUGAUGUUGCCACAGAAGGGAAAAAUGAUCAGCAUGUUAUAAAACAUAAGAAUAAGAAAUAAAGUUUAAUUCCCGAGCCUAGGGGCAAAAGUGUAAUUAUGCAAAAGUUUAGGGGCAAAAGUGUAAUUUUUCCAAAGUUCGUAUUAAAUGCUGUUUUGAUGAAUGUAUGUAUUGAAUAAGAUUAAUUUGGCAUAUAGAUCAAGAGAAACGAGAUUCAAGUCGCGAUCGAGGAAAAGAAAAGAUUGUGGACUAAAUUGCAAAAUCUUUAUAUUUUGGUACCAAGGUAAGCUCAUGUGUAAAUAAUGUAGCAUAAUUGUUAUUUUUAAGUUAUUGAUGUUAAUUAUAUGAUAUGUUGAUUUUUUUUAUCGUGAAAUAUUAUGCUUUGUGGUUAAUGUUGAGUAAUAUGCAAAUUAUGUUUACUAUUUGAUAAAUAUGAAUUGCUACCGAGUAUCGGUUCCGAUAUUCCAUGGAAGACGGCAAUGUGAGAACGAAAAAAAAGCCUGUUUGAACCUUAGGAAUAGAUUAGGAUACAAGUGACAUGUCACUAGGAUGGUUGAGCAUCCGAACUCGUUGAGUUGAGUCUGAGUUCACUUAUGGAUGCGAAUGUCCGAACUCAUUGAGUUGAGUCCGAGUUCGUGAGAUGUAACUAGGCAUCCGAACUCGUUGAGUUGAGUCCAAGUUCACUUAUGGAUGCGAACUCCCGAGCUCGUUGAGUUGAGUCCGAGUUCACUUAGGGGCGGGUUACAUGAUUUCUUGAUUACAUAUGAGGCACUUAUGUGCAAAUUAUCCAUGUAUCCGAGUUGUAUUCCGAUGUGUUCAACGGGUGAAAUUUCUAGUGAAAUGGAAGAACACUUAAGAUGCAAGCGACGUUUUGGUAAGUGUUGUGAAAUGGACACUUUGGACAAGUAUGUUCUUAACCCUCGGGUUGAAAAUAGAUACAACAACGAUAAGGUGGUAAGAUGAUGAAUGAUGUUUAGAAAUGUGAUAUAUGUUUUGGUGAUACCAUGCUAAAGUUGUUUGGUAUAUUUGUAUUGUUAUGUUACUUGUUAUUUACAUAUGAACUUACUAAGCAUUUAUGCUUACUCCCUCCUCUUUAUUUACUGUAGUUUUGAACAAGCCAGCUCGGGAAUCGGGACGGCUCGAAGGUUCGAUCACACUAUCCAAAGGACUUUCAUCUGGGUAAAUGGCUUGUAAAACUUAAGUAUGGCAUGUAUAGCAAUAUACUUAUUUUGUGUGAAUAAUUUUAUGAUAUGGCCAUGAUUGGUUGAGAAAAUGUUUGAUAUUGAUAAGUUAUGGUGAUGGUUAAAUUUAGAUCAUGUUUGAUAUCAUGGAAGUUUAAUAGGUUAUCUAGUUCACAACAACUCAUGAAAAGAUGAAAUUUGCCUUAUGACAGAAUAUUGCUGCAGCAAUGACAUGAAUUUGAAAAAUCACUAAAAAUAGUAUAAAUGGAAUUAAAUGAUGAUCAAGUUAUUAAAUUAAAGCUUAAUGAGUCUAUUUUCAUAUGGAUAAAAAAAACAGGCAUAUAUAUUAUACUUUAUGAGAUAUUUGAAACCUUGUGAAAUAGGGCCAGAGUGAUUUCUGGAUCCUCUGUUCUGACUUUAAAAAUUCAUAAUAAAUUGUAAAAACAUAAUUAGAAGUCAUUCUUUAUAUGUCAAAAUUCCUUUUUGAGUCUAGUUUUAGUAAAAACAAACCUUGUAGUCAUUGAAAUUCUUUAUAGAGAGAUAUCUGAUUCGUAAUACACAGAGGUCAGAGCAGUCAAACCCUGAAACAUGGGAGAAUUUAACUAAUAAACUGUACUAAUUGGCCCAACCAAAAAUUCUAGAAACAAAUUAUUAAAUAUAUAUAUGAGUCUAGAUUUAGGCAAAAUUUACGGAUCUUGAUUUUGAGUUUUGUAACUCGAGAUAUGAUUUUUCUUGUAACUGUGAUGCGGGUAGCUAGAAAGCUGUGAAUGUAGAAACAAAUGAUUUGAAGUUCUUAAUUUGAUAAAUCAUGUUCGGUAACCCCUCAAGCUCGACUCCGGCGACGGUUUCAGACGUGGGGGCAUUACAUUUGGUGGUAUCAGAGCAGGUUUAGUCGGUUAUCGGACUACGUGUUGUAUGUACGGAUUUUGCUAUACAUGCCAUAUGUAUGAAUUGUGAUAGUGUGAUGACUUCUGACCUUUUUAAAUGAGUUUUAUAUGGUAAAUGGAUCCCAAUCCAGCUGUGGCAGAUGAAGUAGAGAGUAAUGCGCCAGCUCCGGCUGAAGGGGCAGCGCCGACUGAAAACCCACCCUCUACUGUUGGUUAAGGAGGAGGAGAAGGGGAUCGGGAAGCCUUUCUCCAAAUGAUGAGUGCAUGGUACACUGAGUUCGUUUGUACGAACCCAAAUGUACGACCUCCCCCACCUCCCCCAAUUCCUCAACCUAUGCCUCUGAUGCCUCGGGGAGUGGAUAUGAUAAAAUUUCACAAAACCCCCAUUGAUAGAAUUCGUAAACAAGGGGCUGAAGAAUUUAGAGCAAAUAUUGAUGAUGAUGCAGAGAAAGCAGAGUUCUGGCUUGAAAAUUCUAUCCGGGUAUUUGAUGAAUUAUCUUGUACACCUGAAGAAUGUUUGAAAUGUGCUACAUCUUUGUUGAGAGAUUCAGCCUAUAAUUGGUGGAAGACUUUGAUUUCGGUGGUACCGAAAGAGAGGGUAACCUGGGAAUUCUUUCAAGAAGAGUUUCGGAAGAAAUAUAUUAGUGAAAGAUUUAUUGAUCAGAAAUGUAAAGAGUUUCUUGAGCUAAAGUAAGGUAAUAUGACAGUCUCAGAAUAUGAAAGAGAGUUUGUUCGAUUGAGUAAGUAUGCCAGGGAAUAUGUUCCUACAGAAGCCAAGAUGUGCCGACGAUUUGAAGAUGGGCUUAACGAAGACAUUAAGGUAUUUGUUGGGAUCCUUGAACUAAAAGAAAUGGUGGUACUUGUCGAUCGAGCUUGCAAGGCUGAAGAAUUACUGAAGGAAAAGAAAAAGGUAGAAUCUGAAACACGAAAUUGGAAGAAAAGACCAAUGAGUAAUGCACCCUCACAACAAACCAGAAAUUCAAGAAAUAUGAAUCCUCGUUCCCAAGUUUCAGCUGGGCAAUCAUAUGGAAAUUUUAAGAAGCGAAAUGUGGGUCCUAAAUCUCAGACUACUUCUACGGCUAGUGUGGGAAAUACGAGAUUUGUUAAACCCGAGUGCCAGCGGUGUGGUAGAAAUCAUUUUGGUCCGUGCAGAGCAAAUGAAUGUUUUCGAUGUGGUUCUCCGGAUCAUUUUAUUAGAGACUGCCCAGAGAGAGCUCAGAAAGAAAAAUUUUCAGAAUGUAAAAGCUAGUGGUGCAGACUCGAGGGGAAGGUAUCUAAGAAAAGCUGGAAGUGAAACAAGCAGUAAGAAUGUAGCCAGAGAUGCAGUAGUUAGAUCUGAAGGAAGAGCUCCGCUUAGAACUUAUGCUAUUAAAGCGCGUGAAGAUGUUUCCUCACCCGAUGUGAUUACCGGUACAUUUUCUCUUUAUGAUACUAAUGUUAUUGCUUUGAUUGAUCCCGGUUCUACUCAUUCAUAUGUAUGCAUGAAACUGGUGUCUAGUAUGAAUAUACCUAUUGAGAACACAGAAUUUAUGAUUAGAGUGUCAAAUCCACUAGGCAAAUGUGUGAUAGUUGAUAAAGUAUGCAAGAAAUGCCCUUUAAUGAUUCGGUGUCAUUACUUUCCGGCCGACUUGAUGUUGUUGCCGUUUGAUGAAUUUGAUGUUAUUUUGGGUAUGGAUUGGUUGACAUUGCAUGAUGCUAUAGUAAAUUGCAAAGAAAAGGUUAUAGAAUUAAAAUGUGAAAGUGGUGAAAUCUUGCGGGUUGAACCAGACAAAUCAGAGGCAAUAUUUAGUAUGAUUUCUUCGAUGUCGGCUCAGAGAUAUUUGAGAAAGGGUUAUGAAGCUUAUUUGGCGUAUGUAAUUAAUACAAAAGAAGUUGAAAAGAAAGUUGAAUCAGUGCCGGUUGUGUGUGAAUUUGCGGAUGUAUUUCCAGAAGAAUUGCUGGGUUUGCCUCCAGUCAGGGAAGUAGAAUUUGGUAUAGAUUUGAUACUGGGAACAGCUCCGAUCUCGAUUGCUCCAUAUAGAAUGGCACCCACAGAGUUGAAAGAAUUAAAGUCGCAGUUGCAAGAGUUGACUGAUAAAGGCUUUGUGAGACCAAGUUUUUCACAUUGGGGUGCUCCCGUGUUAUUUGUGAAAAAGAAAGAUAGUUCUAUGAGAUUAUGUGUUGAUUAUCGGCAGUUAAACAAGGUGACAAUAAAAAACAAGUAUCCAUUACCGAGAAUUGAUGAUUUGUUUGAUCAGCUAAAAGGAGCGACAUGGUUUUCAAAGAUUGACUUGAGAUCUGGGUGUUAUCAGCUGCGAGUGAAAGAGUCAGACGUGCCUAAAAUUGCUUUUAGAACAAGGUACGGUCAUUAUGAAUUUUUAGUUAUGCUAUUCGGGUUGACAAAUGCUCCUGCUGUGUUUAUGGACUUAAUGAAUCGCAUAUUUCGGCCAUACCUGGACAGAUUUGUUGUGGUGUUUAUAGAUGAUAUUUUAAUUUAUUCAAAAGAUGAGACAGGGCAUGCUGAGCAUUUGAGUAUAGUUUUGCAAACUUUGAUAGAUAAGCAGCUGUAUGCUAAGUUUAGUAAAAGUGAAUUUUGGCUCCGGGAAGUUAGAUUUUUGGGUCAUAUUGUUUCAGGUGAUGGUAUACGGGUUGAUCCUAGUAAAAUUUCAGCCAUUGUUGAUUGGAAACCACCGAAAAAUGUAACUGAAGUUAGGAGUUUCUUGGGGCUAGCUGGGUAUUAUCGGUGGUUUGUAAAUGGAUUUUCUAUAAUUGUUGCUCCUAUGACUAGACUACUUCGAAAGGAUGUUAAAUUUGAAUGGACGGAAGAAUGUCAACAGAGUUUCGAAGAAUUGAAAAAGUUAUUAACUGAAGCACCAGUGUUGAUACAACCCGAAUCAGGUAAAAAAUUUAUGGUGUAUAGUGAUGCUUCUCUAAAUGGUUUGGGGUGUGUACUCAUGCAAGAAGGAAAAGUGGUGGUUUAUACUUCGAGGUAGUUAAAACCUCACGAGAGGAAUUAUCCUACUCACGAUUUGGAAUUGGCUGCAGUGGUGUUUGCUUUGAAGAUUUGGCGACAUUAUUUGUAUGGUGAAAAGUGCCGAGUAUAUACCGAUCACAAAAGUCUUAAAUACUUGAUGUCACAAAAAGACUUGAAUUUGAGACAGCGAAGAUGGUUAGAGUUAUUGAAAGAUUACGAGCUUGUUACUGAUUAUCAUCCGGGAAAAGCGAAUGUGGUUGCCGAUGCUUUAAGCAGAAAGUUGUUGUUUGCUUUGAGAGUUAUGAACACUCAGUUGAAAAUGUCAGAUGACGGUUCGAUUCUAGCAGAGUUAAGAGCAAGACCAAUGUUUUUACAAGAGAUUUUUGAAGCUUAGAAAAAUGAUCAAGAUUUGCUAGCUAAGAGAAAACAGUGUGAAGCUGAUACGGGAUCAGAUUUUAGAAUCGGUUCUGAUGGUUGUUUGAUGUUUAAAAAUCAGAUUUGUGUAGUGAAAAAUGAUUAGUUGAUUCAAAAGAUUUUGCAUGAAGCAUAUAAUGGUUGUUUGGCGGUUCAUCCGGGCAGUACGAAGAUGUAUAAUGACUUAAAGAAAAUGUACUGGUGGAGUGGAAUGAAAAGAAAUAUUUCCGAGUUUGUAUCAAAGUGCUUAGUUUGUCAACAAGUGAAAGCUGAACACCAAGUACCUUCGGGAUUACUUCAGCCUAUUAUGGUUCCUAAAUGGAAAUGGGAUCGGAUUACUAUGGAUUUUAUAUUAGGGUUGUCGUUAACUCCAGGGAAGAAAAAUGCCAUCUGGGCAAUAGUUGACAGACUGACUAAAUCGGCUCAUUUUAUUCCAGUACGUACAGAUUAUUCUCUUAAUAAGUUGGCUGAAUUGUAUAUCCGAGAGAUUGUUAGACUUCAUGGGAUACCUUUGUCAAUCAUUUCGGAUAGAGAUCUAAGGUUUACCUCACGGUUUUGGCAAAAGUUGCAAGAGGCAUUAGGUACAAAGUUAAAUUUUAGCACUGCCUUUCAUCCACAAACUGAUGGACAAUCAGAGAGAGUAAUUCAGAUUCUUGAAGACAUGCUCAGAUGUUGCGUAUUGGAAUUUCAAGAUAGUUGGGAAAGGUACUUACCAUUGGUAGAAUUUGCUUGUAAUAAUAGUUAUCAGACGAGUUUGAAGAUGGCACCUUAUGAAGCAUUAUAUGGUCGUAAAUGUCGGACGCCAUUGUAUUGGACUGAACUCAAGGAAAAUCAGAUUUAUGGAGUUGAUUUAAUAAAAGAAACCGAAGAAAAGGUGAAAGUGAUUUGAGAUUGUUUGAAAGCUGGUUCAGAUAGACAGAAAUCUUAUGCGGAUUUGAAACGAAAAGAAAUGGAGUUUCAAGUUGGUGAUAAGGUAUUUUUGAAAGUGUCUCCAUGGAAGAAAGUCCUUAGAUUUGGACGAAAUGGCAAGUUAAGUCCGCGUUUUAUUGGACCGUAUGAAAUAAUUGAAAAAGUUGGACCGGUAGCAUAUCGGCUAGCGCUACCACCUGAAUUAGAGAAGAUUCAUGAUGUGUUUCACGUAUCUAUGUUAGUCGGUAUCGUUCGGAUCCUUCACAUAUAAUUUCACCGACAGAAGUUGAACUACGACCGGAUAUGACUUAUGAAGAAGAACCGAUUAAGAUUUUAGCUCGAGAAGUCAAAAAACUAAGAAAUAAAAGUGUUGCACUUGUGAAAGUGUUGUGGCAAAAGCAUGGGGUAGAAGAGACUACAUGGGAACCUGAAGAAACUAUGAAAAACCAAUACCCACACCUGUUUACCGGUAAGAUUUUCGAGGACGAAAAUCCCUAAAAGGAGGGAGAGUUGUAAUAUCCUGAAUUAGGGCUUAAUUAGAAUAGUGGUUUCGUGACCACAAAUCUGAGAUAAAAAUAAUUAUUUUAUAAUUAUUUUGAUGAAUAUGAUAUGAUUGCAUGAUUGUGUGAAAAUUUCGUGAUGAAAUUCUAUGCCUAAAGUGUUUAAAUUGAAAGUAGGGACUAAAUCGAAUAAGUUACAAAAUUUGCAUUCUAGAAGUUUUUAGUAUGAAAUUGCAUUGAAAUAUUAAUUAGGAGGUCUUAAAUAGCAAUUUGACCAAUUUCUAUGUCUAUGGACAAAAAUUGGACAUGGAUGGAAUUUUUGGAAAGUUUAGUAGUAAGGGCAUUUUGGUCAUUUAGUUAUUAAAUGAAUUAAAAACAAAAUUAAAAGCCAAUUUUUGUCCAUCUUCUUCAUUAGGCCGAAAUUUCAAGGGUUCUCCAUAGUUAGGGUUUGUUUCAAGCUUCCAAGCUCCAUAGUAAGUGAUUCCAAGCCCCGAUUUUAAUGUUCUUUACGUUUUUGGAAUCCCGGUAGCUCGAUUAAGCUUAUGUUAGCAAUAAUUCAACCUAGGGUUUAUAUUUGGAAAAAUACCCAUAGGUGAAAUUUGUGUAUUUUGAUGUUUUAUGAUAGAAUAUGGGGUUUUAAAUUAUGUUAGAUAACUUGUGCUACUCGGUUUUGAGUGAAAACGAGUAAAAGGGCUUAAUCGGCAAAAAUACCUAAUAGUCACAAGUAUAUGUUAGAGUAAGAAUUUGAUUUUGACAUAGAAGGGAAAAAUGAUCAGCAUGUUAUAAAACAUAAGAAUAAGGAAUAACGUUUAAUUCCCGAGCCUAGGGGCAAAAGUGUAAUUUUUCCAAAGUUCGUAUUAAAUGUUGUUUUGAUGAAUGUAUGUAUUGAAUAAGAUUAAUUUGGCAUUAUAGAUCAAGAGAAAUGAGAUUCAAGUCGCGAUCGAGGGAAAGAAAAGAUUGUGGACUAAAUUGCAAAAUCUUUAUAUUUUGGUAACAAGGUAAGUUCAUGUGUAAAUAAUGUAGCAAAAUUGUUAUUUUUAAGUUAUUGAUGUUAAUUAUAUGAUAUGCUGAUUUUUUUUAUCGUGAAAUAUUAUGCUUUGUGGUUAAUGUUGAGUAAUAUGCAAAUUAUGUUUACUACUUGAUAAAUAUGAAUUGCUACCGAGUAUCGGUUCCGAUAUUCCAUGGAAGACGGCAAUGUGAGAUCGAAAAAAAAAAGCCUGUUUGAACCUUAGGAAUAGAUUAGGAUACAAGUGACAUGUCACUAGGAUGGUUGAGCAUCCGAACUCGUUGAGUUGAGUCCGAGUUCACUUAUGGAUGCGAAUGUCCGAACUCGUUGAGUUGAGUCCGAGUUCGUGAGAUGUAACUAGGCAUCCGAACUCGUUGAGUUGAGUCCAAGUUCACUUAUGGACGCAAACUCCCGAGCUCGUUGAGUUGAGUCCGAGUUCACUUAGGGGCGGGUUACAUGAUUUCUUGAUUACAUAUGAGGCACUUAUGUGCAAAUUAUCCGUGUAUCCGAGUUGUAUUCCGAUGUGUUCAACGGGUGAAAUUUCUAGUGAAAUGGAAGAACACUUAAGAUGCAAGUGACGUUUUGGUAAGUGUUGUGAAAUGGACACUUUGGACAGGUAUGUUCUUAACCCUCGGGUUGAAAAUAGAUACAACAACGAUAAGGUGAUAAGAUGAUGAAUGAUGUUUAGAAAUGUGAUAUAUGUUUUGGUGAUACCAUGCUAAAGUUGUUUGGUAUAUUUGUAUUGUUAUGUUACUUGUUAUUUACAUAUGAACUUACUAAGCAUUUAUGCUUACUCCCUCCCCUUUAUUUACUGUAGUUUUGAACUAGCCAACUCGGGAAUCGGGACGGGUCGAAGGUUCGAUCACACUAUCCAAAGGACUUUCAUCUGGGUAAAUGGCUUGUAAAACUUAAGUAUGGCAUGUAUAGCAAUAUACUUAUUUUGUGUGAAUAAUUUUAUGAUAUGGCCAUGAUUGGUUGAGAAAAUGUUUGAUAUUGAUAAGUUAUGGUGAUGGUUAAAUUUAGAUCAUGUUUGAUAUCAUGAAGUUUAAUAGGUUAUCUAGUUCAUAACAACUCAUGAAAAGAUGAAAUUUGCCUUGAGACAGAAUAUUGCUGCAGCAAUGACAUGAAUUUGAAAAAUCACUAAAAAUAGUAUAAAUGGAAUUAAAUGAUGAGCAAGUUAUGAAAUUGAAUCUUAAUGAGUCUAUUUUCAUAUGGAUAAAAAAACAGGCAUAUAAAUUAUACUUUAUGAGAUAUUUGAAACCUUGUGAAACAGGGCCAGAGUGAUUUCUGGAUCCUCUGUUCUGACUUUAAAAAUUCAUAAUAAAUUGUACAAAAAUAAUUAGAAGUCAUUCUUUAUAUGUACAAAUUCCUUAUUGAGUCUAGUUUUAAGAGAAACAAACCUCGUAGUCAUUGAAAUUCUGUAUAGAGGGAUAUCUGAUUCGUAAUACACAGAGGUCAGAGCAGUCGAACCCUGAAACAGGGGAGACUUUAACUAAUAAACUGUACUAAUUGGCCCAACCAAAAAUUCUAGAAAAAGCUGUGAAUGUAGAAACAAAUGAUUUGAAGUUCUUAAUUUGAUCAAUUAUGUUCGGUAACCCCUCAAGCUCGACUUCGGCGACGAUUUCGGGCGUGGGGGCGUUACAGGGUUAAAGUACCUAGAAAGCCCUUUCCUUAGCUGCAGAUUGUAUUACUGUUUUUUUACCGAAAAAAUUGGUAAAUUAAUCAUUUUGAAAUAUGUAAAUUAAUUCAUUGUUUCAAUUUUCUGUUAAAUAAUAAUAUGAAACAUACUAUACUGAAUUUUGUUACGAGUAAAUUAAAUUUUUCGAAAUUAAAUAUUUUAGUACCUCUAAAUAGAUGUGAGCUCAUUUAUUGAUUUAAUAAUAAAAUUAGUCUUCUAAUGUUUACAGAUUCUAUCAAUUUAAUCCUAAAUAUAAAUAAUUAAACAAAUUUUUCUCUCAAUGCUUACAAAAUUUGUCAUUUUAGUUCUACUUCUAAAAAUUCAAUAAAUUUGACCCUCAACAUUUAUAAAAUCUAUCAAUUUAGUCUUUAACUCUAAAAAUUUUAAAAUUAGUUUUUUUAAAAAUUAUUUUUAGCCCUUUUAUAACCUACUGGCUAACUAUGAUUACAAUGGGAUCAUUUUUUGCUUGCCCCACCCUGAUCUCUAUCGCCAUGCCUUGAGCUUGACCCCACCCCAACUUUAAAAAAAAAUUAACUAGCUCUGAAUCCAAACCCAAAAAUUAAUAGUAUACCCGACUUCGAUACGGUUCAACCUGAGUUUAAUUUUGUUAUUUUGUUUUUUGUGAAAAUAUGAUUAAUUAAUUUUUUUUAAAAAGCGUAAGCAACCAAAAUAGCAACUUUUGUUUACCUCAAGUUACAUUUUAGUUACUUAUGUUUGGAAUGUUACGUUUUAGUUACUUACGUUAUCGUGUUGUGACAUUUUAGUCACCAAGUCAUUAAUUGUCGUUAACGGUGUAACGAUAAGUUGACGUGGUACGUUAAAUCAUCAUUUCAAAAAAAAAAUUUAGGUUAAUUUAUACAAUCGGUCCCCAUAUUUUUUCGUUUUGAGCAAUUUAAUUUUUUUGUUUAUAGUCUUUUAACUUUUUUUUUCCAUUCUCUUUUGAUUCUUCCUUUGUUUUCCUCUCUUCUCCAUUUCUUUUAAUAUAGUUUUUCUAUAUUUUUCAUUUGUUAAAACUAGUCCCUAUACUUUUUUUGGAACAAUUUAAUUUUUUCGAGUGAGUAGAGUUUGUGGACUAGUUUUAACAAAUAAAAAAUAUAGAAAAACUAUGUUAAAAUAAAUGAAAAUGGGAGGGAAACAUUGGGAGAAGCAAAAGAGAAUAGAAAAUAAAGGAAAAAAAUUUAAUUGCUCAAAAUAAAAAAAUAUAUUGGGACAAAUUGUAAAAUUUAACCUAAAAUUUUCGUUUGAAAUGAUGAUUUAACGUGCCAUGACAGCUUACUGUUACACCGUUAACGACAAUUAAUGGUUUAGUAACUAAAAUGUUACAAUACGAUAAUUAAGUGACUAAAAUGUAACAUUUCAAACAUAAGUGAUUAAAAUGUAACCCAAAACAAACAAAAGGAACGAUUUUGGUAGUUUACCCUUUUAAAAAUGAAGAUUUACACAAAUAUAUAUUUUUCAUAAAAAUGUGAUUAAUUAAAUUUAUAUUUAUAUCUAGAGUUGUGUGUUAAUAUAUAUUUACACAAAUGUCGUGAUUACAACACACAAGAAAAAAGAAAGAACAAAUGUUCCUUUAUAAAUUAUUAAAUUAACAAUAUAGGAAAUGGGGAGGGUGAAAGGGAACUAAUAUAGGGGAGGUAGAAUGAAAUUACUAGUGAUAAAUUUGAGAGAUAUUUUUAAUUUAAAUCAUAUUAAAUAUGUAUAAAGGGUAAUUUCAUAAAUAUCCUAGAGUGGGGUAGGGUAGUUUUAUUCUAAACUUGACCCUGACCUGACCCCAUUAUUUUUAAAAAUUAACCUACCCUGCAUCGAACCCAAACUUAAAUAAAAAAAAACUUGACCCUAUCGAGUCGAAUCGACUUGGAAUCCAUUGAAUUUGGAGUUUUUUUUCCAUACCUUCGGCUAACUCAUGUAAGAUAUUAAAAAAAAAGGGAGUACUCUCUUUUUAAGUUGUUUGCAAAAAAAAAAAACUCUAAAAAGUUGGGAUAAACCACAAAAAAAUUUAAGUUCCAAAAAAAAACAUUAAAAAUAUUAUCUAAUCGGUUAGUAAUGUAGCCAAUUAUUCCAAAUCAAUUGGUUUGGUCCAGUGUGAAUCCAAAAUUAUAGUAAAAAAAUUUUGUUGCAAGUUACUUGAAAGAGGAUACUUUUGUUUUUUUUUAAUACCUUGUAUGAGUUAGCCGAUAGGUUAUAAAUGGCUAAAAAAUAAACUUUUUUUAUAUUUUUUUAUUUUUAGAGUUGGGACUAAAUUGAUAGAUUUUGUAAAUGUUGACGGACAAAUUUAUUAAUUUUUUAAAAUUAGAACUAAAAUGACAUUUUGUAAACAUUGAAUGCUAAAUUUGUUAAUUUUUUUAUAUUUAGGAUCAAAUUAAUAGAAUGUGUAAAUAUUAGAAGGCUAAUUUUGUUACUAGACUAAUAAAGAAAACCUCACAUCAUGUCAGAAUGACUAAAAUAUUUAAUUUCGAAAAGUUUAGUGAUUAAAUAAAAAUUAAUAGUUAGGUGCAGGGGCGAAGCUAGAAUAAAUUUUUAGGGGAGGCUGGAUAAAAUUUUAAUUUUUAUAGUUUAUAUCUUUAUAAUUUAUAAAGGAUUAAAUCGAAAUUUUAUAAUUUUAUGGGGGUCAAAUUAUAAUUUUAUCUUUACUAAUUUAAAAUUUUUAAAAAAUAUUAAAGGCCAAAAGAGCAAAUUUAUAUUUUAGGGGGGACCGGGGCCCAUGCCAGCCCCCUGACUUUGCCCCUGGUUUUGUGACCAAAAUAAAACAAAAAGUAUAAUUGGGUGGCCAUUUUUAUAAUUUACCUAGAAAACAAUAAUUUUCAAAAUGUUACGUGUUGUUAAAUAUUUAAUGGAUGAGCUAAUUUGCACAUUUCAAAAUGUAUAAAAAUUAAUUUAUUAUUAUUUUAAUAAAAAAGUUGAAAUAUAAUAACAAGAGAAGGAAUUGAUGCAUAUAGAAAUUCGAGUAAAUCAAUAUGUUAUAUAAAAUGUUAUUGCUCUAAUUAUUUGAUUAAUUACUAAUCUAUAAGCACAAAAAAAUAUAUUAUUGGAGAGGUUUUAAAGUUAAAAAAUUGAUUUUUAGUAUCGUAUAAUUUAAUAAGAACUUAUUGAUCAGAUAAUCAUAUGUAGUUAAUGGCUGGCAAUAAAUCAAGAUAUUAUUUGUAUAUAUAAGAUAAUCAGUUCUUGUACCUAAAUUAUUAAUUUAUUUAUAUUAAAGGAAUUUAUUCAAAUCAAAUUUAAAUAAAAAUUACACAUAUCGAAUUAAAUAAAUUAUCCUUUUAUCAUAAACAACUUUAAUACUCAUUGCUUUGCUUUGAAUUAUUAUAUACUUAAAACUCUCUAUAAACUCCUCAAGGUAAGGUUAUCUUAACCAUUUUUGACUUUCGCCCACAAUGUAUUAUUAUAAUCUAAACUUGGGAAAAUGAGAAAGAAGAAACAGAAAUGUCAAUCAAAAUAGCUGAAUCGCCUUCACCCCAUCUUCAAACUAAGAAGAAGAAAGCUUUGAUCGUGAUUGAUGCCUUCCUUCAACCUCAUUUCCUCUGUGCUUUUGUUUUUUUACAUCUUUGAUCUCGCAGCCGAUGCCAACCCAAGUUUCUUAUACAAGUUCUGUUAUGACAAAGAUACCACUUUCACAACAAACAGCACUUAUGGAACCAAUCUCAAUCUCCUCCUCUCUUCUCUUACCUCCAACGCCAACCGGAUCGACGGUUUCUACAACACCACGGUGGAGCAACAACCACCCGACAGAAUCUACGGUCUCUUCCUUUGUCGAGGGGAUGUUACACCGGAUGUUUGCCGAGACUGUGUGGCUGCAGCUGCCAGGAAUGCUACUAGUCUUUGUCCCAUGGAGAAAAACUCUGUGAUUUGGUACGAUAAGUGCAUGCUACGUUACUCGAAUGAAUCUAUCUUUUCGACGAUGGAAACCUGGCCUGGUGGGACUGUAUGGGAUAACGACACUUUCACGGAAGAGGAAGACUUCGUUGACAUAGUGGCGUCUUUGGUGAAAGAUGUAGCAAGCGAGGCAGCCGAUGCUCCAAUGGGUGCUAAAAAGUUUGCGACCAAAGAGGCGAAUCUUAGCGGGUCUCAAACGCUGUACAGCCUUGCACAGUGCACGCCGGAUAUUUCCGACGUGGCUUGCAAUUUAUGUCUUGAGAGUGCUAUUACAGAGUUCUCAGAUUGUUGUCGUCAAAAAGAGAAAGCAACUCGAGCAAGUUCAUUGCUGCCUAGCUGCAAUGUUCAAUAUGGAUUAACCCCAUUUUAUAACAAAACUGCAGGGGAAGUAUCCAGGUCCAAGCCAUCUCCUCUGCCGCCAAGAGAUUCAGGGAAAGGGAAGAUCUCAUCACAGACAAUUAUUUACAUUAUUGUUCCAACGGUUGGUUUCUUAGUGCUUUUGUCAACAUUUUGUUAUUGCAUUCUAAGAAGGAAAGCAAGGAUGAAACCCUAUUUGCUAAAGGACCAGAAGGGUACUGUGGCCGUUGUCUUAUAUGUUAGCAUAUGGUUAACAAUUCAUAUUUACUUUUUCUAUUUUUUUUUUCAUAUAAAAUUACCCUGUAAUUAAUAUCAUAUCAAUUGUCUGUAGAUAAAAGCAAGGCUAGAACCAUGAAUUCUUUACAAUAUGACAUGAGCACAAUUGAAGCAGCUACAGACAAUUUCUCUGAUGCAAACAUGAUUGGUGUGGGUGGAUUUGGCAGUGUGUAUAAGGUACAAGUUGGUAGUAGAAUUGUAGAUUUGUCUAAAUCCAUUAACCAUACAGCAAUUCGGACUAUUGAGGAAUGCCUAUGGUAUUUAAUCAGGGUACACUUGCAAAUGGACAAGAAAUUGCAGUGAAAAGGCUAUCAAGAAGUUCUAAACAAGGUGCAGAGGAAUUCAAGAAUGAGGUUGCGUUGGUAGCCAAGCUUCAGCACCGGAAUCUCGUGAGGCUGUUGGGAUUUUGCGUUGAAAGAGAAGAGAGGAUGCUCAUCUAUGAGUUUGUCCCCAACAAAAGCCUAGACUGCUUCCUCUUUGGUCUGCCCCUCUUCAACUUAAAGCUUUCACCAAAAGAUACAUAUACGUUAUGGAUUAAACUGUUACUUAUGGACAUUGGUAUUUCUUAUUUUGAACAACAUUUGAUCUAGAUUCUGUCAGUUCCAUAGUCUUGAUGCCGUCUUGUAUGCAGAUACUGAGAAGCAGAAACAAUUAGAUUGGCCAACACGUCUCAAGAUUAAAAGGAACCGCUCGUGGACUUCUAUAUCUUCAUACAGAUUCAAGGCUGAAGAUUGUACAUCGUGAUCUCAAACCUAGCAAUAUCUUGUUGGAUGAGGAUAUGAAUCCCAAAAUAUCAGAUUUUGGAAUGGCUAGAAUUGUUGAAGAAAACCACAACCUCGAAUAUACCAAGAAGAUUGUUGGGACAUAGUAAGUUUCCCAUCCCAUAAUCUUUAUUUCAACAACUGAUAAAUAAAGUCUAUGUUUCGGGAAAAUUCCAUAAAAUUUCCUGUUUUAGUCAACAUAAGCAUACUAAUAAAUACCCUCGUCUUAGUGGUUAUAUUGCUCCAGAAUAUGCAUUGCAUGGGAUAUUCUCUUUCAAAUCCGAUAUGUAUAGCUAUGGCGUGUUGACGCUUGAAAUUGUUGGUGGCAAAACGAACACCAGUUUCUAUAAUCCUGAAAGUUCUGAGAACCUUCUGAGCUAUGUAGGUCCAGCAUGAAAUUUCAAUUUCAUCAUAUAAUUUCCUAUGAAGUGAUAAAGCACCAAUGUUGGGAUCAUUACAGGCUUGGAGAUAUUGACAGAGAGGAGGCCACUGGAGAUAAUGGAUCCGACUUUAAGAGAUUCUUAUGUGAGUGAUGAAGUCAUUAGGUGCAUUCAGAUUGGUUUGCUGUGCGUCCAACAAAAUCCAAAGUCAAGGCCGACCAUGGCUAGAAUUGUUCCCAUGCUUAGCAGUUCUGCUAUUACUUUACCAGCACCACAACAACCUGCCUUCUUUUUAGGAACAAAGACAAGAGGAAGCACCUCAGGAGAAGAGAUGGGAUUGGAUCAAUCAACAAGGAAGUUCCAAUGCUCAACAAAUGAUGUAUCUAUCACCGAAUUUUACCCUCGGUAGCAAGUUGAGUCCAUUCUUUUGAAAAGAAAAUUGAUGUAAACUGUUCUUCCAUUAAUUCUAUGGAAAGGUUCUAAUUUGAAGCUUCUUUGUUAAUUAUUACUACGUUUAUUUAUAUCAAAGAAGCAUUGAGUAUCUAGACAAAGAUUCAGAAACUAAGCAAUGCAAGUACUAGGUACCAUGUUAGAACUUCACCGAGGAUCUAGUUCAGAAAUUGAAGCCUCGUUGACUGACACUUGAAUGGUUUCUCGUUUAGAUUGAUUGGAGAGUGAUGAUGACUGAGACUUCGUUUCUGUCUCCAAGGUGGAAUGCAUGGAAAAUGCAGGUCUUGAUGGCACUGGCAGUGAUAUGGAAUAGCUACUAAGCAUGAGAACGACAGAGGCCAUGGUUGGUCUAGAAUCAAUAUUGUCUUGAACACAAAGCAACCCAAGAUGGAUACAUCUCAUUAUUUCACUUCUGGAGCCAUCCCUCAGGAUUGGAUCUACUACUUCCAAAGGAGUUCCUUCACUCCAGUUUCUCCAUGCCUGCAAAACUCGAGGAAUGUGAACUUACAUUGUGUGUUAGCAAAUUCUAAUCCAGUAAUACGAUAACCACUGUAUGCAGCUUACAUGGGUUAGAAGAGAGUCUCCCACUUCUUGGUUGGAGAAGCUAUUGAUUUUUUUACCACUAAUGAUUUCCAAAACCAAUACUCCAAAGCUGUAAACAUCGGAUUUAACUGAAUAUUGUCCAUGCCAUGCAUACUCAGGAGCCAUGUAUCCACUGUGGAUAAAUAAAUCUUAAUGAAUGAACUUAAAUGGUAGCUAAAACAUCCUCUAGAAGAAGUGCUAAUACUUAGGAUCUUUGAGUUUUAGAUAUCACAAAGUCAACAAAUAACAUAUACAAACAGAUCCGUCUUAAUACUUACUAGGUCCCGACGACUUUGCUUGUGUCAGCUCGAGUUUGAUCAACAGUAAACAAUUUCGCCAUUCCAAAAUCUGAGAUUUUAGGAUUCAUCUCUUCAUCUAACAAUAUGUUGGCUGGUUUUAAGUCGCGAUGGAUGAUUCGGUACUGAGAAUCUUCAUGAAGAUAAAGAAGUCCCUUAGCUAUUCCCUCUAUAAUUUUGUACCUCUUCUCCCAAUUUAGUAGUAAACACUUUACUGGAUCUACAAAAUUAGAAAAAUUCUAGGACUUAAAUGCACAUUCAGAAUUCAAAAUGUUUAUACUCAUGUGAUUAGUCAUGAACCGAAUAGUAAAAACCAGAGUUCUGAAACUUUUCACCAAUAUAACACAACUUGAACUGUAUUCUGCCAAGACAGGCAACCUAAUAAAUCAACAAGAAUUCAAUAGGUAUAGUUUGAAAGGAUCGAUAUCCCACCGAAUAUAAAGUUAUCAAGGCUUGAGUUAGGCAGAAACUCGUAGAUGAGAAUCCUUUCCUUUUGUUCAAAGCUUAAACCAAGAAGCCUAACCAAAUUCCUGUGUUGAAGCUUUGCCAAUAACAUCACUUCAUUCUUGAAUUCUUGUUCUCCUUGUCCCGAACUUUCAGACAGCCUCUUGAUAGCUACUUUUCGUCUGUCUUCAAGCUGACCCUGGUGGUAUUUGGAACAAAGAAGAAUGAUGGCAAACACCAAUGUUUAUUUCCUAGUAUUUGUUGGAAGCCAUCAAACUGGAGGCUUCAAUUUCAUAAAUUCAGUCAUUCUGUAUUUUUUUUUCCUUCAUUGAGAUAUUAGAAAUUUUCAGAGGCCAAAUCAUGAAUUACCUUAUAAACAGAACCAAAUCCCCCUCGUCCAAGCAAGUUGGCGUCUGAGAAGUUGUCUGUUGCAACUCUUACAGCAUUAAAGCCAAACUGCAAUGAUUCCCCAUGGGUCUUGUUAUCUGCAGCAUAACAAAGAAUCAAUUAAGUUAUAGCAAAUGAAUAGGAGAGGAAAGCAUCAAAGCUACUUAAAGCUAACCACAUCCUGUUGUGUGUGUGUGCGUGUGUGUUUCUUUUUUUUUUUUUUUUUUUUGUUUCUAGAUUUACAUAAUCGGUAUAUGAUUUCUAAAGAAGUAUGAAACAAUGCAUAAACAUGGCAAGGGGUCGAUCUUUGGCGAAGUAGUCAAGUUAGGACUAUAGAAAAGAAAAUCAAAGACCAACUUACUUUGAUCAUCCCGCUUUGUUUUUUUUAUCCUUUUAAGGAGAACAGCAACUGCAAGUAUGAUAAGUACUGCCACCAAGAUGACUAUGGGAACAAUUAUAAUGGCAAUGGUAUGGGAUGAAUGGCUGCCUCCGUCCCCUGCACAAGCAACAACUUUUCAUUUACAUCAAUUUCUUCCUGAAACCAGCAUGCCAUCUAGCAGAUAGGUAGUUACCUUUCUUGCUUGUAGAGUUCACUGACAGUGGCGGAGGACUAGCAGGAGAAGGUGGAGGAGAUAAGGAUGCAGCAGUAGAAGCAUUGCGUGUAUAGAAAGGAUACAAAUCCCAUCUGAACCAACAGUUAGGCUUCUGAACAUAACCUCCCUGCUUUCCACGGCAACAGCUUUCAUAGUAACUCACGGAUUGCCUUAGGCAGGAAUCACAAUCCUUGUGUGAUAAAUCUGGAGUGCACUGCAUAAGUGCAUGUAUCGUUUGGAAUGCUGUAAAAUCUGCUUCCCCGGUUGCAUACUUAGUAGAAGACCCGCUGGAAGCCUUGCUCACCACUCUGUCCAUCAAACUCUCCCAAAUAGUAUCAAAUUGAGUUAAAUUGGAAGUGAUGUCGGCCGUAUUAUAGCCUGCAUCAGUGGGUUGUAGCUCCAGGGUUCCAAAAAAGGGGCGAUUUGCAUAGCGUGCAAGACAAGGAGGAUCAGCUCCCCAUGAAAGGGCUUCUUUCGGUUGGGACAGCUAGCUAUGAGAUCCUGGAUUGAGGAAUUGAGACAUGUAUAACAACCGUUUGGAGUAGAGUCUCCUCUGCACAUACCAAGAGCGCAAAUUUUGUUGGAGUUUUGGCCGAUACUGGCAAUAGAGAAACCACCAUUUGCAGAGACAUUAGGUAGGAGAGAAGCGAGAAUAAGGUCUCUGUUUUUGCCAUAUGUACUAUUAAGGGUGAAAUUACCAGUGUCAUAGCAUCGUAGGUUAGCAUCAACGAGAGCAAUGCCGAUAAGCAGAUGGGAGAGAAUUGAAGAAAGAGCUUUAAGUUUAAUCCACAUUUUGAGAUUCUAUAAUUUCAAGGAACCAAAAUCGAGAAAAAAGAAGUGGGAACUUAGUAUUCCAGAUAUGUUUCGACAGAGAUGGGAAGUAUUUGUGUUUAGGUUUCCUUGCCUGGUGUGGGAGAAAGAUUCAAGAGCGCCCAUUAAAGCAAAAAGGUCUAAGCUGUUAAAAGUCGCUCGAAACUUAAGACUUCCAUUCCUCAGUGUUACCUGUGUGAGUGAGGUAGGUCUAGUUAGUGGACAAUGAAUCGGAGCGUGACCACUGGCUUCAAUCCAUGCUAGGAAGCUUGGUUUUCGGGUUAUCUUUUUGACAAAAUUUCGGAAAAUAAUUUCUCGCUUAAUUCAUUAUGAAAACUCGUAUAUGUUGAAUUGGAUGGUUUUGUCAGUUUUGAAAAUUCAAACUCGUUUUCUGUGGUACGUAUUUUGCCACAGUUCCCACUUCCUUUCCAAGUUUCAUUUGCUUCUUGAGUUUACUACCUGCCUGUCAGAGUAAUUACUCUUGUUGGGCUAAUUAGUGCAGUAUAUUGGAUUUUUUUACGUAAAUAAUUCAAAAAAUAUAAAUAACCUAUAAUGAAAAUUACAUGAAAUCUAUAGUGUCAAGCGAUACCGGCACUCCGAUGGUUGGCACCAAAGUUAAUCACCGUGUAAUGAUUGCUUGUUGAUUGGGCUGAGGUUUAAAAAAAAAUAUUUCACUUUUGCGGCGUCUACAUGGUCGGCACCGGAAAGAAAACUCAAAUAUUCUUUCAGUAUUUUUUUAUGUUGGCACUUGUGGUAGGUAAAAAAAAAUUUUGGUCCCGUGUUUCUCAAGACUGAAACCCGGGUAAGAAAAUAACUUCUUUUUGGUAUCGGCCUUCCCCAUGCCUCAUCGGUUAUUCUUUUGUAGAGAAAAUAUUUUUUUUAAAAAAAACUUUGGUGUCAACCUUCUAGUUGCUGACACUAGUAUUUUAUCAAUAAUAUAUAUAUUUUUGGUGUAGGCCUUCCAUCUAUCGGCACCCAUGUUUGAAAAAAAUGAAAAUUUUUUUAGGGUGCCGGCUAUCUUCGUUGCCGGCACAAAUAGGCUAUAUAUUGAUUUUUUUUGUCUGUUUUGGUUGAGUUUUUUUUCUUUUUUUUUCUUUAAUAGUUUAAAAGAAAAAAAACCAAAGAAAUAUCAAUGUUUCAUUGUGAAUGAAACAAAUUUUGUUGAAGAUGAAUAACCAGAUGUUAGUGUAUGUUCAUUUCGAUGAAAAAAUUGUAAAUACAACUGAAAUGCUGGCGGAACAAAAGUGGAAGAUCAAUGUUGUAACACCCCUAACACAUCUUCGUCGCGGGGUUAGGCUUAUAGAGUAUUACAACAUACAUCACAAGAAUUACUAACAUUUAACUAUUCAAAUAUAAAAUUAAAUAACAAAAUUCAAAUUCAAAUGUUAUUCAUAAAAUAAAUACGAUUAUUGACCCUAAAUCAGACAUACAGAGCUUUUAAAAAAUAAUUUAGGAACAAUCAAGGACUAAUUUGAAACAAAACUGAAAGUUUUAGAAAAAUUUAAAAAUUUUGAAAACAAGGGUCAUACGGCUGUGUCGCAAGAUAUGUCCCCGACUAUGUGACACACUAACUUGGAACACACGACCUUGUAAAAUGACCAUGUGCAACACACGGCCAUGUAACAGCCAUGUCUCAGGCCGCGUGCCCCUAAUUUUUCCUUCAAAUGCAAGUUUACCAAAACGUGCUUACUUGAACAUCAACACCUUAUUUACCAACAAUUAAACAUAUUCAAAACACACUUGAACAAGCCCAAAACAUGCAAAAAUCAUCUAACUUAAGUUCCUACCCAAUGUGUCUUCAUUGACACCACAAUUCAUUUAACAAACUUAUCCACAAAUCAUAUCAAAUAAGUUACAUUCUAACCUAUGAGUUCAUACAUAAAAACACAUACCAACUUAUCAUGUUAUUUUACCUAUUCAUAUUCAAUUCUACCACAAUGCAAACAUUUCUAGAUUAUUUAUAUCAACUAAUCAAACCCAAGGUUAUAUGCACACUUCAUUCCAACACAAAAGGCCUAAACAUAAGUGGUCUAAAACCAAGCUUAAACAUCUUUACAUCACCCAAAUAUGAACACAUAGAAAUAUGUACUCAACUUAAGUACAAAACACACCUAUUACAUUACAAGUUCCAUGCCAUAAUUGAAUUUUCAUACCAUUAACAAGCAUAUUAUUAACCAAAAACAUACAUUCAUCGCACAAAUAUAGAACAUACCAUUUUUAAUAAGUACUUUAAACAUAUACAAGAUACUCUUAUUACAUGUCACAUAUCUCAAAAAUAAAUGUUUUCAAAAUCUACCAAAAAAAGUCUGGAUAGUGUGAUAUUCGUGUUGAUCCAAUUUCCCGAUUCUGCAAAAUAUUAUCUACAAGGAAAUAAGAAAUUGAAGUAACUAAACUUUUACGAUCUUAGUAAGUUCACAGGUUGAAAUGUUUUAACUUACCAUAUAAUCAUAGUUUUAUAAAUAGCAAAAACAAUAUCUAACAUUAACUAUGUCAAUCACAACCAUUCAACAGGUGAAUUUCGUAAAUACGAGUUAUUUAAUCACUUCAUUUAUAAAGUAUCAAUCAUUAUCAAGUCACGAUAUAACAUUGGAAAUCAUGAAUACAUGUACAAAUCUUUCACAAGAAAAUAUAACUAAAUAUCAGUUACAUAUCAUCAUUAAGUCAUUUAACCGUUAAAAAUUCAGCCUAAUGAACAAUACAAACGGAUAUGGAUACGUAGUUAUCCACCCAAAACUAGCAAAAAAGCUCAUACAAGCCAAACCAACCGAGAACAUGCCUUGGCACCAAGUGCCUAGCCCAGAAGCUAACAUCUCUCUAGAAACACGGCUGGACACCAAGUGCCAAACUCGAAGACUUUACAUCCGCCUUCGGUAACACGCCAAAUCACUGUAAAUAUAACACGGAAGUCCACAACAAAUGUUAGACUCCAGUAUAUUCAGUGGACAAUAACAAGUCAGGAAUCAUCAUCUCAAUACAAGUUAAUCCCAUACAGCGCGUAAAAUAAUCUAUUGACAUGCGAAUUGUAUUUUAUCCUAUGUUCAUUCGGGCUCGAUAUACAAUACCGCAUAAUAUCUUAUAAUACAAUUUCAUUACUCACCUUGAAUAAUAAUUAUGAUUAUUUCAUUAAAUAUAUAGUCAAUAAAUCAUAAAUCACAAGUUAAUAAAAUUUUGCAAAUUACUUAGUAGUGCUAAAUUGCAGAGAUGGCAAAAUUCAAGGACUAAUCAGCAACUUUUGCUUUUCCACGAUUAUCUAUUUGUUCUUGAUUUAUGAAGUAAAUUUUAUUUCAAUUAUUAGCUUCAGCUUCAUGUAAUAUUUAAUUUAAUGCUUAUGUCUUCCUAUAUAUAAUUUUUCACAAUUACCCCAAACUUUUACACAUUAUUCGAUUUAGUCCCUACAACUGAAAUAAGUUUAUUUUCACAAUUAAUCCUUAUACCUAUUUAGUCGAAUUUAAUUGGAUUCCAAAUCAGCCCUCUAAUUCUAAAAUUUUACAAGGAAACCAUUCCAGAUUUAAGAACUUAACAAUUUAGCAAUUUAAUCCUUAAACUUAAAAACUAAACAAAAUCACUUUACAAACUAGUCCAAACUCAUUAUCAAGCUUCCAACUAAACCAUUUUCUAUAUAAAAAACCUAAAAUUCACCAAUGACAAAUUUUAAAAUCUUUAACAGUUUUGAAAGCGGAGGUACAUGUUAGUUGGACCUAGUUGCAACGAUUAUAAAAAUAUAAAAUUAUAAGAAACGAGAUAAAUUUGCACUUACAUGCAUAACCCAAACGUUGGCCGAAGCUUCCAAGUCUUUUAAAAUGGUGGUUCGGCUAGGAGAAUGAAAGAAUGAAGUAGAUGAAGUUUGAUUUACCUUUUUGUUUUAUUAUUAUAACUUAAACAUUAAAAUAAUAAACAUUUUAGCUAUAACUUAAUUAAAGUUGUAAAACCGACCACUAGUUUUAAUAAUGUGCUAUUUGCCAUUUAAAUCCAACCAUUAAUACUUUUAAAUCAAUUUAGUACUUAAAAAUUAAUAGUGAUGAAGUUUUGCAGUUUUUACGAUUUAGUUUUUUUUCUUUAAUUAACUAAUUAAACUAUAAAAUUUCUCAAUCAAACCUUCACAUAACAAAAUAGUAACUCUGUAAAUAUUUAAUAAAAAUAUUUACAGUUUGGUUUUCAAAAACGAGGUCUCGAUACCUCAUUUUUCGAAACCACUUAACUUUCAAGACAACCACUUAUACUAGUCAUUUAUUCAAUUUACUAAAAUUUCAUCAAAUCAAAAUAUAUUAUAAAUUAUAAUUGGCUCAUAUAAUUUAAAUACUAAUUAUUACAUAUUUACUUAUUAGAUUUUUGGUAUCGAAACCAUUGUUUCCGAAACCACUGAAAUUAGGUUGUUAAAAGUGCAAAGAUAGUUACCCAUUGUGGUAAGCAUAUGUCAAGAUUGUUCUACAAAUUUCUAUUUUCAACAGAUUUGUUGAAGUUCUCGGAUAUGGAACUUGUAGUUGACGAUGAUGUGGCUACAAUGAUCGCAAUUUAUUUCCCACCUGAGAUCGAGAACCCCUAACCAGUUGAGUUAUUUGCAAAGUUAAUUGAUCACGAACCCAUUCAAAUUGUCCCUCAAGUAUGUCAACAUCACAAAUUUGACUUUGAUCUUAAUGUCUAUUAGGAAGAUCAAUCAAUCUAUAGAGGGAUAUUGCAAACGUCCGAAAAUAUAAACUACGGUGGUUAUUCGUAUAACAACACAUCUCGGGCCCUACUCUAGAGAUACAUCCAGAGGUAUUGGGCACCAUAGAAGAUGGUGAUGAAGGGUCUAAAAAUGAAGAUUUGUUCCAUCAGUUGUUAGAGUAUGCCCAAGGACCAAUCAUGAGAUGGUUGUAAUUACAUACUCGUUUUACCUUAUUUAUUAAUAUAAGGAAAUACCAUUGUUAUUUCAAUUUCUUUUUGUUUGUGUAUAAAUAAAUUGAUUAAAAUAAAGUCCUCAGAAUAAUAUGAUUAUUCUUAAAAGGUCCUUAUUCAAGUAUUAUUCUGGACUUGGACAAUAAUAAUGCAUUGAGACUAAUAUGUAGUUGAUUGAUGACAAAGUGUUGUCAUUGACAUAAGGAUGUCAAAAUCAAUACAUGAGCAUGCGUUAGAGAACAACAUACUGGACUGACCCACCAUGAGUAUGUUUCUUGGAUUAUUAUGUAAUAGUCACAAAUAUUACUUAUAGUGAUAACCAUGUAUAUGAUCCUCAAACUUGAGAUCAUCAUUGUCCGAACAUCGUGAGUUGUAUAUUUUGAUAUAGUCAAACAUCUACUGUAACAGGUUGAACUAUAAAGACUAAUAUUGGAUAUACCAUAAUCCAUGUAGUGGGAUAUGAUUUAUCAGGAUAUAAUUUAUCCUUCCUACAUAAUGAGAGUAAUAUCUUGGGCCACUUGAUGAAGUAAGACUAGAAAUGCAUAGUCAUGCUCAAUUAAGUUGAUAUGAGACAUCACACUUAUUUGUUUAACAUAGUCUACUCAGAUUAUCAAGAAAUAUGAUAUUUGACUAUACAAGUGUGACUAUACCAUGAUUUGUGUCCAAUCUAGAUAUAAAGGAUAAAAGGAUAUGAUACAUGAAAAGUUUAUUAUAGAAAGUUUAUGUUGAAUCACGACUUCUUAUAACUUGGGUAGCAAUGAUGCAUUUCUAAACGCCACUCAUUGCUUGUAACAUUUGAAAUGUUCUAGUAUUACUACGAACAUUACAAGAACCUACAGGAUCAAACCCAUGGUUACAGCGAAGAGACUUCAUGCCAAUAGAAUAGGCUUAUACUCUUUUUCAUACAAUUAUGGCGAAUUCUUAUCCUUGGUGGAUAAGUAUUGCCUGGUGGGCAAGAUAGCCUGGCAAACAGUUUUUCCUGGUUAAUAGUAUCAUAUUGCGUACAAAAUAGCAUGGUGGAUGAAAUUACCUGGUGGAUACGAUUCGCAACAUCCUUCUAGAGUUAAUAUUUAUAGAAGUUAAUAUUCUUUUGGAAAGAAUAAAUUUCAAUAUCUUCCAUGAUUUUCUUUGAAAAGUAAAAGGGGAAUUAUUUCAUUAUUAAUAUACAUGAUAUUAAUAAAGUGAAUACAAUCCCAUAUUAUGUAGAAGAGAGUAAGAAAAAUCAAACUAGGUCUAGCAGCUAAAAAUUUUGGAUACUCUCUGAAAAGUUCAAGAGGAGUUUUUCUAUUCGUGCUUGACUGGGUGAACUACAUAGAGCUUGAGACACUUUAUUGCCACUAGGAUUGACAUUGUGCAAAGGAAUCCAACCAACAACAUUAUUCGCCAUUCUUCAGUUUUAAAAGGUAUAUCUUCAACCCUAUUUCAACCCUAUUCAUUACUCAAACAUGGAUCUGUGAUUGACGAUAACCAAAAUAAUUUUCCCGUUACACCAUAGGCCGUACUGGCAAUCUAACAUCAUGAUCUUGAAGAAUUUAAUGACCUCAAUUUGGAUGAGGUCUCGAAAGAUAUUUGUAACAUCCCAUUUUUUAGUGGUGUCAGAAACAGUGAUUUUGGGACCAAAAUUUUGACUAAUAAGUUAUUUUUAUUUAUUUAUUUAAUAUUUAUAGAGUUUCCAUAAUGUCGUAUUAAAAUUUGGUUAAGAAAUUUUAAUAUUUAGAUAGUUAAUUAAGUAAAAAGGAUUAAAUCGUAAAAAUUGAUAAAGUUGAUUGGUAUUAGUAAAAUGGAUUCAAUAGCUUUAGAAACCUAAUUUGGUGGCCUUAAAUGGUAAUUAAACCAUCACUAAUUAUAGAGAAUGGUUACGGGUAAGCACAUUUCUUAUUAUAUAAGUUUAAUAAAGGACAAAUUAGUAAUUUAAUGAAAAUAAAAGUAAACAAAAGAUUAAUAAACUAUCAUCUUCUCCAAAAUUUCCUUCCACCAUUGAAACACCAUGAUUAUGUAAGCUUCAGGUUCGACCAAGUUUUUAGGUGUGCAUGUAAGUUAAAUUUUAAACCGUUUUUAGUAAAUUUUAUGUUUUUAAAAUCGUUGUAGCUUAAUCUAGCUAAAUCGGGUGGUAAUUUAUGAAAUUGUUAAACGUUUUGAAAUGUGUCAUUAUUGAAUUUGUGAGAUGUUUGAAGUUUUAUGAUAGUUUUGUAAGCUUGAUAGCUAAAUAAUAUUAUUUUGUAAAGUAGUUUUUAGUGAUUUUGAUGAUUAAGGAUUUAAUUGUUAAAUUAGUAACAUUUCAUGGAAUUAUUGUGAAAUUUAGAAAUUUAUAGGAUAUUCAAGGAUUAUAAGAAAUUCGACUAGCUUUAUUUAAGCUUAAUUGUGUUCAAUUUGAUAGUUUCAGGUUUAGGGAGUAAAUUGCAAAAAAGGGUAAAGUUUAGGGGUAAAAUCAUAAAAUGUGAUUAAAAGGAUUUAAAUGCAUAAAUUUGAUUGUUUAUAUGGUUUGAAUAGAUUUAAUUUAAUUAAAUUAUACUUUAGAUCAAGAAUCUCAAAGAUCGGAGCACGUGCGAGGAAAAGGAAAAAUUGCCGAUUAGCCCCUAAAAGUUUAAUCACUUUGAUAGGUAAGUUCAUACUACUUUCUGUAGUUACAAAUUGUUAUUAAAUGUGGUUAAUUACAUAUGUAUAUAUUGCUAAAAUGGAAAUCAUACUAUAUGGUAUUAAACUGAAUUAUGUGAUAAUUCCGAUGGAUCGAGUAAAAGUCUCAUACAUGUGAUUUUUGUAUGAUUCCCAUUCUGGACUAAGCUCUAGCAUUUGUUGUGGACUCAAAUAUACAUGUGAUAUAGAUUUAGCCUAGAUUGGUAAUCUAUUAUCAUUUAAAGGUUUAGCCUGGACUUGUAGCCUUACAUGUAUCAUCUAUUUCUCAGACUUGUGUUAUCAUUGGUUUAGCCCGGACAGUAACCUGAAACAUAUAUUUUUGAAUACGAUUAGCUCAAAUGAGCAUCAUCUAUUUCUCAGACUUGUGUAUCGAUUUCUUUUACAAAGUUCUAUCGAAAAAACAAAGGAUGUGCAGUGUUCAAUUGUUUCAGUAAAAUGGAUAAAACACGAAUUCUGAGUAUAUGUAUAUUUGUUGUUUACUGACUUGGAAUUGUUGAAUAAUAUUGUGUUAAGGUUAACACUUUGAAUGACUAUAUGAAAUUAACUAUGAAUUGAGAAUGGUAAGUUAUUGAAUUGAAUUGAAUUGUAUGAGCUUACUAAGUAUUUCAUAUACUUAUUUUUGUUAUUAUUCUCUGUAAAUUUUUGGAUACUAGGAGCUCUAUCGAUAGGAUCAACAGAGCUCAAACUUAUCGUCUUCUAUUUAAGUAGAUUUUGAAGUUUUGAACUAUGGUUACUUGUGGCAUGUAUAUAGGGUGUUUGUUUUGUUCACGUUGAAUAUGUUUUGAUAUCUUGAUUGUAAUAUCUAUAUGCCAAUUUGACGUAUAUAUUAUGUUUGGCCUUUUGGUAGUGUGUGAUGAAGGUUAUGCUGAAUGGUAUUUUGGUUGAUAUAUGGUAUCAAGUUAUGGAUGUGAAUGUUGUUAGUUCAUGAUGCUAGAAUGGAUGAAAUUAAUGGACUUGGAUAAUUGUUAAGUUUUUUGUUGUAAUGUGGUGUCAUUGAGGGUACAUUGGUUAGACACAUAGGUUGAGUGUUUUUGGCAUGUUUUGGUAUGUUUAAUUGUGUUUUGAAUAGGUGAAUAGAGUUAGAAAUGAUUUGGCUUGAUACCUAAGAAAUGAAUGUUGUUUUUUUCUAGUUUUGGAAGUUAUUCUUGGUGCACACAACCUGAGGCACGGGAUGUCACACGGCCAUGUGCCACACAUGGUCAUCUCACAUGGUCGUGUGUCUAUUUAAUUUUUGUGCAAGUUUAUCCCACAUGGUCACAAGUUGUUACACAAUCUGAAGAGAAGACCAUGUGACCUUAUUUCGAUUUGCACACGAUCAGGCACAAGAUUUGGCCAUACGGCUUUGUCCUUGAACCACAUGGCCUGGACUAUGUCACAUGGCUUGGCCAUACGGUCGUGUGACCCUUAUUUUCAAUUUUUCUACAUUUUUUAGUUUUAUUUCAAAUUAGUCCUUGGUUGUUUCUAAAUUGAUUUUUAGGUUCCGUAAGCUCGUUAUGAGGCCUAUGUCCAUAUAUAUGCUAUGGAUUAUGAUUGGUUUCAAAUACUUGAUAUUUAAAGUAAUAUUUGAAUGGUUUUAUGUUGACAUUUGAUUUGAUAUGUGUCGUAAUACUCUGUAACCCUAUUCUGAUGAUGGGUUAGGGGUGUUACAAUAUCAAUAAUGAAGAGCGAUGGAGGGUCAAGAUGUACACCCCUUUAUUGAAUGAUCUUGGGGUCCACAUGUUAAGCGUAGACCCCGAUGCAACAUUUCCGCGCGAGUUCCUCAAAGACCUAGAUAUAGUACCUGCUCACCUGAUUGGGAUAUAUUCAAAGUUUAGAGAAUUGUUCAUAGGCCAAUAGUUUGAUAAUAAGAAAGACUGUGUAUACGUUACAAAAUGAAACAACAUGAAGUUGUUGAUAGACUACAAAGUAUUGAAGUCUACAAAAAAUUUAUAUGUUGAGGAAUGUUUGAGGGCUAACAGCGAGCACAACUGGCGGGUUUGGGCUGCAUUAAUGCAAAGGACUCAAAUGUGUACAAUCAAAAAAUUAGAAGAGCCCUAUACAUACACAGCUGCACGUAUGAUGUAAGACCACCGCAAACUAGAUGCAAAGGCAAUCAGCAAUUGUAUCAUGCCACUGGUAAAAUACAUGCCCACCAUUCCUGUAUCAGUCUUUAUUGCUGACAUGAAAGCUUGAUUCAACUGCAGAGUGUCCUACAGAAAAGCAUGGUGGGUGAAAUAAAUGGCGGCGAUAAAGCAGAUGAAUGGUGAUUAGGAUGCGUCAUAAAAUGAACUUCAAGGGUGGAUAGUUGCAAUAUAGGAGUAUGUGUCAAGUACUGUGAUUAAUUUGCAAACACUACCUUACAAAGGCCUAGACGAUGAACUAGAAGCAGGGAGAUGAGUUUUCCACUGAUUGUUUUGGACGUUCGAUUCUUGUGUUAGGGUCUUCUCCCAUUGCAAGCCAUUGGUACAGGUUGAUGGUACCAAGCUUUAUGAUAAGUAUAAGCAAAUACUCUUGAUUGCAGUACAAUCGAAAUGUAUUUUCGGUCGCUUUCUCUAUCGUGGAGUCUAAGAACUUUGAAUCUUGGGAAUUAUUCCUGAGGAACUUAAGAAUGUAUGUUGUCAAGAUAGAUAAUAUUUGCAUUAUCUCCUAUAGAUCGAAGGGACUAGUUGCUGCAAUUAGGUGUUCUGGGGUUCCAUAGAGGUCCGUUUACUGCAUCUGACACAUCGUCGCAAACUUCCACAAGGAGUACAAAAAUAAAGAUUGGCGCAAAGAAGUUGUGAUCAUGGGUAAAAAAUCUCGUUUCUAAAUUUAUUUGUUGAUAUUUUAUUUUUAAUCUCGUUUCUAAAUUUAUUGUAAAUAUUUUGUUUUAAUCUCGUUUCUAAUUUAUUAAAUAUUUUGAAACACCGUCAUAUCGAAAUUCAUACGUAGGGUACAAGCUAGAACCACGUUGAUUCAGGAAAAAUUUGGCGAGGCUUGAUGCUAAAAUGGUAGGGUUACCAACUUCUUUCCCACAGUGGUUAGGUAGCAUAGAGUCAUGGCAAUGGGCUCAAUGUUAUGAUGACAGGUAUCAAUAUGGUCAUAUAACGACCAACCUCAUAGAGGCGAUUAACUUCAUCUUAAAGCAUACACAUCAUUUGUCAAUUUUAGUUGUUUACUUAGUAACGUUCUAUAGGCUGGUGACAUUGAUCCCAAGAAUGGGUGUUGUUGAUGACUAGAACUGUAGUUGCCCAUCUUUGGAUGAUAUGAUUACGCUUGUGAGGCCAAAUGUUGGGGCUCGGGAUCGGGCACUGAGACAUGUUGGAUUACACCAGACGAUUGAGCUUAGUGACGAUGUAGUUGAGUCGUGACCUUUGUUGGCACAUAUGUGGUGGGACUAACCAUAAAUUGAACACCAAAUAUAUAUAGCUUCAUGUUCUCCAUGUACCAACGUUGGUACUCGACUAGAGGCAUGAAGUUAAACAUAUAACACUAUAUUUGAGGUCAUUUUUCACAACGAGUGUUCUAUUAUGCAAUAUAUUGUCGAUGUUCAACUACCCAAUUUUUUGUUCAUGUUGUGGACAUUGUCAAACCUUUGUGGAUCAUCUGGGACAUGUUGUAUGCACCCAAAUUGUCCUAACACCCGAUUAGCAUUAUGCCGCUCCACCAUUGAAAAAUCAAUCAACGGUACAUUAGUAGUCCACACAAGUUGUUGCUAGUGGAUCCACGUUGAAAUAAAAGCUGCAAUGUCUUCCCCUGAAUACAACGUUCAUACAAACUGCACAAUAUUGACAAUUUAUAUAGUUAAAUAAAUCUAUUUGAAAUAAUGUAAUUAAAAAAAGUAAAAUUGAAAAAUAAUAAUUUACUUUGUUCCCGGAGUGCGCCUUAAUCAUUUGAUGGUUUACAACUACUAUCUCUGACCUCCCAAUUCUCAAGUCAUCACCAUCUGAAAAAUAAAUUGCAAUUUUUAGCAAGUGCACGCAUAAAAAAUAAAUUUAUUUUGCAACCAUCUUUUCAUUUUUUUUUACCUAUUAACAAGUGGCCACAUGAGUGGUUAGUGACUCACUGAUGCUAGAAAUGGCAUCUUGUAUAAAGCCUAAGAUUACAACAGAAUAAGGCAACCACUUAUAUCUUGUAUCUCAUGCUUUGUCACUCGACAAAGCUCACGGUACAACAUAGUUAAAAUUACUAAACCCCAACUAUGGGAUCAAGUAUUGUUAAGAUCUUCCAAUAAGGUUGAGUACAUAUGUAGACUCUAUUUUGAUUUGAGUCCAACAUUAUCACCCCACCUAUCAACUGCAAAAUAUACGCUUGAGCAGUGCAAAUGAGCUAAUACUUAGUCGGAUUGCUCAAUAACAUUUCAAAAUUUUAUUUUAACCAAGAAAAUUUCAAACUGGUUAAUCUUCCUUCCCUAUCAUCAGGGAUGUGUUUGAGUAGAUGGCAUCAAAGGCCUCAAGGAUUGACCACUUUACUUGGCCCCGUGAUCGCAACUUGAUUUGUCGAAAUUCGAUGUAGUAGAUUAAACUAGCUUUCACACUUAAGGAGCCUGAAUACAAGUAUUUUUAUUAUAUUUUAGUUAGGUUUCUUUAGUUUUACUUACAUUCAAUAAAAUGUGCAAAUUGAGUCUUUUAUUCACUCUAAGGGUAGAAUGAGGCCUAAAGGAGAGCUAACGUACUUUGUGAGUUGCAUGAGACCAUCAGAAGGCAUUUUAGGGCAAUAUUGGAUGUUAUGUCGCAACACUGGAGGACUGAUGUUGUAACAUUUGGAACAAAAUGAAGAAAACUCAAGUCUGCCUUCGAUGUUGUGACACAGAUUGAGGGUGUUGCGACAUACCCUUGAAGAUGGCUAUAGAGGAGCAUACUGGUUGUUAUUCGUGACACAGGUCCUAGUGUGUCGCGAUAUUGACUCUGUGACGAAAACUAAACAUGAAGAAGGGGCAUUUUGGUCUACACAAUCAAACUUUUAAGCUUGGAAACGUCAGCUAACCCAGGGUUAAGGACGACGGCCACUUGAAGGCUAUAAAUAGGCUUAUUUGUCACUUGUUAUGGACACCUUUUUAAUUAACCUAGUUUCUUUCUCUAAGAUUUAGUUUUGUUUUCUUAGGGUUCUAGUUUUUAGUUUAUUUUAUUCGUUGUUUUCUUUCAAGAGAUCUGGAUUGUGGAAUCAUUCAACUUUGUGGAUUUACGCUUAAUACCAAUACAAUCAGGCUCUUUCAUUUACUCUAUCUUGUCUAUUUAAUUAGCAUGCUUUCUCUUUACAUCGAUUAUAUAUUGUUUAUGAAUGCCAUGAGGAACUAAUCCUUCUAUGGGGGAUUAGUGAGUGGAAGUAUGAUCUGUUAACUGCUUGUAGGGUUACUCAACAGAUCAACUAUUUGAGAGGAAGAACGUGAAACAAAUCAUAGGCUUGACAACCCUAGGAAGUCAUCAAGGUGGGAAUUAACCCAAAAUUGGUUCGUGAACACCUUAUCCCCAAACCAAUAUAGACUGUAAGGUCAAAAGAUAAGUAGUUCUUGCUGACUCGUUAUGUUAGUGGAAGAUCGAAAGAUUCUACUAGGGUAGUGACUAAUUGAUUGGCAAGGAGCUCGAAGUGACAAUUGAUGGAAAUUACAGAAGCGAGCUAAUCACCCAUAAUCAUAUUUGAUUUAUUCUUCCUUUUUAAUCUCUUAGAUUUUAUCUUUUUAUGUUGUUUUAUUUUUAUUAUCAUAAAAACCCUAAAAAUCAUUUAUUUUAUAUUCUUCGUACUCUAACUAAAUUUAAAAGUACUAUUAGAUCUUUUAGUGUUUAGGUUAGAAUUGAUCUAGCACUCACCUCUAUUGGGUACGAUCCUCGGAGUACUCAUCCACUCUGUUGUAAAACUAUAUAACAACUAGACUUGUAUACUUGCGGAUACUGCCUCAUAAUUCUAUAUUUUAUUGCAAUAUUCACACUCUGGUCAUUAGUACAUCUGGAGGCAGUCACAACUCCAUCAACUGAGAGCCCCAAUUGAACUGAUACGUCCUUUAGUGUAAUCAUGCACUCCCCACAUGACAAAUGAAAAGUGUGGGUCUCUGGGCACCUUUGCUCAACAAGGGUAGAUAUUAAGUUUGACCUUAAGUCGAACAUCUGAAUGAAUGUCGCAGUGCCAAAUUCGACGGCAUCCAAAUAUGGUACAAUAUGAUGGUUGGGAAUAUAUCCUGGACCAUGAAGUCGAGGCCUCAAGACCAGAUACUCAACCUGUACACAUAAUAAAAUUGAUAUUUGUUAUUUUUGACAACUUCAAUAUUCACAACUAAUGAAUAUUUUUUUAUUUACAAACUGACUCGAACAAAAUUUUUUAAAAAAUAAAUUAAAUGGUUUUAUUUAAAGACUAACUCAAACAACAUUUACAGGCUCGUUAAUCAUUAGUGUUGUAUGGUCGGAAACUCGGAUAAUAGAACUCAUUACAAUUUAUGCAUAAUUAAUAAUAACAUUAUCAAUCACCAUUCAAUUAACAACAAAUAAUUGAAUGAAUUAAAAAUAUAUUAAACAUAUUAACUUACCUUAGCACUUCAAACUUAAUACACAAAAAAUAUAAUUUCAAAAAAAAAAUUCGGUGAGGGGGUGUCAGUCGACCGAUGUGAUGGUGGAAGGGGCACCAUUGAGAUAUAUAAAAGGGGAACCAAUUGUUCCCUUUUUUUUUCUUUCUUUUAACUUUUUUUAAUAGUACUAAUAUUUUUUUAAUUCACUUAAUAAAUUGGUUUAGCAAUUUUUAAUACGGAAUUAUUUUAUUAUAAUAUUGAAUUUUGGUUUAAUCAUUUUUAGUUAAGUUUUUCAUUCCUAAAUUAUUGCAACUUUUUCGAUUAAUUAUACUUUUCCAUUACUUGAAUAUGUGUUUAUGAUUAUUGUUCACACUUAUAAAGAAUAAAAAAAUUUAUUUAUGAUUAAUUUUUUUUAACUUCUUUUUAAUUUUUAAAGCAUUGCAUCACGACUUCUUUUAUUAUUCUCGAUUUUAUAUUGGUUCGCUUGCGGAUAAAAUUUUCGACAUUAAGAACAAUAAAGUUUUUCCUAAUUUUAAAAAGUUUCCUUUCUUUUUUAUCAUACUAAUAUUUACAUUAAAAAUUGCUCAAAAACAUAUUUACCUCUACUAUUGUCCCUCUUUUUUUACUAAAUCGAACCAACUAAUUUCAUAAUUUAUGAAAAAUUCUGUAACGCCCCGUACCCGAGACCGUUUCCGGAGUCGAACACGAGGUGUUAACGGACUUAAUUCAUUACUUAAACAGCUCAUACAAUUCAUUUUAAAAUUUCCAGACAAGCUGGCUAACUGCAUCACAGUCGUUUUAAAAAUCAUAUCUCGAGUUCCGAAACUUGAAAUCCAAUUCCGUAAAUUUUUCCUGAAACUAUACUCAUAUAUCUAUCUAGUAAUUUUUUUCUAGAAUUUUUGGUCGGGCCAAUUAGUACAGUUUAUUAGUUAAAGUCUCCCCUGUUUCAGGGUUCGACUACUCUGACCUCUGUGUAUUACAAAUCAGAUAUCUCAAUGUACAGAGCUUCAAUGACUAUGUCGUUUGUCUCCAAUAAAACUAGACUCAAUAAUGAAUCUGUACAUAUAAAUCAUGACUUCUAAUUAUCUUUGUAAAAUUUAUGGUGAAUUUACAAAGUCAGAACAGGGGAUCCAGAAAUUGCUCUGGCCCUGUUUCACAAAAAUUUAAACAUCUCAUAAAAUAUAGCUCAUAUACCUGUUUCGCUUAUUCCAUAUGAAAAUAUACUCAUCAAGAUUCGAUUCCAUAACUUAUUCAUUAUUUAAUUCCAUUUCUACUAUUUUUAGUGAUUUUUCAAAUUCACGUCACUACUGCUGCCUGAAUCUAUUUUAGGUAAAUUUUACCUAUUUCAUGGUUUCCAUGGAUUAGCUAGUAAUUUGACAUACAUAACACCAAAUAUGAUCAUGAUUAGCCAUUCCAAUGGCUAAUCAUUACCAAGCAUUUCCAUACCACUCAAUAACCAUAUCAUAAGACCAUAUAUACAAAAUGAUUAUAAUGCUAUACAUGCCAUACUCAAAAUAUACAAGCCAUUAUGCCAAGAUGGUAUACGGAUAGUGUGAGCGAGCCUCCGACCGUUCCCGAUUUCUGAGCUGGCUUGUCAAAAAUACAAGGAAUGAAAAGGAGGGAGUAAGCAUAAAUGCUUAAUAAGUUCACAUGCAAAUAGCAAGUAACAUAACCAUAUAAGCAAACAUAAAACAUCAUUUGCAUAAUCAUCACCAAGACAUUCAUAUCACAUUUUCAUUUAUCAUCUUACCAUAUUGUUGUUAUAUCGAUUUUUCAACCCGAGGGUUAAGUACAUACCUGUUCAAAGUAACCAUUUCACAACACUUACCAAUACGUCCCUUUCAUCUUGAGUAUUCCUCCAUUUCAGUAGAACUUUACCCGUUGAACACAUCGGAAUAUAAUUCGGAUACAUGGAAAGUUUGCACAUAAGUGCCACAUAUGUAGCCAAGCUACCAUGUAACCCGCCCAUAAGCGAACUCGGACUCAACUCAAUGAGCUCAGGCGUUCGCAUCCAUAAGUGAACUCGGACUCAACUCAACGAGUUCGGACGCUCGCAUCCAUAAGUGAACUCGGACUCAACUCAACGAGUUCGGAUGCCCAAAUAUCCCAGUGACAUGUCACUUGUAUCCUAAUCCAUUCAUAAGGUUCAACGGGUAAUUUUUCCCAAUCAUAUGUCUCAACCAUCUUCUAUGGAAUGUCGAUACCGAUACUCGGUAGUAUUUCACAUUUUCCAAGUAUAUCACAUAAUUUGACAUAUUAUCAAACAAUUGUCACAAGUAUGAUAUUUCAUAAUAAUUAUCAUAUCAUUUAAAUAACAUUAAAAUAUUUAAAACAAUAACUAUGUUACCAACAUUUACAUAUGAACUUACCUCGUAUGCGAAAAUGGCUACUUUUACCAUUUCGUCCACAACUUGGUAUUUUCCCCAUUUUAGCUCGAAUUUCAGUUUUCCUUGCUCUAUCAUUUAAAAUAUAGUCUAAUUAGGACUCACAUUAUUCAAAUUGACCCAAAAUCAUAUUUUGGAAAAAUUACAAUUUUGCCCCUAAAAUUUUGCAUAUUUACACUUUUGCCCCAAAUUUCGUAAAUUAAACUUCAGCCUAUUUUCUUAUGUUUUAUGACAUGCUGAUCAUUUUUCCCUUCUAUGGCAACAUCAAAUUCUGACUCUAACAUGUACUUAUGACUAUUAGGUAUUUUUACCGAUUAAGCCCUUUUGCUCGUUUUCACUUAAAACCGAGUAGCACAAGUUGUCUAACAUAAUUUAAAACCUCAUAUUCUAUCAUAAAACACCAAAAUACACAAAUUUCACCUAUGGGUAUUUUUCCAAAUAUAAACCCUAGGUUAAAUUAUUGCUAGCAUAAGCUAAAUCGAGCUACCGGGACUCUAAAAACAUAAAAAUCAUUAAAAACGAGGCUAGAACAGACUUACAAUCGAGCUUGGAAGCUUGAAAAACCAUAUCCAUGGUUUCUCCUUGCUAUAUUCGGCCAUGGGGUUGAAGAUGAGCAAAAUUGGCUUUUAAUUUUGUAUUUUAAUUCAUUUUACCCCUAAAUGACCAAAAUACCCUUACUACUAAACUUUCCAAAAAUUCCAUCCAUGUCCAAUUUUUGUCCAUAGACUUAGAAAUUGGUAAAAUUCUAUUUAAGACCUCCUAAUUAAUAUUUCAAAACAAUUUCAUACUAGAAACUUCUAGAAUACAAGUUUUGCAAAUUAUUCGAUUUAGUCCCUAAUUUCAAUUUAAGCACUUUAUGCAUAAAAUUCCUUCACGAAAUUUUCACACAAUCAUUCAAUCAUAUCAUAGAACUUAAAAUAAUCAUAAAAUAAUUAUUUCUAUCUCAGAUUUUGUGGUCACGAAACCAUUAUUCCGACUAUGCCCAAAAUCAGGAUAUUACAAAUUCUCCAGGUGCAAUAAUACUAACUAAAUUUGGUUCAAUCAAAUUACAUAGUUGCUAAUGUAUUUUUAAAAGUAUUUUCUUCAGUUCAUUCAUCUUCUGCUUGAAUUAGGUCCAUCGAGAAUCUCAUAAAAAUCAACUUUGCUUAAUUUUCAUCCAUCAUGGAUCCAGUGAGCCAACGGUGCUUUUAGUAAGACUAGGUCGGCUACCCUCAAUCAAAUAUACCGAUGUUGCUUAAUUUUAUUAUUAAUUGCGUAGAAAUCGCAAUGACUUCUCUUAUUCGAGCUUCCGACCAAACAAUGCUAGUCCGAGCUUCAAUUGGCUUCAUCACGAAUCUCGUGCGCAAAGUUUUGGGUUUUCAUGAUACAAGGUUUGGUCGGCAAAGAUUUCCAUCUACUCGUGUAAACCAUAAUCGGCACCUCCACCCUUUGAUAGCAUAGCCUUUAUGGUUCUCGUGACAAUAUAUAUUUCAACUCCAUUAGUGCAUAACUAUCAAUCGAUAAAUGACACAUCCAGGUGAUGAAACACUACUCAAACAGAUAAAACAUUUUCCGACCUCUCUCCCCAAUUAUUAAGAGUUACAUUUUUUCCUAUGUUCUCUCCCUCUCUUUUAUAUUUUCAUUAGGGCAAUUUCAAAAUAAAAAAAAUGAAAUUCUCGCUUCCCUUUUUAUCAAAACCAAUGUUCAACCACGGUUGGUAUAUUUAGCCUAUUGUUGCCAACAACGAGAAAGUUGGGACAAUUAUUUUUAAACACAAGUGUCAGGAUAGUGGCCAGUGCAAAAAAAUAUUUUUGAUGAAACACGGGACCAAAAUUUUUUUACCUAGCACGGGUACUGACCAGCACAGUGUCUGUACCAAAAAAUACCAAAAAAAUUUUGCAUUUCUUUUCUCGAUGCCGGCACCUGAUAAAAAAUUAAUUUUUUAAAUUGGGAAAUACUCGCAUUUUUCAAAAAGUAGACAAAAAAAUACAUAUGAAUGCCGACCAUUGCAAUGUAGACAACUAAAUUUUUUUUAAACCCUGACCCAAUCAACAAGUAAUCAUUACAUGGUGAUUGACUUUGGUGCUAGCUAUCAGAGUGCCAACAUCGCCCGACACUGUAAGAUUCAGAUUAUUUUCGUUAUAGUUUUUCAAUUGGGUCAUUUUCAUAAAUAUUUAUAUUUUUAGGUUAUUUUCGAUAAAAAGCCAGUAUAUUGUUUUGGGACUCCAUCCUUAUGCUUUUUGUUGACAACAUUGAUUAUUUGAUUCUUUUUAACACCUUAACUUCACAUGGCAACUUGAAUAUUUAAACAUUUUUUAAAUUUAAUUGGUACAUAAAUUUGAAACUGUAAACUAAUUUGAUACCCUUUUUUAGGUACAUGAUUAACCCGAUAAAAUGUUGACAUGACAUUGAUGAUCAAUAAGAUGAUAACACGUGGCAGUCUCAAAUUUUGACAUGUUGAAAAUUAUAAAAAAUUAUAACUUUUUUACACAUAAGAAAAUGAUGUGUCACGAACUUAACUAAAAAUUUGAUUAAGGCAAGUGCACCUAUGAAUUUAUAGUAUAACUACAAAGAGCAAAGAUAUGGUUCCCAUGAAGACUAAAAGUACUAGUAAUUAUUGUCUUUCUAUUAUUUAACCGAAUAAUUUGAGUGAUUGAUUAAAAACCAAAAUUAUCUAAUUUAAUCAACUAACAAACAUGACAAAGUACAAAUCACAAAAAUAAGCAAGUAAUAACCGAGAAGUGAAACAAUACCCAGGAACGAAUUCACCUAGAUAUCCUUUUCAUUUUCAAUCAAAAUUACAAUAUUUCUUUACAUAGAACCUCGACCCGUAGGAAUCCCUGAAUUAUGCUAAUAUCUCUUUCGAGCAUAAGAGCAACUGAACUUAGGUUAAUUAAAAUUUCUUUCUAAUUAAAAUGCCUAUUAUCGCAUUAACUCGUACUAUGGAUUCCCCUAUUAGAUUUGACUCCAAUACGGUAAAUUUAUGUCAUCCUACUACUAGGAUUGCAUGUAACUCUACUCAAUUAAGCAAGAUCUAAUCUUAAACAGGGUCUAUUCAAUAGCUAACUUAAGCACAUCAAACAUGGAUUAAUAAUCUAGAAAUAUCAAAUCAAGAAUUAAUCACACAUAAUUGAGAACAAGAAACUAAGUAUUUAUUGCAUAAAAAAUAAAAAUCAAAUUAUAGAAUUCAUUAUAGGGUUCAUCUCCCCUAAGUAUUUAGAAAAUUAGUUCAUGCUUGAAAAUAAAAACAUUCAAGACAUAUUAUAACCAAAAGAACGAAAGAAACUCAUGAUAACUUCCUAAGAAAUCAACUGGGAAUCUUUAAUCUUGAUAGAAACUACUUUAGAGUCGGCUUCAAUAAUGUUUUUCGAGUUGUUUUCUUGAAUAUUCUCUAACAGCUCACUCUCAUCUUCUUAUUUUUGUCAUAUAUACGUCUUAGAAUGCCUGAAAAACUUAAAAAUCAUGAUUUUUUGCUAUUCAAGGCGUAAUUCUAUGAAAUCAACAUGGUUUAUCACACGUCCGUGUGGGUCACACGGCCGAGUGGAAUGGUUCAACCCAUGUGGCUCCUGCAGCUUGCUCUGGUUUUUGCUUGUUUUUAGCUUCUUUUGCUCCAAAGUGCUCUAUUAAGCAUUAAAACAUGAAUUUAAAGGAUUGAGAGUAUAAAAUUCACAAUUAACAUCGAAUAAUCACCCAAAAAAGCAUUAAAAAUGAGGUUAAAACAUGUUCCUUUUAGCACUUAUCAAAUAUCCCCACACUUAAGUGUUUUCUUGUCCUCAAGCAAGAUUCUCAACCCACAUUUAAGUUAACUUUCCUCUAUUUAUUAUUUUCAUCGAUUUUGUCUUAGGAUAAUUUACAAAUAAUUUUGCAUUGGAAAUUUAAACUAAAAUGACACUAAAUAGUACAAGCAAUCCAAACAAAAAAUUUUAAAGCAUAAAAACUUAAGCAGUCACUAAGGUUCACUCAAAUCACUUAAGGUGUUUAAGGUUAAAGCAAUGUGCACUCAACAGUCCAACAAAAAAUAUUAUUAGCAUAGACUUACUUGAAAAAUCAAAUCUCCACCACUAUAUAAUAAGAUGACACACCAAUCAAGAGGUUUUUAUAAGGUUGUAACGGGGCUUUGGUUAAGGGUCGAAAAAUGUUAUAAAUUAAGAGCCGAAUUGAUAAGUUACCAAUCCAAAAAAAUCAGUUACUGAAUUAGAAGAAUUUAUAUAAACAAUAAAUAAAAAUUGAAUAUGAGCCUUUAUACAAAAUAUGAGACUAAUGAUUCAAGCUCAAUAAAAUAUAUAUAUUAGAACAAAGUAAAACUCAGCAAUACAAAAGAUAAUAUAGUCAAUCAACUAAUCAAAUUGAAUCUUGAAAAAAAGGGAGUCAAUAAAAAAAUUUUAGAACAUUAAUAUGGCUUCUAGUUAAGAGGAACGGUAGUUAAGUAAACAAAAUGUGUUAGGAUCAAUAGGUUUUACUAGGGGUUAAUUCAACGGGUAAGCUGUGUAUGGUUCAGCGGGUUAUAUCCUAAGUUCCCCUAUCAUAUGAAUAUAUCAAAUCAAUACUGUGGUCUCAACAUGUAUAACCGAAGCAAGUUCUAGAAUAACAAAUCAAGUUUACUUACCCAAAACCAAAAAUAAAAUGAGCACAAAAAAAUAGAUUCUCUAUAGGCACAAAAGCUUACAAAAAAUUAUGGUUUUGAUAUCAAAUUUGUAAAUUUAACAUUUCAAGAUAAUGCUUCAAUUUAGGGAGACAACCUAAAAUAAUAAUUUUUGAAAAUUAACUUAUCAUGGUUGACUCUCUCGUGUCUUAAAGUAUAAAUAAAACAAUGCAUAAAAACCCACAAAUUAAUCUUAAAAAAAUCAGUAAAAACUCCAAAUUUUUAAAAAUUAACUUUAAUGUUAGACUUGAGAAAAUUACUUAAAUACAAACAAAAAUUCAGAGAGUAUAUUGCAUAAGCAUACAAAAUCCUCCUCAUACUUAAGAUGUACAUUGCCCUCAAUGGAAAACAAAUAUAAUCACAGUAAACAAAAUAUCAAUGGGGAAGAAGAGAACUGAAACUACCUUAAAUUUGGAUGAUUUCAUCGGAAUAGUGAAAUCGAAAUCGUAUAAGAUCAUAAAUUAAGUACAAGGUUCCAAGCACAUUAAUAAUAAGAUAGAAAAAAAUAAAAUAAGAUAAAGAGAUAACAAAAUAGAAAAAUAGUCGAAAAAAAUAAUAGUAAAGUGCAUAAUAAAAUAAAAUAAUACAUAUAAGUUUAAAAAAAUAAAAUAAAAAUAAAUAACAAUAAAAAUAAAAGUACAAAUAAAAGUAAAAAUAAAUAAAAUAUAAAACUAAAUAAAGUCACUGAUUGACAACAUGGGGAAGGUCAGGACUGAGAGGCGCAUGUACAACAAAGGGAUCAGGUGAAGAAAUAUGAAAAUGUUGGCAUAUCUGUUGUAGAUAGGCCUCGAUGCGAUCUUACUAGCACUAAAGCUAGUUGAAAUGCUCUAAAUGUCGUUGCUCAAUGAGUUCGAUCCCCUCUGAUUGCUACUGUUGAAGGCGAUGGAUACCCUCAAGUGUAAUCAAAUGUGCAACAAUAGAGUGACUAGCAAGAGAAUUAGGAACAGGUCGCGGUGGUGGUGGGAGGUCAUCGUCUAGAUGCUCAUCAUCCACAUUCUACUGAGUCAGAUGUAGCAAAAUGUACUAAUCACCAAAGCCCUGAGCCGACAGGCGACCAUCCUCAUAUGUUUCAUUAUACCUAAACCUUGUGGUGCCAAGUCCCCAAUCAAACUGAGAGUGUCGAUCUACUCAACGGUCUCAAGGAGGCCAAAAUAACGGGCUAGACGUGUCACAUAUGGACCCAUACAGAUAGGUCUUUUACGUAGAGGCUCACUCUGAUGUUGACAAUAGUGGGCCAUAACAUAGGCUAUAUCAAUCAGGUAUUGAUAAACCAUAAUAUAUACAUACUUUUACCCCAUGCUUGGCAAAUUUUUGGAAGGAUUAUCAUAAGAUUUAAUGAAUUUGAUGCUCCUAAUCCUUUAAUUUCAUGUUUUAUACUUAGGAGAGCUUAGGAUAGCAAAAAGAGCAAGAAAAGGGCCAAAAAUGGACAAAUUGGGCCUAAUUCAGUGUUUUCACACGGCCUAGGCACUUCCACACGAGUAAUCCACAUGCCUGUGUGUUAUGGAUGUGUCAACAUUAACCAAGUCAGAAUUGCACACGGUCUAAGCACCUUCAUACGGGCAUGGCACACGGUCGUGUCCCUGUCGAGCACAAGUCUAAUUCUAUUCAAAAAAGGCUAAUUUUGGGCUAUUUUAGGCAUUCCAAAGUCUAUAAAAACACCCGAGAGGAGGAAUCAAGGGACACACAAAGUAGAAAGCAGAAAAUACUCGAAGAAUAGCCAUCGGAAUUAGCUCGGAAGCAGGAUUUACAUCAAGACUGAAGAUCUCCACUAAAUUUCUACUGAAGUUUUUGGGUUUCUUUAUGUUUUGUUAUUUUCCCAAUUUUGAGAUGUUUUCCUCUAUCAUUAUGAACUAAAUUCCUUAAAUACCUGAGGGAGAUGAAACCUAAGAUAGAUUUUAUUACUAUUAAUUAUAUGAUAAAUACUUUUUCUUAUUCUUAAUUAUGAGUUUUAAUCUUUGCUUUAAUAUUCCAGGAUAUUAAUUCAGGUUUGAUGUGCUUAUUCAGUGGAGCAAAAGUCCCUGUUUAAGAGUAGAUCCUCCAUAAUUAAGUGAAGUUGCAUGCAAUCCUAGAGAUAGGACGACAUAAAUCUGCCAGAUUAGACUGAAAUCUAAUAAGGGAAUCCAUAGGUCGAGUUAAUGCAACAAUAGGGGUUUUAAUUAGAAAGAGAUUUCAAUUAAUCAACCUAAAUUUAGUUGUUUUUAGUUUCGAGAGAGAUAAUAACAUAAAUCAAGGAUUUCUACGGAUUAAGUCAAGUGAAUAAAUUGUCUAAUUCAGAAGUAAUAGGGGAAGUCUAGGUGGAUUCUUCCUUGGGUAUUGUCUUCUCCAUCGGUUUUCCAAAAGUACUCUUCAACUUUCAUUUCUGUCGCGUUCUUGGAUAAUUAGAUAAUUGAGUUUAGUUUAGAAAACAUCCUUUCAAUUGUUAGGCUAGAUAAUAAAAAGAUAGUAAUUACUAGUACUUUUAGUCCUUGUGGAUAUGAUAUUUCUAGUCUCACCUUAACUAUACUACUGUUCGAUAGGUGUGCUUGCCUUAGUCGAAUUUUUAGUUAGUUUAGUGACCAUUAAGUUUUUGGCGCCGUUGCUGGGGACUAAGAUAUUAGGAACACUUAAUUUUUAUUACUUUAGUCAUUUUUAUUUUUAUUGAAAUUCAAUUUUGUUUUAUUUUUCUUACUAAUUUUUCUUUUAACUAUUCCUGGCAGGUUUUUGACAGUUUAUGACUAGAAGAAACCCGUCAGGACCUUUGCUUUUUAAUAGUGAAAUCGAUAGCACAGCUCCUAGAAAUUAAAGAGAAAUAAGGCGAAGCCUACAAUACAUAGAGGAAGAGCACGAGGGAGACACCAAUAACUCCGAGGAGAUGGCUAAAAAUUGAAAUAAUCCGCUGCCUUCUGUGGUUGUCGCAAACCCAGUAAAUCAGAAUCCUGCUCCUUGUACUAUGUAUGAUUAUGCUAAACCUACUUUAAUAGGAACUGAAUCGAGUAUAGUUAUACUUGCUAUUGCUGCAAAUAAUUUUGAACCAAAACCUAACAUAAUUCAAAUGAUACAACAGUUUGUUCAGUUUGAUGGUUUGCAGGACAAGGACCCAAACACUCAUUUAGCAAAUUUUCUAGAAUUUUGAGACACCUUUAAGAUCAAUGGCGUUUCUGACGAUACCAUUCACCUUCGGUUGUUUCCCUUUUCAUUAAGGAAUAUGGCCAAACAAUGGUUGAACUCGUUACCACGAGGGUCAAUCACUACGUAGGAGCAAAUGACUAAAAAAUUUUUACUCAAAUAUUUUUCACUGGCUAAAAUGGAUAAAUUGAGGAAUGACAUCUCUUCUUUUGUGCAAACGAAUUUAGAAACACUUUAUGAUGCAUGGGAGAGAUACAAGGAUCUAUUGAGAAGGUGUCCUCACCAUGGGUUACCUCUUUGGCUACAAGUUCAAACUUUCCACAACGGUUUGAAUCCCUCGACUAGACAAAUGAUUGGUGUAGCUGUUGGUGGAACUAUCAAUAAUAAGACACCUGAAGAGGCUUAUGAGUUCAUAGAAGAGAUGUCACUGAAUAAUUAUCAGUGGCAAGUCAUGAGGACAAAGCUGACAAAAGCAGUCGGUGUUUUAACGUCGAUUCAGUUGCUACGCUUUCCAAUCAGGUAGAACUUUUCAAUAGAAAAAUUGUUGGUUUACUUGGUUCUACACAGAUUCAUCCAGUAAUAUAGUGCGAUGCAAGUGGAUGUGGAACAAGCAAUUCAGAAUAUCCACCAUACGGCCCUAACAUGGAGAACGAGCAAAUGAAUUAUAUGGAUAAUAAUCCUCAACCUCAAAAUAAUCCUUAUAGUAACACUUACAAUGCAGGUUGGAAGAACCACCCAAAUUUCUCAUAGGGAGGCCAAGGGAAUCAAAGACCACCACCCCCUCUAGGUUUCCAACAACAACCUUACUAGCAAGAUAAAAAAGCCGAACCUUGAGGAGAUGAUGACAAAGUUUAUUUCAGUAGCGAAGACCCAUUUUCAGAACACCUGCACUUAAAAAUCAACAAGCAUCAAUUCAAGGGCUUGAGAAUCAAAUAGGACAGGUGGCUAAGAUGAUUUCAGAGAGACCACUAGGGAGUCUACCUAUUAACAUGGAACCCAAUCCAAAAGAGCAUGUGAAAGCAGUUACAUUAAGGAGUGGGAAAGUGUUAGAUGAAUCUGAAAAGAAGCUGUCACCAGAAGCUGACGAAAAAGAAGAUGAGGAGGUAAAACCCAAAAACAAUGAAAAACUAGUGUUGAAAAAAUAUAAACCACCAAUUCCGUACCCAGUAAAGUUGAAGAAAGACCACAUGGAUGCACAAUUUGAUAAAUUUCUUGAACUUUUUAAACAGUUAAAUAUUAAGUUACCUUUUUUUGAAGCUAUCUCGUAGAUGCCUACAUAUGCAAAAAUUUUGAAGGGGCUUCUAACAAAUAAAAAGAAGUUUGAAGAAUUGUCUACAGUGGAACUAAACGAGCCAUACUCCAGAAUAAACUGCCAACCAAACUAAAAUAUCCAAGAAGUUUUACUAUUCCCUGCUUAAUUGAUAAUUUAAAUGUUGAGAAGGCACUAGCUGAUUUAGGCGCUAGCAUUAAUCUUAUGCCUUACAAAAUGUUCAAGCAACUUGGCCUUGGGGAACCAAAACCUAUUAGGAUGAGUAUUCAACUAGCUGAUAGAUCUGUUAAAUAUCCUAGGGGUAUUAUCGAGGAUGUACUCAUAAAAGUAGAUAAAUUCAUAUUCCCUGUUGAAUUUUUUGUGCUUGACAUGGAUGAGGAUGUUGAGGUGCCUUUAAUUUUAGGUUGCCCAUUUUUAGCCACUACUAGGGGUGUUAUUGAUUAGGGUAACAGUAAACUUAUGCUUAGCGUAGAUGACGAAGAGAUUAUUUUUAAAAUUUAUGAUGCCAUGAGAUUUUCUAAGGAACAAGCUGACUCCCAUUAUUUUAUUGAUUCUAUUGAUCAUGCUACUCAAGAUUCUUUACAAGAAAUCGUACAUAAGGACACGUUGGAACUGUGUCUUGCCCAAGGAGAGGAGGUAAUUGAUGACGAUUCUAUGAUAGGUAAGGUAAAAGCUGAACUAAAUUCUAAUAAGCCUUCACUGAGACAGCAGAGCUAUGAGGGUAUUGAGGUAAACAAUGAAUUAAAAUUAAAACCCUCUGUUGAAUAACCUCCUAAAUUGGAAUUAAAGCAGCUAUCAAAUCACUUACAAUUUCUUGGAAAUAAUUCCCCAUUACCAGUGAUUAUUGCUUCAGAUUUAUAGCCAACCGAAAAGGACAAGUUACUUCAAGUGUUGAAGGAGCACAAAAGAGCCAUAGCUUGGAAGAUUUCUGACAUAAGAGGGAUCAGCCCAUCUUUUUGCACACAUAAAAUUUUAAUGAAAGAUGAAUAUAAAUCUUGUGUGCAACCUCAAAGGCGACUGAAUCCUAACAUACAAGAAGUUGUAAAAGCUGAGGUAAUUUAACUCCUAGAUGCUGGAAUUAUUUAUCCUAUUUCUGACAGUUCUUGGGUGAGCCCUGUGCAGGUUGUUCCUAAGAAAGGAGGCAUGACUGUUGUGGCCAAUGAGAACGAAUUAAUUCCAACAUGAACAGUCAUAGGAUGGAGAGUUUGCAUUGAUUAUAGGAAAUUGAACGAUGCCACAAGAAAAGAUCACUUUCCCUUACCGUUCAUUGAUCAGAUGUUGGAAAGAUUAUCUGGGUAUAUGUAUUAUUGCUUCCUAGAUGGACUCUCUGGUUAUUUCCAGAUCCUAAUAGCUCCUAAGGACUAAGAGAAAAUGACAUUUACAUGUCCAUAUGGUACGUUUGCUUAUCGAUGAAUGCCUUUUGGAUUAUGUAAUGCUCCUGCUACUUUUCAGCGAUGCAUGUUAGCCAUUUUUUAUGAACUCGUAGAAGACAUUAUGAAGGUAUUUAUGGAUGACUUCUCGGUAUUCGGUAACUCUUUCCAUCUUUGCCUUGAAAAUUUAAAACGAGUUCUAAUGAGAUGUGAGGAAACGAACCUUGUACUGAAUUGGGAAAAAUGUCACUUCAUGGUUUGUGAAGGGAUUGUGUUAGGCCACAAAAUUUCUAGCAAAGGAAUCGAGGUUGACAAAGCAAAAGUUGAAACUAUUGAGAAAUUACCUCCCCCUAGUUCAGUUAAGGCUAUUCGAAGCUUUUUAGGUCAUGCUGAUUUUAUAGAAGAUUUAUUAAAGAUUAUUCUAAAAAACCUAAGCCUUUAACGAAUUUACCAGAAAAAGAUGUGCCUUUCAAUUUCAGUCAGGAAUGUUUAGAAGCAUUUAAUACUCUUAAGGAUAAAUUAAUUAAUACUUCAAUUGUAGAUGCACCUGAUUGGAAUUUACCCUUUGAACUAAUGUGUGAUACGAGUGAUUUUACAGUGGGUGCGAUUCUUGGACAGUGGAAAGACAAACACUUUCAACCGAUCUACUAUGCUAGCAAAACAUUGACAGCCACACAAGAAAAUUAUACGACGACUGAGAAAGAAUUGAUGGCUGUGGUUUUUGCAUUUGAUAAAUUUAGACCAUAUUUAAUAUUAUCUAAAGUUUUCGUUUACACUGACCAUUCAGCUCUUCGAUACCUCCUUACUAAAACAGAUGCAAAACUUUUACUAAUAAGAUGGAUUUUAUUGUUGCAAGAAUUCGAUAUAGAAAUUCAAGAUAAGAAGAGAGUAGAAAAUCUUGCAGCAGAUCAUCUAUCUAGAUUAGAAAACCCACAUCUCAAGGAGCUUGAUGAACAUGAGAUAAAUGACUCAUUCCCUGAAGAACAACUCUUUGCUAUAUCUAACUUCGAGGAACCUUGGUUCGCAGACAUUGCAAAUUAUUUAGCUGCUAACAUUACACCAAAAGGGUUGACACAUCAGCAAAAGAAACGCUUCUUUAUUGAUGUGAAAAACUACUUUUAGGAAGAUCCUUUUGGUUUUUUGUAUAUGUGCAGAUCAAGUCAUUAGAAGAUACGUCACAAAGUCAGAAGCAAUUAGAAUCUUGGAACAUUGCCACUUAGGACUGACUGGAGGACAUUAAAGUGGGACUAGGACCACACAUAAAACACUCGAAUCAGGUUUUUAUUGGCCCACACUAUUCAAAGACGCCAACAGGUAUGUUACUUCUUGUGAUAAAUGCUAGCAAACAGGUAAUAUAUCUAAACAUGACGAAAUGCCUCAAACGUACAUGCUUUUAUGUGAAAUAUUUGAUGUAUAGGGUAUUGACUUCAUGGGUCCAUUCCUUAGCUCAUUUGUGAAUAAAUAUAUCUUAGUAGCCAUUGAUUAUAUGUCUAAAUGGGUGGAAGCCCAAGCCUUACCUGCUAAUGACGCUAGAGUAGUGGUGAGGUUCCUUAAGAGACUCUUCUCUCGAUUUGGAACACUUGGAACAAUUAUUAGUGAUAGGGGUACUCAUUUUUGUAAUGCUCAAUAUGAUAAAACCCUUAAGAAAUAUAGAGUUUACCAUAGAAUAGCUACCCCUUACCAUCCUAAAACUAGUGGACAAGUCGAAGUCGCAAAACGAGAGCUUAAAUGUAUCCUAGAAAAGACUGUAGAGUCAAAUAGGAAGGAUUGGGCAAAGAAAAUAGAUGAUGCUUUAUGGGCCUAUAGAACUGCUUUUAAGACCCCCAUAGGAACAUCUCUUUAUAGACUUGUUUAUGGGAAGAGUUGUCAUUUACCAUUUGAACUAAAACAUAAAGCAUUCUGGGCUAUAAAAUUUUUUAACUUUGAUCCCAAACUCGCAGGUGAAAAGAGAUUGAUGCAGCUAAACGAGUUAGAUGAAUGGCGAGCUAAUGCAUAUGAGAACUCACGAUUAUACAAGGAAGCAACGAAGUGCCGCCAUGAUGCUCGUUUAAAGCAACACAAGCAAUUUGAAGUUGGAGACCUUGUCCUGAUAUAUAACUCAAGGCUCAAAUUAUUUCCUGGGAAGCUUAAAUCACGAUGCUCAGGUCCUUUCAUAGUCCAAACCGUCUUUCCAUAUGACACAGUAGAAGUAAGUCACCCAACCCAAGGCACUUUCAAGGUAAAUGGACAUUGUCUUAAACUUUAUAACGGCGAGGAUUUUAAAGACAAUGGAGAGGAGAUACGGCUCCGCGAACCUGCUUAAAUAUACCUACAAGGUAAAGUCGAGCUUAGACUCUAAAUAAGCACUCUUCGAGAGGCAACCCGAACACUAACCCCACUAAAUAACUUUAGUUUUUUUUUCCAUUUUUUUUAUAAUCUGACUGCAGGUAUUCUUGGCACACACGGCCUAACACACGGGUGUGCCUUAGGCCGUGGGCUCACAACGGGUAAGAGAAACGGGCGUAUCUAUGGUCGUGCUAAAACAGGAUAAACAUUUUCCCCAAGACAGAAUAACACACGGGCUGCGAUAAAUAGCCACGACCAUACAAUAUGGCCGUGUACACCACACGACUAAGGGACACGGGCGUGUCCCAGACCGUAGUGAAACUGCACUUUAAUUCCCCAAAAAAUCAACAGAGGCACGUUAUGCGUUAAAUCACCAUGGCUGUGCGAGGCAGCCGUGGAAGUCACACAGUCAUGAACACGGGCGUGCUUGAGGCCAUGAGGGAACUUGCACAAACAACUGAAACUUUCAACAAGUCAGAAUACAACACGGGCUGAUGCCAUGGCCGUGCUUGAAAGCCAAACGUAAUCCUGAUUACUAGACAUGGGCAUAUUGGACUUACCACAGGUGUGGGAGAAGCGAACGAAUCACCACAUGGCCAUGCGAUGCGGCCGUGUGGCUAGACACACGGGCGUGUCCACCGGCCGUGUGCAACACUGACUUAAAUCAUCAGACCAUAAGCACAAGUCAUUAACAUAGGCAUGGUGUACCUAACAUGGGCGUGGGAGUAGUGAACGAACAUGCACACGACCGUGUGACGCGGCCGUACGCACCAUAUGGCCUGGGGACACAGGCGUGUUUAAGGGACCAUGUGCAACACUGACUUAAAAUUUCACGAAAAAAACAGGCUAGGAGCACACUACACGAGCAUGAGCCACAACCGUGUGGCCCAAAAUGGGGCUUACAUGACUGUGGCCCCCUUUUAUUCCCCUCUCCUAAUCCUAAUUUCUCCCCAUUCAUAUAAAAACUCACUAUUCACCCUUCACUAUUCCCCCAUCUUUUUCAGCCCCAUUCUCCUUCUCUAUUUUUCCUUCCCCUUUCUUUUCCUUUUCUCUUAUUUUUUCCUUCUCCCUCUCUGUUCCUUUCCUCUUUUCCCCUUUUCUCCUUCCCCUCCGAGUACCAAGCAUCGUCGCACGCUUCCGCUCCCCACCACCGACCACCACUCUCGGUUUCCUCUCUUACACCUUUAACUCCUUUAUAUUAUCAUUGUUCUAUCAUUUUCCUGUUUGACUGAUUUAUUAUUAUUACUUUUGCUUUAAUGCUUUUGUGAUUCUUCCUUAGUUAUUAAUUCAGCAAGCUUUGGACACUCGUAAUAUGCUACAUAGAUUUUAGGGCCAUUUGUUCUGUUGAGCAAAUUCGUAGUUUAUAUAUUUAGUACUCAAUUAGUUAGUUUCUUUUUAGGUAUUAUGAUUCUACUUAUUUCGUCUGCCUGAUUAAGUUACAUUUGGCUGUUUUUUCUUAUUCGUUUGGUUACUAUGUUGAUUUGAGUCAUGUGAUUACUUUUGCAGGAAACUAUGACGAACAUAAGAGGCAAGAAAACUGUUGUCCCCGCUUCUAAAAAGUGAAAAGGAUCAGGUGUGACCUCCUCGGGUCCCACCACUGAUAUACGCCAUCCAUUCCUCCAAUUUCCACCAGGGCCCCAAGAGGAAUUGUUUUAUAUUCUACGUGUCCAACCCCUUGGUGUGGGCCAUUGCAUCUAUUGGGCCGCAUUAGAGUAGGUCCACCUAGUUGACGCAGUUCGGGCCCUCCUCUCUACCGCUCUAUGGGACUGCUUCUUUGACAUCAUUGAGCCGACGUACUUGGAACUCACCUUGGAAACUUUUUCAAAGUUUCAGUUGCAGUUGGUUAUGGUGGAGUACGAUGACCUAGGCACAGUCCAAUUCUAUCUCGGUAAUCUGGUACGACAAUUGAGUGUCCUAGAAUUUGGAGUGGCCUUGGGACUUUGUACAGAAGAAUUUAUGAAGGACGAUAAUUUUCCCCAUCUCAACCGUCACAUCCAUUACGCACCUUCCUUUUUUUGGGUAGCCCUCAUGCCUGCUACAGGCAUCUAUGAUUCCAGCUGCUCCAAGGCAUCGACUCUCUCUCUGUGUAACAUCCCGAAAUAAGACCUAGUCAGAAUAGUAGUUUUGGGACCACAAAUCUGACAUCAAAUUAUUUAUUUUAUGAUUAUUAUGAGGACAAGAACAUGAAUAUAUGCAUGUGUUAAAGUUUCAUGAAGAAAUUCUAAGUAUAAGAUGUCCAAUUGGAAAUUAGGGACUAAAUUGAUUAAAUUGCAAAACUUGGAUUCUAGAAGUAAUUUGUAUGUAAUUGCUUUAGAUUAUGAUUUAGAAGGUCUUGGAGAGAAAUAUUCCCAAAUUCUAAGUUUUUGGACAAAAAUGGGCUUGCAUGGAUGAAAUUUUAAAGAAAGGGCAUAAGGGCAUUUUGGUCAUUUGGCUUUUUAAUGAAUUAAAAUGGGAAAAAUCAAUCAGCCAUUCUUCUUCUCCAUGCAGCCAAAUUUCUCUUGUCUCCAUAGCUAGGGUUUCCAAGCUUUCCAAGCUCAAUAGUAAGUGCUCCCAAGCCUCGUUUUCCAUGCUCUUUGUAUUUUUGAAAUCCCGGUAGCUUGCUCUCUCCAUUUCUACCCAUAUUUCAUGCUAGGGUUCAUGUUCAAAAAUUUACCCAUGCAUGAGUUGCUUGUAUUUUGAUAGAUUAUGGAGGAAUAUGAAAGAUAAAUGUGUGUUAAGCAUCUUUUCCUAGUUGAUUUUCAUGAGAAACCCUUAAAGGGACUAUUUUGCCAAAGAUGUAAAUGUGUGGAGAAAUAAGAAAAUAAUGGAAAAUGUGGACUACCAUAAGAAGGAUGUAAAUGUGUGGAGAAAUAAGAAAAUAAUGAAAAAUGUGGACUACCAUAAGAAGGAAAAGUGUUCGGCUAGGCUUGGGUAAGAUAAAAAGUGCAUGUGUUUCAUUAUACGAGCCUAAGGACUAAAUCGUAAAAAUGUGAAAGGCUAGGGGCAAAAUAGUCAUUUGGACCGGGGGUAGAUAUUAAACUUGAAAUGUAUAAUGUAGGGUAUUAAUGAGUUAAUUUUUUUGUUAUAGACCCCGAGGAACAAAUUUCGAAGGUCGAUCGAGGUAAACGCAAGGUUUCGAAAUAACCGAAACACAACUCUGAAAAGAAUACUAGGUCAGGUAAGUUUGGAUAACUUAAAGUAAACCCUUAAUAUGUAUAAUUGUAUGAUUUAUGAAUGCAUGAUGAUUGUAUUUAUUAUUAGCAUGAAAUAUCAUACAAAUGCAUAUUUGAUGGUAACAUGUGAAAAAUGUCUUGGUUAAGGUUGAAAAAGGGAAUUCGAUAGAUAAAACCUCAUUGAUAUGUGUAAGGAGAUCUUGCAUGUGUUGCAGUAAGGAUUUAGCCCAGACAAGUAAUCCGUGAUCUCAAGUAUGAAAAGGAUUUAGCCCGGACGGAUGUUCCUUGAAUGAUCAAGCCUCUCGAAGAAUAUGUGUGCAUUGCGGAUUUAGCCCGGUCGAGUAAUCCAAUUAGGGUCUGAAUUUAGCCUAGACUGGUAAUUCAAAUCCAAGCUCAUUAAGGGUGUUUGUCACUAUAAGGGAUUUAGCCUGGACUGGUAAUCCUGCCAUGAGAUGUGAGGUUCGCGGGAAUGCAUAUAUGUGAAAUGAUCAUUUGUAAGAAUUGACAGAUAAUGGGUAUUCCAUCGAGAUUUCCUAGAAACUCAAUGGGAUUAAUAAGAUGUAUGUCAAUAAGAUGAUGAAUGAUGAGCUCAUCUACACAAAUUACAUGAUGCUUUGUUAUGUGACUAACUCAUUGAUUGAGUGCAUGUGAUAGGAAAUCAUUUCCUAAUUGAUGAUUUCAUGAUUUAAGUAUGGAUAUAUGCUAAUUACUCGGUAAGUUUACUUUCCGGUUAUUCUAGCUUACUAAGCAUGUAAAUGCUUACCCCUCUCUUUUUCCUUGUCUCGCAGAGCUUGAGGACUCAUAAGACCUGGAAGACGAUUGGAGAGUCAACACACUAUCAACUAGACAAGAUUUGGUAUAGAGACUUUAUUUAUUUUUUUCAAUGGCAUGUAUAGUAUUUUUGAGUAUUUUGUUAUAUGUGUCAUUUGAUUUGCCAAACGAAGGCAUGUAAAAAUAUGUUUAUCUCUUUGUAUAUAACCAUGAAACUUAAUUGAAGUAGGUUAUGACCUACGGUUUUAUGCAUGGUUUUAAUUACAAGUGAUGGGUCGUUACCAAUUGGCAAUGAGUCACAUGAACGAGCCAAUUUUGGAUGAAUUAAAGUGACAUGAGAACCCAUAACACUAAAUGGAAAAUAACCUUUCAUGUAAGAAACCAAUGAUAUGAGGUUUCCAUACAACUAGUUUUAUUAAUAUUAUUUACAAGUGUAAAACCAUGUUUUAUUUCAAACUUGGUAACCACUAAGCACAAGUAGUAGAAAAGAGUGACUAAAGGCUUGAAAAAUAGCCAAUUAGAGUUCACAUGGUUAGACACACGGGCGUGUGUCUAGGCCAUGUGUGACACACGGUUCCCUUCCAUCGGCGUGUGCUAUGGUCGUGUGUCCCCUGCACUCAAAAUUUUAGCUCAAAGUUGUACAUGGGUAGGCCACACGGGCGUGUGCCAUGGCCGUGUUCAAUUAACAGUGUCGUCCACAGGCAGGCAGCACGGGUGUGUGCCAUGGCUGUAUUGAUAAGUCAGUGUUGCCCACGAUUGAAGGGCAUGGGCGUGCCCUAAGCCACACGGGCGUGUGAGUCCACACAGCCCACCUACACGGGCGUGUGUCCCUUUAUGUUAAGAAAAAUUUUCUGAGGAGACUAAGGUUCAUCAAACGUGCCCGUAUUUGUCCCGCAUUGCCUCUCGGUAUGAUAUAGGUCUCGUAGGCCCAUACAAGGGACAAGAUAUUCAUGAUUUAAAGGUUUUAAAUUUGAGUGAAAUUUUGUGACCCGAGUUAGUAUACUGAAAAUGUAAAGUUCCGAUAAUGCCUCGAACCCUAUCCCAAUGCUGAAUACGGGUGAUGGGUGUUACAUUUAUUGGUAUCAGAGCUACGGUUUAGUCGGUUCUAGGACUACCGUAGAGGAUGUUAAAGCUCGCUAUACAUGCCAUUAUUUGAGUGUUGAUAGUGUGACAUCUCCGAAUUGUUUAAAUUAUUUUAAGUAUAGUGAAUGUCUUCCAAUCAAGCACAAGAUGUGUCCGAGGGAGCCGAGAGCCAUGCUCCAACUUUCGUACAAUGAGCUGUAUCUAGUAGUAGUAGAAGGCUAAUGUCAGAAGGCUGAGAAGAGGCCUGAGCUGCCUUCUUUGAUAUGAUGGAUGAAUGGUUUGUAGAUUAUCUAAGAAAUCGCCCCAAUAUACUAAGACCUCCCCGCCCUCUAACCAACCUGAUGAGGAUGUGCCACGAGUUAUGGCACCAGUGAGAAUCGGUAAAGCCCCUGUAGAUAAGCUUAGGAAGUAUGGGGCUGAGGAAUUUAGAGCGAAAGUUGAUGAUGUCGCUGAAAGAGCUGAGUUCUGGCUCGAGAAUACUAUGCGGGUGCUAGAUGAUUUGUCAUGCACACCCGUGGAAUGUUUGAAGUGUGCUAUGUCCUUUUUGAAGAACACUGCAUACAAUUGGUGGAAGACUGUAUCCUCGGUAAUGCCGAUAGAAAAAAUUACUUGGGAUUUCUUCCAAGUAGAGUUUAGGAAGAAGUAUAUUAGCCAACAAUUUUUGGACUCGAAGCGAAAGGAGUUCCUAGAACUCAAACAAGGGAACAAGACUGUAGUAGAAUACAAGAGAAAGUUCGUACGACUAAGUCAGUACGCAACUGAAUGGGUCCAAACUAAAUCGGAAAUGUGUAAACGCUUUGAGAAAGGUCUGAAUGAGGAUAUUAAGUUGUUGAUUGGGAUUUUAGAAAUACGAGAGUUUGCCGCAUUGGCCGGUCGAGCUAAGAAGGCUGAGGAACUUAAUAAUAAAAGAAAACAAGCUAAGAGAGGGCUCGAGUUGCGAGCAAGAGGUCUAGCAGUAAAACACUGUCGUUCUCCACGAAGAAAGCCAGGAGCCUGUAUGAACGCUCCACUUCGUCAAUGGGAUAUUCAGGUAGAGUGAAAAGCUCUAAACGACAAGGUCAAAAGUCUUCCUCCCCAAUGGUGACUAGUGUGGGGAGUGUAGAUAAUCAAAAACCAAAGUGUAAGAGCUGCAACAAAUUUCACUUGGAGGAGUGCCGAAUGAAGAGCGGCGCAUGUUUCAGAUGUGAUUCUCUUGAUCACUUUCUCAGAGACUGCCCGGAACGAGCUAAAAAAGAUAAGAAAAUAGCUCCGAAGUCGGGUUCUCCCAUUCUACGAGGUAGACCUCCGAGAUACCCUGGGAGUGCUAGUGGCAGUCGAGUCGUGACUAAAGACACUGGAAAAUCAGAGGUUCGAGUCCCAGAAAGAACGUAUGCGAUACGUGCCUGAGAAGAAGCCGCUGCUCCUGAUGUUAUUACAGGUACUUUCUCUCUUUUUAAUUUAAGUGUUGUUGCUUUAAUUGACUCGGGGUCGACACAUUCAUAUAUCUGCAUGAGAUUGGCGUCUAGUAUGAACAUACGGAAGAUAUUAUUAGAGUGUCGAACCCACUAGGUAGAUCAGUUCUAGUUGAUAAAGUCUGUAAGAAUUAUCCUUUAAUGAUUCAAGGUCGUUGUUUCCUGGCUAACCUUAUGUUGUUACCAUUUGAUGUAAUAUUGGGUAUGGAUUGGUUAGCCCUUCAUGAUGUAACAGUGAAUUGUGGUAGUAAGUAUAUUAAGUUAAAAUGCCCGGAUGGUAAGAUUCUACCGGUCAAAUCAAGAGAAUUGGGUUCGUCGUCGGUUGUAAUCACGGCAAUGGUUGCCCAAAGAUAUAUGAGGAAAGGAUAUGAAGCCUUCCUUGCAUUUAUACUGAACACUAAGGAAACAGAGCUGAAAAUCGAGUUCGUGCCGAUAGUAUGUGAGAACCCCAAUGUUUUUCCGAAGGAAUUACCCAAAUUACCUCCUGAAAGGGAGAUAGAGUUUAGUAUUGCAAAAGCUGACGGAUAAAGGAUUUGCUAGGCCAGGUUUUUCACCUUGGGGUGCCCCCGUGUUGUUCGUAAAGAAGAAAGAUUGUUCGAUGAGGUUAUGUAUCGAUUAUUGACAAUUGAACAAGGUGAAUAUCAAGAAUAAGUAUCCUUUGCCAAGGAUCGAUGAUUUGUUUGAGCAGUUGAGAGGAACCACCGUAUUCUCCAAGAUAGACUUGAGGUCUGGCUAUUAUCAGCUGCGAGUUAAAGACUCGGAUGUACCUAAGACAAAUUUCAGAACGAGGUAUCGCCAUUAUGAAUUUCUUGUCAUGCCGUUUGGGCUGACGAAUGCACCAACUGUGUUUAUGGAUCUAAUGAAUAGGAUCUUUCGGCUGUAUUUGGAUAAGUUUGUCAUUGUGUUUAUUAACGACAUUUUGAUCUACUCUAAAGAUGAGACAGAGCAUGCGAAGCAUUUGAGAAUUGUGUUGUAAUCCUUAAGGUAAAAGUAACUGUAUGCUAAGUUUAGCAAGAGUGAAUUUUGGCUCUAGGAGGUUGGAUUUUUGGGUCAUAUAGUUUUGGGUGAAGGCAUCCGAGUUGAUCCAAGUAAGAUUUCUACAAUUGUCGAAUGGAAAUCGCCUAAGAAUGUAACCAAAGUUAGAAGCUUUUUGGGCUUAGCCGGUUACUAUCAAAGGUUUGUAAAAGGAUUCUCCAUGAUUGCAACUCCGAUGACGAAGCUGCUAUAGAAAGAUGUUAAGUUUGAAUGGACGGAGAAGUGUAAGCAAUGUUUUGAAAAGUUAAAGAUAUUACUGACCGAAGCUCCUUUUUUAGUGCUACCUGAACCAGGGAAGGAGUUUGUGGUCUACAAUGAUGCAUCUUUAAAUGGAUUGGGCUGUGUACUUAUGUAAGAUGGCAAGGUGAUAGCCUAUGCUUCAUGGCAAUUGAAGCCUUACGAGAAGAAUUAUCCAACCCACGACCUAAAGCUUAAUGCUAUUGUUUUUUCCUUGAAAAUUUGGAGGAAUUAUUUGUAUGGCUAGACUUUCUGUAUAUUCACGGACCACAAGAGUUUGAAAUACUUGAUGACUAAGAAAGAAAUAAAUUUGAGAUAGCGGAGAUGGUUAGAAUUAAUUAAGGAUUACGAUCUGAUUAUCGACUAUCACCUGGGAAAGGCGAAUGUGGUCGCCGAUGCAUUGAGUAGAAAAUCCCUGUAUGCUUUGAGAGCUAUGGAUACUCAUUUGAAAUUGCUUGAAGAUGGUUCAGUUCUGGCCAAGCUGAAAGCUAGACCGACAUUUCUGCAGGAAAUUUAUGAUGCUCAAUUUAAUGAUGAUGACUUGCAAGCAAAAAGGGCUCAAUGUGAGUCUGGUGUUGAGUCUGAUUUUUGAAUUAGUCCUGAUGGAUGUUUAAUGUUUAGAGAUAGGGUUUGUGUACCCAAAGACAAUGAACUUAUUCGGAAGAUUUUGCAAGAAGCACAUAACAGUCAUUUGUCCAUUCACCCGGGAAGUACCAAGAUCUACAAUGAUUUAAAGAAGAUGUACUGGUGGAACGGUAUGAAAAGAGAUGUUUUCGAGUUUGUAUCAAAAUGCUUGGUAUGUCAGCAAGUUAAAGCUGAACAUCAAGUGCCUUCAAGUUUGUUACAGCCUGUAAUGGCCCCCAAAUGGAAGUGGGACAGAAUUACCAUGGACUUCGUGACGGGAUUACCUUUGACUCCGAAAAAGAAAGAUGCUAUAUGGGUUAUAGUGGACAAAUUGACAAAGUCAGCUCAUUUUAUUCCGGUAAGAACGGAUUAUUCCCUUGAUAGAUUGGCCAAUUUGUACAUUUCUGAGAUAGUAAGAUUGCACGAAGUACCAUUGUCGAUUAUUUCAAACAGAGACCGAGGUUCACUUUGAGAUUCUGGAAGAAGUUACAAGAAGCCUUGGGUACAAAUUGAGUUUUAGCAUAGUUUUUCACCCUCAGACCGAUGGUCAGUCUGAAUGGAUGAUUCAGAUUCUCGAGGACAUGUUACGUUGUUGCAUACUCGAAUUUCAGAGUAGCUGGAAAAAAUAGCUACCAUUGGUAGAAUUUGCCUACAAUAAUAGUUUCCAAACAAGUUCGAAGAUGGCGCCUUAUGAGGCCAUGUAUGGUAGGAAGUGCCGAACUUUAUUGUACUGGAAAGAACUCAAGGAUAAUCAGAUUCAUAGAGUUAAUCUGAUCAAAGAAACUAAAGAAAAAGUUAAAGUGAUACGGGAUUGUUUAAAAGCGGCAUCAGAUAGGCAAAAGUCUUAUGCUGAUCUGAAAAGAAAGGAAAUUGAGUUUCAAGUUGGGGAUAGAGUAUUCUUGAAAGUAUCUCCAUGGAAAAAGGUAUUGAGAUUUGGUCGGAAAGGUAAAUUGAGUCCACGAUUUAUCGGACCGUAUGAGAUUACCAAAAGAGUUGGACCAUUAGCCUAUCGUUUGGCCUUGCCACCCGAAUUAGAAAAGAUUCAUGAUGUCUUCCAUGUAUCCAUGUUAAGGAGAUACCGAUCAGACGCCUCUCAUGUAAUUUCACCGACUGAGAUUGAAAUUUGACCGGACAAAACCUAUGGAGAGGAACCGGUUAAGAUAUUGGCUCGUGAAAUAAAACAGUUGAGAAAUAAAGAUGUGGCACUUGUAAAAGUCUUAUGGCAUCGACAUGGUGUAGAAGAGGCUACAUGGGAGCCGGAAGAAACCAUGAGAAGUCAAUAUCCGAAUCUGUUUUCUGGUAAGACUUUCGAGGAUGAAAGUCCCUAAGGGGGGAGAAAUGUAACAUCCUGAAAUAGGGCCUAUCAGAAUAGUGGUUUCUGGACCACAAAUCUGACAUCAAAUUAUUUAUUUUAUGAUUAUUAUGAGGCCUAUAAUAUGAAUAUAUGCAUGUGUUAAAGUUUCAUGAAGAAAUUUUAUGUAUAAGAUGUACAAUUGGAAAUUAGGGACUAAAUUGAUUAAAUUGGAAAACUUGGAUUCUAGAAGCAAUUUGUAUGAAAUUGCUUUAGAUUAUGAUUUAGAAGGUCUUUAUGAGUAAUUUUUGCAAAUUCUUAGCUUUUGGAAAAAAAAAGGGCGUGCAUGGAUGAAAUUUUAAAGAAAGGGCAUAAGGGCAUUUUGGUCAUUUGGCUUUUUAAUGAAUUAAAAUGGGAAAAAUCAAGCCAAAAUCAGCCUUUCUUCUUCUCCAUGCAGCCAACUUUCUCUUGUCUCCAUAGCUAGGGUUUCCAAGCUUUCCAAGCUCAAUAGUAAGUGCUCCUAAGCCCUAUUUUUCAUGUUCUUUGUAUUUUUGAAAUCCCGGUAGCUUGCUCUCUCCAUUUCUACCCAUAUUUCAUGCUAGAGUUCAUGUUCAAAAACUUACCCAUGCAUGAGUUGCUUGUAUUUUGAUAGAUUAUGGAGGAAUAUGAAAGAUAAAUAUGUGUUAAGCAUUUUUUCCUAGUUGAUUUUCAUUAGAAACCCUUAUAGGGACUAUUUUGCAAAAGAUAUAAAUUUAUGGUAGAAAUGAGAAAAUAAUGGAAAAUGUGGGCUACUAUAAGAAGGAAAAGUGUUCAGCUAGGCUUUGGUAAGAUACAAAGUGCAUGUGUUUCAUUAUACGAGCCUAGGGACUAAAUUGUAAAAAUGUGAAAGGUUAGGGGCAAAACGGUCAUUUGGACUGGGGGUAGAUAUUAAACUUGAAAUGUAUAAUGUGGAGUAUUAAUGAGUUAAUUUUGCUAUUAUAGACCCCGAGGAACAAAUUUCGGAGGUCGAUCGUGGCAAACGCAAGGUUUUGGAAUAAUCGAAACACAACUCCGAAAAGAAUACCAGGUAAGUUCGGAUAACUGAAAGUAAACCCCUAAUAUGUAUAAUUGUAUGAUUUAUGAAUGCAUGAUGAUUGUAUUUAUUAUUAGCAUGAAAUAUCAUACAAAUGCAUAUUUGAUGGUAACAUGUGAAAAAUGUCUCGGUUGAGGUUGAAAAAGGGAAUUCGAUGGAAACACCCUCAUUGAUAUGUGUAAAGAGAUCCUGCAUGUAUUGCAGUAAGAAUUUUGCCCGGACGGGUAAUCCGUGAUCUCAAGUAUGAAAAUGAUCUAGCCCGAACGGCUGUUCCUUGAAUGAUCAAGCCUCCCAAAGAAUAUGUGUGCAUUGUGGAUUUAGCCCGGACGGGUAAUCCGAUUAGGGUCUGAAUUUAGCCUGGACUGGUAAUUCAGAUCCAAGCUCAUUAAGGGUGUUUGUCGCUAUAAGGGAUUUAGCCUGGUCUGGUAAUCCCGACAUCACCUUAUGAGUUCAUGAUAUGGGGGAUUUAGCCUAGACUAGUAAUCCUGCCAUGAGAUGUGAGGUUUGUGGGAGUGCAUAUAUGUGAAAUGAUCAUUCAUAAGAAUUGACGGAUAAUGGGUAUUCCAUCGAGAUUUCCUAGAAACUCAACGGGAGUAAUAUGAUGUAUGUCAAUAAGAUGAUGAAUGAUGAGCUCAUCUACACAAAUUACAUGAUGCUUUGUUAUGUGACUAACUCAUUGAUUGAGUGCAUAUGAUAGGAAAUCAUUUCCUAAUUGAUGAUUUCAUGAUUUAAGUAUGGAUGUAUGCUAAUUACUUGGUAAGUUUACUUUCCGGUUAUUCAAGCUUACUAAGCAUGUAAAUGCUUAACCCUCUCUUUUUACCUGUCUCACAGAGCUCGAGGACUCAUAAGACCUGGAAGACGAUUGGAGAGUCAACACAUUAUCAACUAGACAAGCUUUGGUAUAGAGACUUUAUUUAUUUUGUUCAAUGGCAUGUAUAGUAUUUUUGAGUAUUUUGUUAUAUGUGUCAUUUGAUUUGCCAAACGAAGGCAUGUAAAAAUAUGUUUAUCUCUUUGUAUAUGACCAUGAAACUUAAUUGAAGUAGGUUAUGACCUACGAUUUUAUGCAUGGUUUUAAUUACAAGUGAUGGGUCGUUACCAAUUGGCAAUGAGUCACAUGAACGAGCCAAUUUUGGAUGAAUUAAAGUGACAUGGGAACCCAUAACACUAAAUGGAAAAUAACCUUUCAUGUAAGAAACCAAUGAUAUGAGGUUUCCAUACAACUAGUUUUAUUAAGAUUAUUUACAAGUGUAAAACCAUGUUUUCUUUCAAACCUGGUAACCACUAAGCACAAGUAGUAGAAAGGGGUGACUAAAGGCUUGAAAAAUAGCCUAUUAGAGUCCACAUGGCUAGACACACAGGUGUGUCUAGGCCCUGUGUGACACAUGGUUCCCUCUCAUGGGCGUGUUCUAUGGCCGUGUGUCCCCUGCACUCAAAAUUUUAGCUCAAAGUUGUAUACGGGUAGGCCACACGAGCGUGUGAAAUGGCCGUGUUCAAUUGACAGUGUCGUUCACGGGCAGGCAAUACGGGUGUGUGUUAUGGUCGUGUUGAUAAGUCAGUGUUGCCCACGGUUGAAGGGCAUGGGCGUUGCCUAAGCCCCACGGGCGUGUGAGUCCACAUGACCCACCUACACGGGCAUGUGUCCCUUUAUGUUAAGGAAAUUUUUCUGAGGAGACUAAGGUUCAUUGAACGUGCCCGUAUUUGUCCCUCAUUGCCUCUAGGUAUGAUAUAGGUCUCGUAGGCCUAUACAAGGGACGAGAUAUUCAUGAUUGAAAGGUUUUAAAUUUGAGUGAAAUUUUGUGACCCGAGUUAGUAUACUGAAAAUGUAAAGUUCUAGUAAUACCUCGAACCCUAUCUUGCUGUUGGAUAUGGGUGAGGGGUGUUACACUCUGGCAUUGCGAUACCUCCACGACCUUUUAGCCUACACCUUAACAGGGCGGCGAGAGAGUACCGGUGUCGUUAACACUCACGACGCAUACUUUCUAUGGAGCAUGAGGCAAGGGCAUAUUUUCGAUCUCGCAUACUUCAUCGCCUUGCCUUUUGCCAUCAAACAGAACGACACCGAAAGGGAGUCAUCAGUAUUGGCCCAUAUGUGACUCACCUAGCUCGAUACUUAGGGCUCCUGAGCACAUCGGCACAGUCCUCAUCGCUCACACUUAUCGGCCAGAUGUCCCUAUAGCGCAUCCAAAGUAUGCUCCAUAUGAGGAUGAUAGAGCGUCGUCGUGGGUUCGAUCCUCCUCAAUACUGACUUGCACGACCCACCAAUAAAGAUGACCCCGAAGAUAUUCUAGAAAAUAUCCCUUCAUUUCAUGAGGACCUACAUACUCAGCCACUGCCGAGUCACUGACCAGUUCAUACGGCUGCUUCAUUGACAGAAAUUUCUGCCCACCUGGAUCGAUUUGAGCAAUAUUGCACUCCAUGAUUCGACAACAUAGAGGCGACUCUGUAGCAGAUUUUUCAGCAUUUCCACAUUUCGCCUCUAGCACCACCACCUCAUGAUCCAGCUGCCAAUGAGGACUUUUGAGUCCAUUUAUUUCUACUUUAUUUUGAUUUUCCUUUUGUUUUCCUUUUUCUUUUUUUUUUCCUAUUUCCAGUUUUCAUGUUUUAAAAAGACUUUGAUUAGUAUAUUUUGAAUAUCUCAAUUUUAUGGUUGUUUCUCUAUGAGCAACCAUAAUGACCCCAUUGAUAUAACACCCUAAACCAUUACUGAUGAUAUCGUAGUUUCAAAAGGUUCAGUCAAUUGGUGCUACUCAGGAAUACACAAACAAUCCUAUAGGGAUAGUUAAUUCACGACUGCCAUGUCCUGCUCAACCACGACUAUAGCCACCACGACACCGACCACCACGAUAACCUCUUCGCUGGGUGCUGUGAUUAUGGAACCCAACCUCUACCACUAGCUUCACCCCUAUCUACAUGUUACAUACACAUUAUUUCCAAUGUCUCUAAACCCGCCUCUGCUCUUUCAAGGACUACAUCCAAAUUCAGGGAGUUUUACUUUCCCCCUCUUCUAUGAUAUUAUGCUUAUAUUGUCAUUAUCUAUCUUUGUACAUUGAGGGCAAUGUACAUCUUAAGUGUGGGGAGGUUAGUCAUAUCAUUAUCAGAAAACCCCUGAAUUUUGUCUAAUCCCCAAGUAAUUUUUUUCAUAUCACCAUUAGAAUGAAUUUUGAUUAAUUCAUGAUUUUUAUUGAUAUGUUUUGGAUCAAGACAUAGGUAAUUGUGCAUUGAUCAUCUAACCUUAAGGCAGUAAAGAAUCAAGCAUGAUAAGUUGACUUUUGAGUAUUAAAAUUGCUAGGUUGUUUCCCUAAAUUGAGGUAUUAUCUUGAAAUUCUAAGUUUACAGGAUUGACAUCAAAUACCCAUAAUUUUCACGAGAUUUUGAGCCUUUUAAAACAUAUACCUCCCUUGCUCACUUAUUUUAUUGGUUAUGAGUGUGUCACUUAGGUUUUAUAUACUAAGAUGAUAAAGACACUUAGGUUUUAACCCAUUUACCCCAUAAAAAGCAUGCCCACAUAAUUGACCCCUAGUGAACCCCUUUGAGCCUUAACCAUUGUUUCUUGAUUUUCCCUUAAUGAUUAACACAUGACUGAACCCUUUUUGAUUCAUUAAGAAUUUCUCUUUUUAUUAACUCCCUUUUUAUCGAGCUUUGAUUUGAUUAGUUACCUAACUAUUUCUGUCCAUUUUAGUUGUUGAAUUAUUAUGUACUCUCCAUUACUGUUCUUAUUCUUAAAAAAAUCGUAUAUUUAUAUUCAUUCAAUUACAUAUUGUUUAAAAGAGCUUGGAUAAGUUAAAGUUAUUAUAUUAAGGGAAAGCUCAUUUCAUCUUAGAAAGUUUUAUUUCUGGCACCUGUUUGUAAUUCAGUAAUUAGCUUUAUUCUUCUAAGUUGGGUAAUUUAUUAUAUUAAUCUUGAUUCUAACCCUCUUUUUCAGCCUUUAUCCACACCUUUAACCCAAGCCCCAUUACAACCCUGUUAAAGACCUUUUGAUUCGUGUAUCAUCUCAUUUAUAGUGGUGGAAAUUUGAUUUUCAUGCAAGCCUAUGGUAAUAACUUUUCAUGCUUGACUAUUGAGUGCUUAAUUAUUGAACCUUAAACACUUCAAGUGAUUUGAGUGAAUCUUUAGUGAGGAUGUCAACUCUUGUCAAUUUGGAAUUAAAGGUGAUCACUAAGAUAAAGGGAGAUACCUAUGAUUUUAUGAUUAAAAUGCUCAACUUGGAUUGUUUGAAACUUUUAUGUUCUUUUAGUUGAAUUCUCAAUGUGUGAUUAUUUGUGGAUUACUUCGAAUCAUUAUUGAUGGAAUUAUAAGUUAAGAAGAAUUAAUUUUAAUUGUGAGUUGAGAAUUUUGCUUGAGGACAAUCAAAUUUUUAAGUGUGGGGAUAUUUGAUAAACCAUAAUAUAUACAUAUUAUUACCUCAUCCUUGGCAUAUUUUUGAAAGGAUUAUCAUAAGAUUUAAUGAAUUUGAUGCUCCUAAUCCUUUAAUUUCAUGUUUUAUACUCAAGAGAGCUUAGGAUAGCAAAAAGAGCAAGAAACGAGCCAAAAACAAACAAAUUGGGCCUAAUUUAGUGUUUCACACGGCCUAGGCACUUCCACACGAGUAAUCCACACACCCAUGUGUGACACACAGGUAGGCCACACGCCCGUGUGUCAUGGCCGUGUCGACAUUAAAUCAAGUUAGAAUUGCACACGGCCUGAGACUUUCACACGGGCGUGGCACACAACCGUGUCCCUAUCGAGCACAAGUAUAAUUCUAUUCAGAAAAGGCUAAUUUUGGGCUAUUUUGGGCAUUCCAAAGUCUAUAAAAACACCCGAGAGGAGGAAUCAAGGGACACGUAAAGUAGAAAGUACAAAAUACUCGAAGAACAACCAUCGGAAUCUGCUCGAAAGUAGGAUUUACUUCAAGACUGAAGAUCUCCACUAAAUUUCUACUGAAGUUUUGGGUUUCUUUAUGUUUUGUUAUUUUCCCAAUUUUCAGACGUUUUCCUCUAUUGUUAUGAACUAAAUUCCCUAAAUACCUGAGGGAAAUGAAACCUAAGAUAGAUUUUAUUACUGUUCAAAUUAUUUGAUAAAUACUUGUUCUUUUUCUUAAUUAUGAGUUUUAAUCUUUGCUUUAAUAUAUUAAUUCAGGUUUGAUGUGCUUAUUCAGUAGAACAAAAGUCCCUGUUUAAGAGUAGAUCCUCCAUAAUUAAGCGGAGUUGUAUGCAAUCCUAGAGAUAGGACGACAUAAAUCUUCCGGAUUAGAGUCAAAUCUAAUAAGGGAAUCCAUAGGUCGAGUUAAUGCGAUAAUAGGGGUUUUAAUUAGAAAGAGAUUUCAAUUAAUCAACCUAGAGUCAGUUGUUUUUAGUUUCGAGAGAGAUAAUAACAUAAAUCAAGGAUUUCUACGAAUUAAGUCAAGUGAAUAAAUCGUCUAAUUCAGAAGUAAUAAGGGAAGUCUAGGUGGAUUCUUCCUUGGGAAUUGUCUUCUCCAUCAGUUUUCCAAAAGUAUUCUUAAAAUUUCAUCUCUGUCACAUUAUUAGUUAAUUAGAUAAUUAUGUUUAGUUUAGAAAACAUCCUUUCAAUUCUUAGGCUAGAUUAUAAAAGGAUGGUAAUUACUAGUACUUUUAGUCCUUGUGGAUACGAUAUUUCUGGUCUCACCUUAACCAUACUACUGUUCGAUAGGUGCGUUUGCCUUAGUUGAAUUUUUAGUUAGUUUAGUGACGAUCAGGUAUUGCUCAUGCAUGCUCCAUAGGAACUCUACUUCUCAAGUGCCCAUGACGCUCGCACUCUCCUUUCGACCAGUUAGAGUGUGGGCCAAAAUGGCGUGAACGUAGCAUAGGGCCAGGGGUAGGCACCAAACCAUAGACUAGCUCAGUUUGUACGAAGUGGCAACCUAAAAAAUGUCAAAGUAGUAGAGAAGGGUUGAUUGAUGUACGUGUCUCAAGAGAGUGGAGAACUCUGGCAUAGCCAAGAAGUUGUCAAAAUAUAUACUGAAAGUGACUCUAAAUCCCGCAAUACUUAAAAACUGAGUGACAUCCCUAAGAUGGAAUGACAUCACUCGAGGUUCAUCCCUUGAUGAUAGCAUCAUCUAUAGGAAAAAUGUGGAGCAAAACUCCAAAGUAAGCUCAGCAUAUGUCAGCUCCAUGAUCACAAAGAACUAUUCCCACGGUAUCGUGUCCAAUCAAGUAUGAACCCGUGCAGAUAGACCCAUAGUCUGAAGGGCUAUCCAGUUGAUACACCAACCCAAACCCAAUGACCUGUCCUUCAGGUGCUGGUACAUCUCCUCUUGGGGUGAAUGGUCAAAUGUGAGGUAUCAGUGUCAAGCGAUUGCGAUUUGAGAGGAGGAAGAUGUGGUCCCAACAACCUUUCAUUUCUUGGAAUGAGUGGUUACCUUACUUUUUCCUCGUGUAUUCAACAUUAUGUACUUGAAAUAAGAAUUCACAAUAAAAUGUUUGGCUAUUGUCAGUAAACAUUACAAACCAUGAAAACCAAUAAACUAUAGUGUCCUAACUACGUGCUCGAAAUAAUUCAUAUUCAAUAAUAAUAGAGGGCAGCAUCUAUCAGUGAAACAUCAAAAUCAGCUAAAACAAAGCCCCAAUAUUAAAAUCAACUAAACUAAAUUGAAAUAACAAAUUAAGCAAAUCUAAUCUAAAAUUUACGCAAAAUUAAACAGUCAAAGGAUGAAAAAAAUGAAAAUGAAAAUAAAAUUAAUAAUAAUCAUAACCUAAAAAAACAUAAGUAAUAAAAAAAGUAAUAAUAAAUAAAACCAAAGACAUGGAUGUUUGGGUGUGUUGGUAUCGACGACAACGUGGGGAUUGCAUUUGAUGGUGGCAUGAGGGUGGCACAAAGUGAAAUGGAAGGAUGACUAGUAGGGUACCGGGGGUUUGUUAUAGUAUGCCCAAAGACCAGUCAGGAGAUGAUUGUAAUCACAUAUUCAUUAUACCUUGUUUAUUAAUUAAAGGCAUUGCUAUUGUUAUUUUAGGUUUACUUUCUGUGUGUGUAAAAUAAACUGAUUUAUAAUAAUGUCCCGUGAAUAAUAGGAUUGUUUUUAAAAGGUCCUUAGUCAAGUAUUAUUGUGGGUUUGGACAACAAUAAUGCAUUAAGACUAAUAUGUAGUUGAUUGAUGACAAAGUGUUGUUAUUGACAUGGGGAUGUCAAAAUCAAUACAUGAGUAUAUGUUAGAGAACAAUAUAUUGUAUUGGCUCGCUAUGAGUAUGUUUCUUGGAUUAUUAAAUAAUAGUCAUAACAUUACUCAUAGUGAUAACUAUGUAUACAAUCCUUAAACUUGAGAUCAUUAUUGUCCCAUCAUAGUGAGUCGUAUAUUUUGAUACAGUCAAACAUCUACUGUAAUAGGUUGUACUAUAAAGACUGAUGUUGGGUAUGCCACAAUCUAUGUAGUGGGAUAUGAUUGAUCAAGAUAGGAUUUGUCCCUUCUACAUAAUGGAAGCAAUAUCUUAAGAAACUUAAUGAAGUGAGACUAGAAAUGCAUGGCCAUGCUCAAAUAAGUUAAUAUGUGAUAUUACACUUAUUUUUUUAUUGUAGUCUAUUUUGGGUAUCAAGAAACAUGAGAUUGGACUUUGCAAGUAUAACUAUUCCAUGACUUGUGUCCAAUUGAGAUAUAAAGGACAAAAUGAUAUAAUGCAUAAAAAUUUAUCACAGAAAGGUUAUGUUGAACCACGAAUUCUUGUAACUUGGGUAGUGAUGAUGCAUUGCUAGAUUCCACUUAUUGCUUGUAACAUUAGAAGUACUCUAGUAUUUUUAUCAAUGUUACAAGAGCUUACAGGGUCACACCCUAUGGUUGAAAUGAACAAAAUCUAAACACAGUUGAUAUUAAAUUUAAUUGUCACGGGAAUUAUAUUAAUUAUUGAAUUAGUUUAAUUUGACAGUUAAAUAAUAAACACAGUAUAUGUACAAAUUCGUUGUACAAGAAUAGAGAACAUAGUUAAAAUAAAUGUAUGAACUUGAUUCAUAUAAAAUAUUAAUUAUGUACUAUUUACCAAAAUUAUUAAAAUAAAGUGUUAUAAUAAUUUCGGUCAAACAUAAAAUAUAUGGAAAUUAAUAUCUUUUUGGAAAGGAUAUUACUUUAUGAUAUUUUCCAUAUAUUUUCUAGCAUCAAAAAUAGGUGAUUCUAGUUUUAAUAUGUAUAUUAAAAUAAAAGGGAAUCAUAAAAAUCCUAAGGUGAAAGAGUGUUACCAAUAUUAACAAUGAAAAGGAAAAGAAACCUAGGUCUAGCAUCCGUAUUUUUUUUGAAAAAAACUGGGUGAUUCCAGUUUGUUCAUUUGCAACUGGGUGGAUAUGUUGAGGCCAGGAUGAUUUUGUUGUGGCUUUGGUUUGACAGCGUGCGAAGAGGAUUAAACCAUUAGUGGUUCCUUCAUAUUUUUCAAAUUUCGAAAGGAAUAAUUUCAAACUUUUCCUUCUCGAUUUGUUCCUCAUGCAUGGAUUACUAGUUUGGAUUACCGGAAUAAUUUUUUUGCUGCGCCAGGAGGCGUCCUAAUGACCCAACAGGGUUAUGACUGGCGGUAGCGUGAGGAAAGAGAUGGAGGAGAGGGUAGAUGGCUGUUUGAAGGCCUUAGAAGGUGAGGGAGAAGGGUUAUCCUCAAAUAGGGCUAGUUGUGAGUGGAGAAAGGAGAAAAUGAAACAGUGGUGGCAUAAAGGAAUGCACAAAGGGAGGAUGAAAAAUGGUGGUGGAAAGAUAGGGCGAGGGGGACGAUGACAUGUGUAAGGUCUAGAAGGAAGAAAAAAAGGUCAAUAUUCUGUGAGAGGAGACGACGGCGAGGGGGACAAACGAUAAGGUAUAAGGCGUAUUGGGGAAGAUUUUGGGGGAAACAAUGUCUGAAAAAUGGCUGGGGUGCUUAAACAGCUAUUAGGAGGGAGGGAGGCUUUGUGGAAAGAGUAAGGGAGACAAAAGAAAAAAGAAAAAAAAAACCCUAGCUGUAAAGAGGGUACACGACCAUGUGCCAAGCCGUGUGGUCAGGUUGUGUAUCUCUUUGCAACUGCAUGUCCCAUGAAAAAAAUUUUAAAAAAAUGGUCAAGUGUAAACAUGACGUGUUUCACUGAUAAAUGAUAAAACUAACAUAUUUUAAUCCCAUUCUUAAUGUGUUUUUCUAUGAUUAUUUAUGCAAAUUGGUGAAUUUGAUGCUCCAAAUCCUUUGAAUUCAUGUUCCUAUACUUAGAUGAGCAUUUGAGAGCAAAAAAGGCGAAAAAAGGAGCGAAAAAGGGACAAAAAAGCAUAUUUCAAGAGCCAUACGGGCUAGGCCUUCCAACACGUGCUAGACACACGGCUGUGUGAGCCACAUGGGCUAAACACAUGUCCAAGUCCCAGAUCGUGUCAAUUUCGCAACUUGCUUCCCAAACACGUGGAAAAAUACAAUUUUUAGCCUUUCUAAGCAUUUUGAAGUCUAUAAAUACCAAAUAGAAGAAGAGAGAAGGGAGCCAUUAGAGAAUAAGGAAGAAAACAAGUCAAAUAUCACCAUUGGAGCCAACUCUGAAGCAGAUCUAAAUCAAGAUUGAAGACCUCCUUUUAAUUUCUUUUGAAGUUUUUAUGAGUUUCUUUAUUUCUUGUGGUUAUUUUGACUUUGAGAUGUUUUUAUUCAGAAUUAUGAACUAAUUCCCUAAAUACCUAGGGAAGAUGAAACAUAUGAUGAAUUCUAUUAUUUAAUUUUUGUUUUACAUAAUAAAUAAUUGAUUCUUGUCCUCAAUUAUGUGUGCUUAUCUCUUGUUUUAAUAUUUUCGAGAUAUUAAUUCAUAUUUAAUAUGCUUAAUUCAGUGGAGGAAAAGUCCAUAUUUAAGAGUAGAUCUAGCAUAAUUGAGUAGAGUUGCAUGCUAUCCUAGAAAUAGGACAACAUGAAUCUACCGAAUUAGAGUAAAAUCUAAUAAGGGAAUCCAUAAAUCGAGUUAAUGCGAUGAUAGGGGUUGUAACUAGAAAGAGGUUUCAAUUAAUCAACCUAGAGUCAGUUGUUCUUACUCUUGAAAGAGAUAUUAGCAUAAUUUGGCGAUUUCUACGAAUCAAGAUACCAAGUGAAUAAAUCGUUUAAUUCAGAUUCAUAAUAAUAGGUGAAAUCUAGGUGGAUUCUUUUCUGGAUAUUGUCUCUCUCAUUGGUUAUUAUUUGGUUGUUUUCUUAAUUUAUUUUUUGUUGAUUUCUUAGUUAGAUUAAUUUAGUAAAUUUAGUUUCAAACUAAUCACUCUAACUUGUCGGCUAAAUAAUAGGAAAAUGGUAAUUACUAAUACUUUUAGUCCUUGUGGAUACGAUAUCUCUAGUCACCAUAGCUAUACUAUUUAUCGAUCGGUGCACUUGACUCCGUCCUAUUUUUAGUUAGUUUCAUGACACACCAAAUUUUUUUCGCCAUUGUCGGGGACUAGAAUAUUAGGAACACUUUAUUUUUAUUAAUUUAGCUAUUUUUAUUAUUUUUAUUUUAUUUUUAUAUUUUUAAUUUAAUUUCUACAUUCUAAUUUUUUGUUUGCUUAUGGCAGGUUCUUUUAGUUUAUGACUAGAAGAAACCUAUCGGGACCAUUGCUUUUUUAUAGUGAAAUUGAAAGUACUACUCGUAGAAAUUAUAGAGAAGCAAGGCAAAGUUGACAAAAUAUAGUAGACAAACAAGAGGACAUCAUUAUUACUGAGGAUAUGGGCGAUAAUCAGAAUAUUCAGCUACCUCCUGCAACUCUUGUUCCUCGUACUAUGUACGAUUAUGCCAAGCCCAUUCUGACUGGGGUUGAAUUGAGUGUUGUGCAACCCACCAUUGCUGUAGAUAAUUUUGAGCUGAAGCCAAACACUAUUUAGAUGGUACAAUAGUAUGUUUAGUUUGAUGGUUUGCAAGAUGAAGAUCCUAAUACUCAUUUGGCCAAUUUCCUAGAAAUUUGCGACACUUUCAAGAUAAAUGGCGCCACUGAUGAUGACAUUCACUUUCGGUUGUUCCCAUUCUCAUUGAAAAACAAAGAAAAGUAGUGGUUAAACUCUUUACCACGAGGUUCCAUCACUACAUGGGCUCAAAUGAUUGAGAAGUUUUUUCUAAAGUACUUCUCACAAACUAAAAUAGCUAAGUUGAGGAAUGACAUCUCUUCUUUUGUGCAGAUCAAUUUAAAGAUGUUAUAUGAUGCAUGGGAGAGAUAGAAAGACUUAUUGAGAAGGUGCCCUCAUCAUGGGUUACCUUUAUGUUGCAAGUUCAAACCUUCUACAACGACUUGAAUCCUUCAACUACUCAGUUAAUUGAUGCAGCAACUGGUGGAACACAGAACAAUAAAACACCCAAAGUAGCUUAUGAGUUCAUAGAAAAGAUGGCAUUGAAUAAUUAUCAGUGGCAAGUCAUGAGGACAAAGCGAUGAAACCAGCCAAUGUCUUUAAUAUAGUUACAGUCACCAUGUUAUCAAACCAAGUAGAAGUAUUAAAUAAGAAUAUUGAUGGUUUAUAUGCUUCUACACAGGUGAAUCUGUUGAUGAAAUGCGAUACAAAUAGAGGUGGAAUGAAUAAUCCAGAAUGCUUACCCUUCGAUCCUAGCACAGAAAAUGAACAAGUUAAUUAUAUGGGUAACAAUGUUAAACCCCAAAAUAACCUUUGUAGUAAUAACUAUAAUGUAGGUUGGAGGAACCAUCCCAAUUUCUCUUGGGGUGAUCAAGGAAAUCAAAAAGCACAACAAUCUUUAGGCUUCUAGCAACCUUGUCAGAAAGAGAAGAAGCCAAACCUUAAGGAGAUCUUGACAAAGUUUAUCUCGGUGUCAAAAACCUGUUUCCAAAACACAGAGGCAAUACUGAAAAAUCAACAAGCAUCAAUUCAAGGACUCGAAAAUUAAAUAGGUCAACUUGCUAAAUUAAAUUCGAAAAGACCACAAGGUAGCUUCCCUAGAAAAACUGAAACUAACCCAAGAGAGCAACUUCACGUAAUUACUAUUCAAGAUGUGGAAGGGUUAGUUGAAACUGAACAAGAACGAAGACACAAAAUUAUGGCAAACAAUGAUAAGGUUGAAGAAGGUAAGAAUGAGCUAAAUCUGAUUGUCAAAGAAUACAAACUUCGAGUGUCAUAUCCUAAUGCAUUGAAGAGAGAUCACACAAAUGAACAAUAUGGUAAAUUUCUUAAGCUUCUUAAAAAAUUACACAUUAACUUAACGUUUGUUGAAGCUCUUUCGCAGAUGUCAAAAUAUAUCAAAUUUUUAAAAGAGCUAUUAACAAACAAGAGGAAGAUAGAUGACUCGUCCACUGUGUUGCUCAACACAGUUUGCUAAGCCAUUUUCCAAAAUAAACUACCUAACAAACUAAAAUAUCUAGGGAGUUUUAGUAUUCCUUGUCUCUUUGGUAGUUUUCAUGUCCUAUAAAAUGUUUAAACAACUAGGUCUCGGGAAACCCAAACACACUAGGAUGAGUAUUCAGCUAGCAGAUAGAACUAUUAAAAUAUCCGAGGGUUAUUAUUGAUGAUGUGAUUGUAAAAAUUUAGAAAUUCGUAUUCCCCGUUGACUUCAUUGUGUUAGAUAUGGAUGAAGAUAGUGAGGUACCUUUGAUUUUAGGUAGCCCUUUUUUAGCCACUACUAAGACUAUCAUCUAUGUUGGUAAAUGUGAACUUGUGCUUUGUGUAGAUGACGAAAAGAUUAUUCUCCAACCACGUGAUUCUAUGAGAGUCUUUAGGGAUCGAGAUGAUUUUAAAUGUUCUGUAAAUGUUAGUAACCACAUGGUUCAACCUUCUUUGUAGGAAAUCCCUCGUGGAAACAUGAUGGAGCCAUGUUUCAGUCAAGGUUACAAAAAUAGAACAACUUAUGAAGAGCGAAUGGUGCAAAUCGAUGAACUAGAUGAACGGUGAACACAUGCUAAGGAGAAACCAAAAAAACACGAUGAAGAGCCAAAACGAUGCCAUGACGAGCAUGUGAAUGGAAUAAACCAAUUUAAGGUUGGGGAAAAAGUACUGCUAGACAAAAUGGAUCCACAAAUUUACCCUUCAGAGCUUGAGUCAAACGGCUCGAACAAAUUUACGAUACUUGAACAUCUUCCCUUACGGUACAGUUGAGGUAACACAUCCUGAUUUCUACACAUUUAAGGAGUGCUAAGGAGAAAGAUGAGCUUUGGCUCCGAGAACCACCGUACGCAUACAAGGUAAAGUCAAGCUUAGACUCUAAAUAAGCACUUCUCGAGAGGCAACCCAAGUAUUUAACUUCUGCUAAUUCUUUUAAAUUUAUUGCAUGUUAAUUUAAAUUUAAUUUAAUUAAAUUCUUAAUUAAAAUAAAUAAAUAAAUAUUUUUUGAUCUAUACGGCUUGGACACACGGAAAUGUCCCAGGCCAUGUGCAAAGAGGGUAAUCAAUAGUGAAUCACAUGGCCUAGCAACAUAGCCGUGUGACACACACGGCGUGGACACACAGGCGUGUCCCAAGCCGUGUACAUAAUAGAGCAAAUGGCAUAGAGUUACACGGUGUGAAGACAUGGCCAUGUAGGUCACACGGCCUGGACACAGGGGCGUGUCCUUGGCUGUAUGAGUCUUGAGACUUAAUUUUUAAUUUCGGAGGUUACACAACCUGAAUUGGUGCACACGGGCUGAAGAAUCCCACAUGGGCAUGUGACACGACCGUGUCCCCUUUCUAACCCUUAAACCUUAAUUUUCUUUAGUUUUUUCUUCUUCCUCCUAAUCCCCCUACAAUAAAACCCUAGCCGUUCAUUUUCGCAGCCUCCUCUUCCAACCAGCCAUUGUCACGUAUCCAUUGUUUCCUCUAUUUCCCACCUCUGAACGCCCCUUCCCCCUUUCCCUUCCUUCUUCUUCCCUCAUCGAAAAAACCCUCUUUUCUUUUCUUUUUCUCCUUUUCCCUUCUACCAACCCUACGCGACUCUCCCCCUUCCCCUUUCUGCCUCACCUUGCUACACCCCUAACUGAACACCUCCCUCCGUUGAUGACCUCUCACCUCUGAACCGCCUCACCUCCCUUCCUCCUUCGACUAAACGCGCCCAAGCCACUGCCCAUCACCACUAUCCACCCACCCCAUUUCCAUUCUUUCCCCCCUUCAAGCCUCCCUCUCCCUUUCCCUCUUGUUCCUUCUUCUCCUUUAACAAAAUACCCCCACGUCAUGCCCCACCACCCGUCGACCACCGUGCGUGCCUUCCACUCCAUCCCAUCGUCGGUUCCUCCAUUUUUUACCUUUCCUUCUCCUUUUUAGACUUAUUAUUAUUUAUUUAUUUUUCUUAUUUCUUAUUUAUUUUUAUUUUUCUUAUCUUUUUUUAUUUUUCCUAUUGUUACUAGUUUUAUUUUUUUAUUAUUAUGGUUAUUCUUGUUAUGAUUAUUUUUAUUACUGUUAUUAUUCUUUGCACUAUUAUUAUUAUUGUUAUUGAUUAUUCAUAUUUUCUUUUUAUUUUUAGUAUUGUUCAUUGUUGGUUUUUUUUAUUAUUACUCAAAUUUGUUUCUUUUGGUAUUAUUUUUCUGAUUUUUGUUUAUAUUAGGUUGAAUGUCGACUUAUUUAUAAGGCAAUUUGUUUAGGUUGAAUUUGAUUUUUAUUACAUAAGUUAUUAUUGCCCUUACUAUGUUAAUUCGUAAAUUUUCUUCUAGUGAUGAUGAUAUUUGGUUACUUUAUUUUAUUGCAGGUACACCAUGACAAAGCGGAAGACUCCGGGCACGACCUCAUCGUCAGGUGCUUCCAUCAAUGCAUGCUCUCCAUGUCUCCAAUUUUCACAGGGUCCUCAAGAGGACUCAGCAUCUCCGACAGCGACCACUGGGAUUGGGCCGAUGUAUUGAUUAGGCUUCCUUGGAGCAGAUUCAACUAGUUGAUAGAGUGCAAGCCAUCAUUGUUACAGCACUAUUACUUUCAAACUUGGAGGUACGACGCGUCAGCUGAGCGUCCUAGAGUUCUGAGCUGCAUUAGGACUCUAUACUGAAGAGUUUAUGAGUGCCGAGGGGUUUCUCACUUUAUACCGACACAUCCACUAUUUUUCGUCUCUGUGCUAGACAGAGCUUACUACUAGCACGACACUCUAUGAUCCGAGUCGGUUGAAGGCGACUUACCUAACUCUGGCCUUGCACUAUAUUCAUGCCAUCUUGGCUCACACAUUAACUAAUCGGAGGGAGAGCACCGAAGUCUUCAGUAUAUUUGACGCUUAUUUUUUAUUGAGCAUGGCCACGGUGUGCACUUUUAAUCUUGUCUAUUUCAUCGCCCUAGCUUGUCACAUCAAACAGAAGUAGGAAGGGUACUAUCUACUUAGGCCCUUAUGUGACUCGCCUCACACAACACUUCGGCCUCCUCAACACUCCGGAGCAAUCCUCCUCCUUUACACAAGUUUGAUAGAUGACCUCGUAGGGGUUAUCAAGUAUAAGUCACAUGUGGAUGAUCGAGCAACUGCAUGGUGUGGAUCCUCCUCAAAACUGAUUAUCUUAUUUUGACCCUCAAGAUGAGCAUGGGAACUUCACUAAUUAUGUCCCUUUCCACCACGGGGAUCCGCCUCAUCAUCCAGCUCAGAGUCAUCGUACUACUACUUCUGCUACUACCCUCGCGGAUCUCUCCGAGUGGUUCACUCAUUUCAAGCAGCACUAUUUUGAGCAAUUCAACAGUAUUGAUGCGACGUUGUAGCAAAUCUAUCAGCACCUCUACAUGCUUCUUCAGCGUCGGUGCCUUGCAAUCUCGAUGCCUCUGACAACAAAGAUUACUGAUUUUAUUUCUUUUCUUUUCAGCUUUAUUUUUAAUUUUCUUUUUCUUUUUAAUUUUCUUUUUUUAGUUAGUUGUUUUAUUUUUAUUUUCUUAGACUUCUGUCGUUUAUUAUCUUUUGAACUUUACUUUUUUUAUGAUUGUUUCUAAUUGAGUUUUUUAAUUUCUUAAUCUUCUUCAUUAUUUGUGUUUAUUUUCUUAUUAGUUUGUUUGGAACAAUGCACUACAAUUAGAUUUGCCUACAAUUCUAGUUUUCACUAUUUUGGCAAAUUCAUCCAUAUUCAGAGUAGUUUCAGUUUUCUCCCCCUCUUAUGAUAUUUUGCUUAUACUGUGCUUAUAUCUAUUUGUACAUUGAGGACAAUAUACAUCUUAAUUGUGGGGAGGUUAUUCAUAUAAUUAUUAGAAAAUCCUUGAAUUAUUUAUUAUGUUUAAGUAAUUUUCUCAUACUUUCACUAGAAUGAAUUUUUGUCGAUUUGGGAUUUUUUUAAAUGUUUUUUGGAUUAGUUUGUAGAUAUUGGUGCAUUGAUUGAUUUAAACUUUAAGUCAUGAGAGAAUCAAGCAUGAUAAGUUAUUUUUCAGAAAUUAAAAAUUUUAGGUUGUUUCCCUAAACCUCUUGUGACACUUCUUUUUGAUUCUAAACGAUGGAAUCGACCUUUGCGAUAUAUAAAAAAUGACCGGGUUGAAAAUGCUAUAAAAAUGAAAUGUCACAAUAUUUUUUUUAUACAUGUCAAAGUGAUGGAAAAGAAAAAAUAUCUUUUACGUAUCCACCCAGUUUAGCAACUUUUGGGGAAAUGAUAAAUAUUGGUAUUGGGUUUGAUAAAUAUCAAUGCAAUGAAUUGUUUCAAGGCUAAUCAUAAUUGGCUUAUCAGAACAGAACGAAAUUCAUUUAUUUGAUUAAUACAGGUACCUUAGCAAUUCGACAUAGAUCCAAUCUAUUUUAUCGAAACAUGUGAUGAAGGGAUUUGCUUUGUCCACCGAACCCAAUUUUUAGUUUUUAGAAAAAAAAACACAUACACAUAAUUUUUGAUAACUUCUUGCUGCUUCUUCAAAAAAUUCCCGAUUUACUUUUUGUUAAUUUACUGGCUUAGUGUGAGAUAGAAACAUGCCUGUCUCGUCGAGAACAAGGAAAUACCCUUUUCCAUUUUCUCAACAACUAGAUUAAAACGAAGAAUCGAAAUAGAUUCUAAGCGAGACAAACAAAAAAGGGGUUAGAGACCACUCAAUAAAAGAAUGCCUAAGGUUUUUUUUUGAGCAUUUUGAGAGUUAUUUGACUUGAGUUAUGAGAGUACGAAUGCUUUUUUCUUCUUUUUUUUUCGAAAAAAAAGACGAGGUUAAAUGUCUAAUUGAUUUGCUGGUUUAUGGAUCUUUUUGACAUGCUAAUUCCAUACAUUAUAAUUCCAUACAUAGACAUAACUUUAAAUUAAUCAUUUUUUUCUCGAGCCGUACGAGGAGAAAACUUCUUAUACGUUUCUAGGGGGUAUUAUUUAACUACAUCUAUCCCAAUGAGCCGUUUAUCGAAUCGUUGCAAUUGAUGUUCGAUCCCGAAGAGAGGGAAGAGAUCUUCGAAAAGUGG
This 89786-nucleotide long non-coding RNA is filed under the name Gossypium barbadense (sea-island cotton). RNAcentral's name for it is "long non-coding RNA (GBAR_LNC005443)". Lineage: Eukaryota; Viridiplantae; Streptophyta; Magnoliopsida; Malvales; Malvaceae. The record is from RNAcentral.